RNAcentral lists this long non-coding RNA (162346 nucleotides) under Populus trichocarpa (black cottonwood). Its description in RNAcentral is "long non-coding RNA (PTRI_LNC001359)". The stretch from base 115379 to 115534 matches the Rfam family "MIR2912 microRNA precursor family". The record is from RNAcentral. Lineage: Eukaryota; Viridiplantae; Streptophyta; Magnoliopsida; Malpighiales; Salicaceae.
AUGGAAACACUUGCAGAUUCAUAACAAGGUAUGUUGAUGAAUCUUUUCUUGGAUGACUUAGAUUUACUGAAUCCACAGGAAGUUGAUGAAACUUGAAUGAGUUCAUCAGAGACUGUUCUAAAACAGUGUAAUAAGUGUCGUUUCCCAGGUUCGAGAAUGAAGGAGCUCUGAACUGUAGAAGUCCUGUGUAUGGAAAUGCACAUUUACAGUUCGGACUGGAAAUCUGAUUAGCAAAGCACGAAGAAGCUACACAGUUAUUUAGAGGCGUUGAAUAGGAAGAUUCGUUUUGGGAAACACUGCAGUAACUUUCUGUCACUCCUGUUUCCUGACAAACUGGGUUGUCUACAAGUCUGCAAAAUUUUAACAGGUAAACAAGAUAAAGCUAGAAACAAGCAUAUAUCCUGGCAAUUCGACUUUCUCAAGAGUACUGAAAUGGUCUUGUCUAGCAGUGUAAUGGAUACAAACAAGGAAUCUGGCUUACAUUACGCCCACUUUUUCUAUUCCGGGUCUUUCUGUGAAGGCAGAAAUUUGAUUUUCUCGCAAAUCAAUCAAUGACAGUUGGUUUAUAGAGCUUGUUCUAAUAUCCAAUGUGCCAUUGAACUUGUUAUUUCUUGCAUCCCUGUCACCAGAAGUCAAAUCAGCUAUCAUCUAGCCAUGUCAUAACAUGGAAAUAUCUAUCUAAACCCAUUUUGUAUGAAUCCAAGAAAGGAAUAAGCUAAUUUUCGUUGAACAGCUUGAAGCUGACUCUUACAGAGUCUGCAAAUUGGAAAGGCUAAAGAAGUCAGAAGGAAUCUGUCCUUGAAGUUGUGUUUUCUCCAUCACCCUGCAAUGAGAAGGUAAUUAUAUCAUACUAAGACUGGGGUCUUAAUCUCUUUUUACGUUUUCAAAGUUCAAACAGCAACUAGGCACUCAUGCACUUGAUCAUUGUGAUCUUUGCAUGCAUGCAUGCACAAAGAAACAAGGAGAUAUAAUAUGGCAAGCCCUAUAACUGAAGCUAGAGAAACUUGCCAAGAUUUUCCAGCAUUGUAAAGGCCAGCACACACAUCAAUAUGAAGAGAAUGGAUGAUGAGAAAGGUAAGAAGGUUGCAUUAUGUCAGCAAAAGCAUGAGAAAAAUCAUGUCUUGUGCCUUCACGAACAAAUGCAUAUGAAAUACAGAUAUUGUUUACAUGAAGUGGAUGCUAAUAGUAUUGUUUACACAAACAAAUCAAAUAGCACAUUUUAUGAAAACUACAAAGAGAUAAUAAAGCUUGGGAUGGGCAAAGCUAAAUACAAAUAGAGGAGUUAUGAAAGAGUAUAAAGCUGUGAUAAGCUUAAUGUACUGAUUCAUUCAUCUACAAGUUAGAUAUUACUCAAGCAGAUAUAGAUUACUCAAGCAGAUAUUACUUCCUCAGAUUCGCAACAAGACUCCCAAGUUUUUAUGAGUUCAACUGGAAUUUGUACCAAAAUAUAAAUAAAAAUUCAGUAAGAAGAUAGUACAGAAAGCCACAUGUUACAGAACGGCAGAACGAAUAUACAGCCCGAAUUAACAUUAUGCUGCUUAAAGGUGCAUGUGGAGAUAGGUGAUUAGAAAAUAAGAAGUGAUAAUUUAUAGAGAAACUUUCUUGAGUUUAAGAGAAAAGAAAACAAAUGAUUGAUAUGCCGAUAGCAUUCAACACGCAGAUGGCUGUAAUCUGUCAAGUUAAUAUAAAAGCUCAUUCAAAGCAAGAUGAUGGAAAGAGUUUGUGCUUUGAAUGAGCUUAGGAAUGUAUAUGUCAUAGUUUAGGGAGAGCAGAUUUAGACUAGGAAAGGAGGCAGAGAACCAUACAGUGUUGUCAAAGACUGCAAGGUUGAAAACCAUGGAGGAAAAUCUGUAGCGCCGAAAGUAUUAUUGCUCAUGUCCCUGCAAACAACAUUUUCCUCAAAAUACACACAGAAAAAAGUAGAGCUAGAAUUCAUCUCAACAAUUGAUUAUAUGUACGUCUAAACCAUGUAAAAUCUUACAAGUAGGUGAGAUGAUCCAUGCCAGUAAGGUUGGGAAGUGGCCCAGUUAAGCCAUUGUUGGAUAAAAACCUGAAAAUUGGUCACCAAGCAACACACUUAACAUAGAAAAAACUCCCAGAAGAGAUAGUAAUGACUUCAAUAAAACCAGUUGUAAUGGAAGGUCUCUCCCCUCCAUACUUACAUCUCACUGACACUGGUAAGAUUAUUGAUGUUUGAAGGAACAGGUCCAGUGAGCGAAUUAUUAUCAAGACGCCUGUAACCAACAUUGCAUGUUCAAUUACAACAUUAAGCAUCAAGAAUCUCAGUACAAAAUGACUUGAGUCUCCAAUAUCGAUACUUACACAACCUCCAAAGACUUCACAAGGCCAAGGGUGGAAGGAAUGCUGCCUGUCAGCUUGUUGCUCUCAAGAAGUCUGCCGGAAGAAAGACAAAGAAACCAAAAGAAUUAAUCAAAGAAAUGCUUAAACGGACAGAUAUCUGUGAUUAUGAAUUAUGCAAUUCCAAAAGAUUCAAACAAAAGUGAAGAAAUCUUAAAAAUUCGAAAACAGAAAUAUGAUCUCAUAUCCAAUCUAUAAAGCAGUUAUUUAGCAUCAUCCAGCAUAUGAACAACUGAAUGGAACUUACACAUGUAUGAGAUUCAUCCCUGAGCUAAAAAGUUUAGGCGGGAUUUGGCCUGUGAGCUGAUUAAAUCCAAGAUGACUGUAAAUAGGUUUAACAGGAACAUUAACACAUAGAAAACAGAAUCGUUAAUUUAUAGUUAGAAAGAAGCAAUGAGAUGGAUAAAACAAGGAGAAUCGACAUACAAGUGUUUUGUAUGAACUAGUAGGUCAAGGCCAGGAGUAGUGCCUGUAGAAACUGGGAUGGUCCCAGUAAGCAUGUUAUCAGCAAGAUCCAGCCAAAAAAGUUUAUCUAGAUUGCCAAGUGACGGGGGAAUUGAUCCACUGAAGCGAUUCGAAUUGAGAGAUCUGCAGGUAAUACCAGUGAAGAGCUUUAGAAAUGAUGCCACGGGCAUAAACUGAACUUCAAAUCAUGAACAGUAGUUGAUUCACUGAUGUUGCGGUAAAGCAUGGAAAGUAUUACAAGUUGAAAAAUACUUACAGAUCGGUUAGCUGUGACAAAGAUCCUAUUGCAUCGGGGAUAGGACCAGAGAAACGACAGCGAACCAGUAUUCUAGAAUGGAAGGGAAAAUCAGGACUGAAACCAGGAAAGAAAUUGAGCAUCAGAUAACAUUAUAGCGCAAUAGAGUAUCCCCUUACAAGUUUGUUAGCUUCUUCAAAUCCCCAAUUGCUAGAGGAAGAGAGCCAGUCAAUUCUGUGUUGUAGGAUAAAUCCCUGUAUAAAGAUGCAAUGAUUAGAAAUGUAUCAUAGCAAUCCUUUCCAAGGAAAUCAAUCCCUUUUUUCUGUCAUUUAAUCGCUAUAUCUGAAAUCAAUCCCUUGGCAACAGCUAUUCUAAGCGAUGCGCUUCUCGAAUACAAAAAGAAGCUCUAUACGCGAGUGAGGCAUGAGCCUAAUCAGUACUUAACGCAUAGCAUCAACCUUUAGAACAAUAAUCCAAGAACAUUAGUUGUAAAUUGGAUGCUUCGAUCCUUUUCAUAGCAUAAAGAAAAAAAGGUAAUAGUGCACAGAGUGAAGACAUACAGAAUCUGCAAUUCUGACAAGAGUGAGAUGUCUCCAGACAGUGUUCCUUUCAAUCCCAUGCUUGCCAAUGUUCUGCAGAUGAGAAUAGUCAGGUUAAUCUAAAAAAGUAGAGGAAGGAAUGAUCUGCAAGCCUCUAUAAGCUGUACAAGAUGAAAUAAAGCCAAUGACUUACAUGGAAGUCACACGCGAAUUGGUGCACACAAUGCCAUCCCACCUGCUACCACAAGGGUCAGCCCCCACCCAUGUUGGUGGUACGUUAUCCCAGACAUCCUUGAGAGCUUUCAGUGCAUUAACUGCAUCAGGAAUCAAAAGAAUAUACAUAUAUUGAGGGUCUAUAUAUAGAAAGCUAAUAACAAAUUUACAAUAACUAGUCUUAUUCCCCAGAUUGAACGAGCCUAAUGGACAAUUCUGGGGCCUAGCUAGCAUCACCAGUUCCAACAAUCAUCAUAUAAGAACAGGAAAAGGCAUCCAAUGAAGGCUGGAUACACUUCUGAGUUUGACAAAGUAUCUCCCAGCUCCAGCUUCUACUUUACAACCAGAAUUACAGAAUCAAAACCAAGUAAAUCAUAAGCCAGAAAUGAUUCCCUGACUCUUGGAAUUGCAAAAGCAAGUGGAAUCUGGAGUCCUAAAUCUACAGUUCAUCUUAGUAUAUGUUAGACAAGAGGUCAUUAGACAGUUGAUACUAAUUUGGAUCAAAAGAGUGCUAAAACAACAUGCAUGUUCCAAGUAAUUUACCAAAAACAAGAAAAAACUAACUGUAAAGAACUUACAAUCAUCAUUGUUAGUCACUGCUGGUGUGGUGGUACAAACUUGAAUUAGAGCAACAACCAAGAACACAAGAAUUCUUGAACCCAUUUCUCAAGUAACCCUACAGGAAGCUCUUUGUUUUCAGUUGGUAAAGUCGAAAAACUGAAAUCCCAUUUAGUAUCAGCAGUUAAAUCUCACACAUGAAGGUCUUCAAUUCAAACUGUUGAAAACUUGGUCUUCUAUUUUUCCAAAUUAUACCACGUCAAAACUCACAAAAAAAAAAAAAAUUGUCUCAAGUUGAAUCAUCUCCACACGCUCUAUUAUACCAUGUCAAGAGGAUUUGUCUUCAAGUUGAGUUGCACAAUUUUUUCGAUUUCUCAUAUCAUGAUCACGAGUUUAAAGAAAAAAAUACACAAUACAAUAGAAUUCUCACCAAACACCUUCAUUGAAUUAAUAAUGAAAGGGGACCAUCCAGCAACCAGCAAAAACGUGAGAACUUGGGGACACAUUUCUCAACAAAAUUUCAAAGCCCUUUGUUAUGAAUGUUGCAUAACUCCAAAACCCUUUAAUAGCUCUUAAAAUGAUAAAACAUAGUGGGAACAUCUUUACAUGUCCCCAUCGUUUACUUAUCUCAAGAUUUAUAUCGUGGAAGGACAUGAAUGGGACAAUUGUGUUCGUAUGAAUCACAUACUAAAUACAAAGACAAUUGACCCCAUCUUUAGUCAUUUUCAAGUUUACAGUCAAUAGAAGAACCCACCAAAUGGUUUCUUGCAUAUAGUACUGUAGAGUGGUACUUGCAGAGUGAAUAGUAUUUCCCACCAAAUGGUCAUGAUUGUCUGCUAAAGUCAUUUUUGAAGCGAUCAAUACAAAAAGUUAUCAUCAAUUGUUAAUGAGAUGUGUAGAUGAUUUUACUAACUCUAAUAACUAGACAAGUAGAAAGAAAUGCUCUUUGAUUUAGUUUUGUUAUUGUUUUAUAUUUCCAGUUUAAUUUGGAUUUAAUGUUUUUUUUUUUAUCGUAUUUGAUUUAAGAUUUUGAUUAUUUUUUUAUACGAUUUAGCAAGGUGAUAGCGCAGGAGCUCUGAUUCUCAUACGGGUAUUAAUUAAAGUUCACUAAUCUCAAAUAAUUUUCUUCUUAAUUAAGAAAAGAGAAACCGUAAAAGAAGGGAAAGAAAUAGUUGUUUGCUAGUCAUUUAAAUUGACAGAAAUAAAUUUUGGUCAGUCAAGAGAAUAGAGCCAAAGAAAAUUCAACAAAAUAUUCGAACUCACUCGUGGAAAGAAUGCUUGCUUCGGUCCCGCGCUGAUUUGCUUGACCAAUCAUCAGAUUUGCUUAUUACUUGACUUGCUGCUGCCAUUGUUAUAUAUUAACAAGCAAAUGAUUCAUGAAGAUAUCAGAAUUUCUUCCAAACGAAUCAUUCCUUCUAAUUGCAAACACAUGGAUGGGUCCCCUCCUCUCCAUGAAUGCUUACAACAAAUCAUUCUCUUCGACUUGACAUUGCCUGACCUAAUCUUGAUCCCUGGGGAAGAUUGUUGGUGGGAGAAACCACUAGUGGUGGCUUUGAAACACUCAGAGGGGAUAAAACACACUAUUUUAUUUCAACAACAAGAAGCUUACAAUAACUAAACAAAAGCUCAAUACAUGCCCUCUCUUUCUUUCUAGUGUUUCUCUCUAAUCUCUCCACACAUAAUAACAUAAACUUAGUUGCCUAUUUAUACACAAAUUGAAAUUAAGAAAAAAUCAAAUUUCAAGUGUGAAGGCGGCUGGCGGCAUACAGCUGGUGGCUGGCGGCUGCAAGUGGUGGUUAGGGGUGACAACUGGUGGCUGCAAGUGGUGGUUGUCUUCCUUGACCUUCUAGAUUGAGUUUACUUCAACAAAUUCCCCCUUUAAACUCAAUCGAGGGAUGUCAUGCCAAGCAUGAACUUCAAUCUGAUAAAUAUUUCUCCCUUCAAUGGCUUUGUAAAGAUAUCUGUAAUUUGAUCAUUUGUCUUGCAUGAUUCAGUUCAACUUCUUUGUUCUUCACAUGUUCUCGGAUAAAGUGAUGACGUAUAUCAAUGUGUUUAUUUCUUUCAUGAUACACCGGGUUCUUUGCUAAUGCAAUCGCUGAUCGAUUAUCAAUAUAAAUCUCUGUAGGAUUUUCUUGAGAAAAUCCCAAAUGCUUCAGCAUAUUUCUUAACCAUAUUAAAUGGCAUACAACUGAGUUGGCAGCAACAUACUCAGCUUCACAGCUUGAUAACGUUACUAUCGAUUGCUUCUUGGAUGACCAUGUGAAAGAUGUAUUUCCCAUGAAAAAGACAAAUCUCGUUGUGCUUUUCCUUUCAUCCAAAUCUCUACCCCAAUCACUAUCCGAGUAGCCAACAAGAUUGAAGUUUGUACUUGAGGUAUAAAACAUACCUUCAUUUAUUGUUCAUUUGAUGUAGCGAAGAAUUCUCUUGGCUGCAUUCAAGUGAGACUGGUCUGGUGUCUCCAUGUAUUUGCUGAUAAGACCAACUCCAUUUCAAAUCAAUUGUUGAUAAUAGGUAUAUAAAGAACUGAAUGUUGAUGAUAACCAGAAAAACAAAGAAUAAAGAACUUGCAGCGAAGAACUUCCUCAAUUCUACUCCAUUCUCAACUGGAGUUGAUACCGGAUUGCAGCUUUCCAUCUUGAACCUUUCAAGAAUGUCUUUGGCAUAACUGCUUUGGGAUACAAAAAUCCCUUCUUCUUUCUGCACCACUUCUAAGCCAAGAAAAUGUGCCAUCAGACCAAUGUCUGUCAUCUCAAACUCCUGUACCAUGCUUUUCUUGAAGGCUUCAAACAUGGUAGGGUUGUUUCUGGUGAAUAGCAAAUCAUCAACAUAUAGGCACGCAAAUAAUAUGUUGCCAUCUGCUUCUUUCUUCACAUAUAUUGCGUGUUCAUAUGGACAUUUUCAAAUCCAUUUUCUUGAAAAUACCUGUCAAUUCUGGUAUUCCAAGCACGUGGAGCUUGCUUCAAACCGUAGAGGGCUUUCUUCAACUUGUAUACUUUGUCGUCAUUUUCAGGUUUGAUGUAUCCAAGUGGUUGUUCAACAUAGAUCUCUUCUUCUAUGAAGCCAUUCAGAAAUGCUGACUUCACACUUAGUUGAUAAUCUUCCAUCUAUGUUGUACAGCUAGUGAGAUUAUCAGUCUAAUUGUCUCUAGUCGGGCUACUGGAGCAAAUACCUCUCCAUAGUCAUUGCCUUCUCUUUGUUUGUAGCCUUUUGCCACUAAUCUUGCUUUGUAUCUUUGCACUUCACCUAUUGCUUUCUUGUUUUCUGGUAGAUUAGUCAGCUUCCAGGUAUCAUUCUUCUCAAUGGCAUGCAUUUCUUCCUCCAUUGCUUCUAUCCACUUCUCUUCUGUCACAGCUUCGUUGAAGCUAAGUGGGUCAUUAUCUGCAAAGAAACAAAAUAGAGUUGUAUCUUCCAUGACUUGAGUGGCAUCGUACAACUCUUCUAGAUUUCUCAUCCUUCUUGGUACUUCUGAUGAGGAUGUUGAUGGUGAUGUUGAUGAUGAUUCUAGUGUGUUUCUCCUGUUGAAUACAGAGAAUCUGUGUACCGGACUUUGUGGCUCUGCUGGUAAUAUUGGACCUUCUGCAAGUACUGUUGGUACUUCCACUUCGUCUUCAAGGAUCAAAUCAGUGUUGAUCCAUUUGACUGCUUUUUGAUCAUCAUUCCAUUGCCAAUAUUUAUCUUCUUCAAAGAUAACAUCUCUACUCAUAAUUACCUUCUUUGUGAUGGGAUUAUACAGCUUGUAUCCCAUCCUUCUAUCACCAUAUCCGACAAAGAUGCAUUUCUCACUUUUAUCAUCGAGUUUGGUCCUUCUUACAUCUAGGAUCUUUGCAUAUGCCACACAACCAAAGACUCGAAGAUGAGUAACACUUGGUUUGUGACCACUCCAUGCUUCUUCUGGAGUGACAGCUUGCAAACUUCUGGUUGGGCAGCGAUUCAGUAGAUACACUACACAUGAUACAGCUUCAGCCCAGUAUUGUUUGGGCAACUUCUUUGCUUUGAGUAGACUUCUUGCCAUGUCAAGAAUCGUUUGAUUCUUUCUCUCAGCUAUACCAUUCAGCUGUGGUGUAUAAGUUGGUGUUGUCUGAUGUCUGAUGUCUUGUUGUGUACAAAAGGCUUCAAAGUCAUUUGCUGUAUAUUUUCCACCUUGAUCAGAUCUCACGGUUCUGAUCUUAUAGCCACUUUGCUUCUCAACAAUUGCUUUAAAAUCUUUAAAACAAUUGAACACUUCUGACUUCCUCUUCAGAAAGUAUAUCUAUGUCUUUAUGCUAAAGUCAUCAAUGAAAGUAAGGAAGUACCUAUUUUGUCCAGUCGACAUAGGCUUUAUGGGACCACACACAUCUGUGUGCACUAACUCCAGUGGCUUGUUUGCUUUCCAGUUGACUUCUUUGGCAAAACUGGAUCUGUGAUGUUUGCUGAGGACACAACUUUCAUAGACUUCAUUUGGAUAAUCAAUGUGGGGCAUACCUUUGACCAUCUUCUUGCUUGCUAGCAUCUUCAGACUUGUGAAAUUCAGAUGUCCAAGCCUUAGGUGCCAAAGCCACUCUUCACUGUUGGUGAUGGCAGUCAAACACUUUGUUGCAUCAUAUUGGAUGUUUAAAGGAAACAUCCUAUUCUUUGACAUCUUCACAUAGGCAAUUGUCCCAUUGUAGUCUAUAAUUGUCAGAUGACAAUUCUUCAUGUAAAGACUAUAACCUUUCUCCAUAAGUUGACCUAUACUCACCAAGUUCUACUUUAUGGCUGGGACAUAGUAAACAUCUGCGAUGUAGCUAUGAUCGCCAUUCUUCAACUUGAUUGGGAUGUUGCCUUUACCUUUGCAUGGAACUUUUGAGGUAUCUUUAAAUGUGACUAGACCUUGUAUGGUCUCAUAUAGAUCAUCAAAUAGAUCUCGUUGGCCACACAUGUGAUUGCUGGCUCUAGUAUCUAGAUACCAAAUAUUGUCUUGAUUCUCGCCAAGUCCUUAUUGGACAAAUAAUACAGCUGCUCCUCUGCUGUUGGCAUCCUCCUCUGCAUAGUUGGCUUGUUCACGUACCUCUAAUGGAGCUUUCCUUUGACAUUCAGUGCUAUAGUGCCCAAAUUGAUUGCAAUUAUAACACUGGAUAUUCCUCUUGUCAUGGUUAUUGUAACCGCCUCCUCUUCCUCUAGGAGUGAAUGCUUGUUGUCCUCGACCUCCUCUAGUGGUGUUUCUACCACCUCUUCCUUUGAAUCCUGUAUUCCAAGAUCCUCUUCCUUGAAAUCGUUGAAAUCCUCCUCGUGUUUGUUGACUUCUUCCUUGAGUGGUAUAUCCACUUGUUGAAGUCUCCCCUUGCUCAUAUCUGUCUUUGAGAGAUAACUUUGCUUGUAAGGCAUGCUCAAUUACCUUAUCUCCAUUUCUUUUCACAAUCUUUUGCUCAUGAGCUUGCAAAGAACUCAUAAGCUCAUCCACCAUUAACUUGUCCACUUAUUUGGACUCUUCAAUAGCGACAACAACAAAAUCAAAUUUUGGAUCUAGGGAUCUCAAAAUUUUCUCAGUAAUUCGAGCAUCUGUGAGGGGUUCUCCAUUUCUUCUCAUCUGAUUAACUAUCACCAUAAUUCUUGUGUGAUAGUCAGAAAUAGAUUCUGAGGCCUUCAUUUGCAAUAAUUCAAAUUCACCUCGCAAAGAUUGGAGACGAAUCUUCUUGAUUCUGUCAGCACCUUUGUAUUUUUGUUGGAGAGCCUCCCAUAUUGCUUUUGAUAUUUCUGUGGAAGCAAUGAUCUCAAAUAUUGCUUCAUCAAGACCUUGAUAGAUGAUGGUCUUUGCUUUAUUGUCUUUCUUUCUAUUGGCUUUGAGGACUUGCUUUUCUGCCUCUUGUAGAGUAUCUUCUACUUCUUUGGACUCUGGUUCAUCAUAACCAUAUUGCACAAUCUCUAUACACUCUUGUGAACCAAGAAAUGCCUUCAAUCUGAUACACCAACUAUCAUAGUUGUCUUUGGUCAACUUCGGGAUAAGUGUUUGUGCAUUUUCUGUAGCCAUUUUGCUCUUUGAAUGACUAUAUCACUUUCUGGGAGUUGAAUUUGGCAAAACGGACAUCGUAGAUGGAUCCAGAAUGCUAAAAACAAUAGGGAACCGGUCUUACUUUGUUGAAAAUGGGUCAGAAAUGGGCUGAAACGGUCAGGAAACCGAUUCUAGACGUCGGGCGGUUCGCUGGGGUUGAACUGGGAAUAUUCUUGGGAAUAUUCUUCAGCGCGGCUUUAGAGGCGGCUUAGGCGGCUCGGCUCGGCUCGAAUAUGGCGCGCGUGGACUCCAGUCGUCUUCUUCCUCGAGGCGCGUUGGCUACACGUGGGCUAUAGUGGCAAAAUGUUCAAGCCAGAUUCAUCAAGACCACCAAUGGACAACGGAGCUGCAGACUGAGAUGACUAAGAUAGAUUGGUUGCAAAAGGCAAAGAGCAAUCUUGUUGAUGAUCAUGAAAAGAUAGUGAAGGCCGAGAACAUGAGCUUGCAAGGGAAGUACUAAACAUUUUGUUGAAUUUUCUUUGGCUCUAAUCUCUUGACUGACAAAAAUUUAUUUCUGUCAAUUUAAAUGUCUAGCAAACAACUAUGACGAUGCAAGCUAGGGAAGUACUAUAUAUAUAAACGUCCAUACAUUUAUAGCAAGGAUGCCUUUGAUUACAGUGGGGACUUCCCAGUUUCAAAGGUAGAGCCACUAUGAGUGAGCUCAGAAUCCUUGGUAUGAGCUUGGCUUGGCAAAUGUUUCAGUGAUACUUCUUACUUCAGAGUAUGAGUUGCAUUUCUCUCGUGUUGUUUGCACUUUGUAGCAUACUCCAACUGUUUUCAACUAUUUUCAUUUUUUUCACGACCUUUUUUGCCUUUUAUGAUACUGUUAAUGAGGAGUGCAGUUAAAUCUCUGGUUUCUUGGGUUUACCUUUCUUGUGUACUGUCCUAAUUAGAAAAUGAGGAGUGUCGUCUUUGUUGAAGUAAACUCAAUCUAGAAGGUCAAGGAAGGCAACCAUCAUUUACAGCCACCAGCUGUCACCGCCCAACCACCAUUUGUAGCCGCCAGCCACCAGCUGUAUGCCGCCAGCCGCCUUCACACUUUAAGUUUAAUUUUUUCUUACUUUCAAUUUGUGUAUAAAUAGGCAGCUAAGUUUAUGUUAUCAUGUGUGGAGAGAUUAGAGAGAAACACUAGAGAGAAAGAGAGGGCGUGUAUUGAGCUUUUGUUUAGUUAUUGUAAGCUUCUUGUUGUUGAAAUAAAACAGUGUGUUUUAUCCCCUAUGAGUGUUUCAAAGCCACCACUAGUGGUUUCUCCCACCAACAAUUGGUAUCAGAGCCCCGUUCGUCAAAAAACAGAAGAGUUUUGGAAUAUACCUAAAUUUUCAAAGUUGUCAAACACAUUUUGAUCAUUCCACAGCGUAGGUUUCAUCCAUACGAACUCACUGGUGCAAAAAUCAGCUUCAUCGGAUCAAGAGGUAGCCCACACGCGCCGCCUUACAUGCCCCCAAGUUGCCUUACCACUAGGGCAGGAGCAUAACUCACAUAACCUGUAAUCCCUACCAAUGGCACCCAACGUCUUUGUCCACAACUCAUUAGGACUUCCACUGUCGUUACCCAUGGGGCUCUCCACUUAAAAUCACUAUUAGGCAAACCUUCUAAUUUGUCAACCCAACCUUGGUUGUCUAGAUCUCCCCAUUCUUCUUCUUCUACUAACUUCAGGGGUCUUUGGGUGAACCACCAAAAAUUAUUGAAGACAUGCUUUUUUGUUUCGAUAUGGCUAACCAUCCAGAUAUACAACAACUACGUGUAGCAUCUCAUUGCUCCUUUUCCGGUCCUCCUACAAUGAUUAAGUGUCAAGAUGGUUUCAGCUAAAAUAGCAGCCACUGGAUUGAUUUGUGUAUUCUCAUACUUUACAUAAGCAGCAGCGACCUCCAAACUCACUGCACCCGUCUGACUUUGGAACAACAUAAGGCCAAAUAUGCCCAAGGCAAUCAAUCUCUCUUUUUCUAAUCCUGACUUCUUUUCCAGUUCAAUUUCUAGCAUCCUCCAUUUCAGACUGGUAGCAUUCUUUUCCAAAAACUUUUCCAAGUUGGAGAUUCUGAGCAGUUUUGACAGUUCGGGGAUGAUCUUGUCAGAUCUCAAAGGCAAAUAUAUCCGAUACAGAUUGUUUGGAAACUCAAUCAACAUCCCAUAUUCCUCCAUAGUGGGACAUAGGUCUAUGCUUCCAAAAGAAAAACACUGGUAGUCUGGAUCCUAAAAAUGAACUAAGGCUCGCACAGCUGGGCUUAAAACUUCUACCCUUGCGAUUUCCACCAAACAUCCAUAUUUCCUAAAAAAUGCAUCUUUAUCCACAUUCUGAAAAUGAGUCGUUAAUUUGUUCACCUCAUUCAUAAUGCAAUUCAGGUUCUUGAUUGGUGACAUCUUCUUAGCAUCGCUUCUAAGGCAGUCUCCUUCAGUCAAUUGUGACAGUUCAGAAUUUUUCCCAUACUCUAUGAUGGAAGAUUUAGUGAUGGUGGCCAUUUCGUUCACAAGUCCUGCAAUUCAAGAUGCUUUGGGGUUAGACUUGUUUUGAUGCAAAAGAUAUUAUGGAGCAUACAACCUAAGGAUAGGUUCUAGUUCCUUUACGUGAGACAUAGGGUAGGUUUACUACUUGGUCUCUAAAAAAAGGUCUCUUGUUGUCCUAGUGAUCGCCCUCGUAAAGGCAAUAUGGGGGUUCAGCAGAUAGUGAGAUGGCACAUGUACCAAUUACUAUCAGUCUAAACACUCAGCAAAGAGUUGGGGUUUACACAAACUUAAACCUUGACUCAAGUCAUAAGGCAAGCUGCUAGUUCCCCACUUAACUUAAAGUUAAAUGUGUGUGCCCUUAAAAAGAUAAUAAUAAUAAAGUUAUGCAUGAUUAUACCAUGUAUGACAGAAUGUAAAGAUGCAUGCUAAAGCUUUUAAACAAAGUAUCAUUCAUGUAAGAAAACAAAAACCAAUAACACAUAGCAUAAACAAACAAAUUACCAAGCCUAGUCCUAAGUCCCUAGUAGAGUCGCCAUCCUGUCGCACGCUCGCAGCAGAGCGCGGCGUCGCGGCGAACCCUCAAUUGAUUUUGGGGUCUUUGUUGUUGUUUGUGUAAAGGAGUCGCCACCUAGUAUUUUGGUCACUGGGAACCCUUACUGGUCUUUCAGAGAUUCUAAGGCAAGGGACUGGUUGCGUAAAGGGAAGGUAUUAGCACCCCUAGUACGCCCUACCUAAGGUAAGCUGCUUGGUAUUUGGUUUGCUUUAUAAUUGCUAUGGUGUUGGUGUUUUCUAAUCACAUCAGUUUUCCUAGGUUUGAUUUAAACUAAAUUUAUUAAGAUAGAAAUCCAAGGGGAUUCCAUGUGCUUUAAAAGCUUAUUUUUCCCUUAGUAUUUCAAGAGUUUGCGACUCGUAAAUCGCAAGGAGGAGGGACAAAAAUCUAAGGAAAUUCAUGACGCUUUAAAAGCAUAUUUUUGCCUUAGUGUUUCAUACUCUCACGGCUCGUAAACCGUGGAGUAAAAAAAUUGAAAUGUCCUCGAUUAUAAUCAAGGCUUCUUUCAAGGAUGUGUGGUGACUUAUUAUUCCUAGAAAAAUAUUUUGGAUAUUAAUCACUUGGGGUUUCUUUAUCCAAACAUUAACAGCGAAUAAUAACAAGUUAUUCCCAAUAAUAGAUGACUUCCCCCCAAAAAAUAAGAUUUUUGUAUUUUUUGGAAUAUUGGCCAAUACCCUUUGGAGUUUUACAAACAUGUUGUAAAAUCCAGAAAUGCAAGAGAAAUAAUUUUUUAUUGUGUUUAAGAAAUCCAUGCGAAAACACAUUUUCAAAACUUCAAAUAUUUAUUUUUUAUAUAUAAAAAAAACGUUCAAAACAUGUUAGGGUAUUGGCCGUAUGCAUGAAAACAUUAUAUAUAUAUAUAUAUAUAUAUAUAUAUAUAUAUAUAUAUAUAUAUAUAUAUAUAUUUGUCAUCUUUGCGUUGAAAACUCGGGCAUUCUAAAUGCGAGAUUGAUAUAUUUUUUUAUAAUAAAAAAAAAUACAGAUGAUUAGUACUUAAAAGUGCAUUCUCAUUAAGGCUUUAUACCAUCGUAUUGCACUAAAGUAUCGUUAAAUUCCCUAACUAAAGCAUGUUUUAUAAUAACAAGUCUAAUAAUAUAAUAUAUCUUUAAUUUAUGGUAAAUGCUUGUUUUGAAUGCAGGUAUAUCUCACAAUUCAAAGGAUUGAUUGUUGUGAUUAACAAUUGAAAGUGAAGAGACAAAAAGAGGACUAGGCUAAGAGAAGAGAUGCUGGUUCAAUUCCAAACUGGAAUACUAUUCGGUUAUUUGAUCAUAACUGGAGUUGUAGAACUCGGAUUUAGGUCCACUUUAUAUGGAUGGAAAGAUAAGACAUAGACCUAAAACUUUCAUGAAGGGUCCAAGACUCAAUUCUGUCGUUUUCAAGUUCAAAUAUUAGCAACAACGGAGAAGUCGGAACCUGUCCUGCAGCUCAAACACUGUUCGGUUUUCAGCUCAUAUCUUGAGUUCUAGAAGUCCAAAUGAGCUCUGGUUUUUUUUGUUGGAAAGCUGAGACAAUUGCCCACAUCUUUCAUGGAACAAAUGGCUCAAAUUAUGAUGUUAACAAUGACGUUUUGGCCAGCCAACAAUAUCAAAAAUCUGCCCACAAUAUUAAGAACCAGCAGCCAACAAUAUCAAAAAUCUGCCCACAAUAUCAAGAACCAGCAGCCAACAAUGUCAAAAACCAGCCACCAAAUCAAUGGUAGCCUACCAAUCAAUAGUUCUGAAUCUUAGCCUAUAAAAGGAGGCAUUUGCCAUGUAUUUAGUCAUAUUAUUUUUCAGAUCAAAAUCAUGUUCUUGUUUUCUCUCUUUAUAUCUUUGUAAUGUUCAAGUUUUCUUUCAUGUUAUAUUAAUCUCUUGUUUAUGCUUUUUCAUUUCCUUUCAUAUACUUAGUUAACUUAUAUCAUAAUCAUGUUCUUAUCUUGUUUAUUUAUGUUUUUCUUCUUCAUUAUGUUUAGCUAAGUUAAUUAUGUCAAGGUGAAAAGGUUUUACUAAUGGUGUUAGAAUAGGUAUAAUAUAAACUCAACAUGGACUUUAAUGUUUAUAUCCAAGAUAAAUUGUUAUUAGCAUGUCUUAUCUUUUUAACUUACUAAUUCUUAAUACCUUGCUUGUUAAAUGGUUAAUCUAGAUUUAUGUUGUAUAACACUUGGUACAUCGAAUGCUUGAUCCUUCAUAGUUUUCGGCCGACAUCGUUGUUAUGAUGGGAACUUGAUUUGUUGUUAACAUAAGCUAGCAACAUGAAUGCCUGAUGAUAUUUAUAAGUAUGGUGUUACUUAGACAAGAUAAUUAAUAUGAUCAUGUUAAUACUUUAUAAUGAGCCAUUAAUGAUAAAUCAUCCGAUUAGAACCUCCUUUGUGUGUGGUUUCUAGUUGAGUAAUAAAAAGAGUUUAUAUUAUAUUUAUUUGAAAUACCAUUAGUGAAUCCUCUAACCUUGACAUUUGUUUUUAUCAUUGUUUAAUCCUUACAUUAAUCUUCCAUCUCAAAGUUCUCAUUAAUUUCUUCCUCUUCUUCUUUUUAUUAUUAUUAUUACUACUAAUACUACUACUACUUCUUCCUCUUCUUCUUUUUAUUAUUAUUAUUACUACUAAUACUACUACUACUACUACUAUUAAUAUUAUUGCUAUUAUUACUAUUACUAUUAUUAUUAUUAUUAUUAUUUACAUUCUUGUUAUAUGUUAUGUACGUUAAGUAUGCUCUGUGUUUGAUCAAGGAUCCUGACAUUGUUGGUCUUGCCUUGUUCAUUCGCAUCAAAAAUCUGUUUAUAUUAUAUAAUAUAUCUCUUUGAUCUUUUUAUAAAAUCAGUAUAUAGGCUGGAAACCUGUGACCCGAUCUUUUAGAUCAUUCUCAGGUAUAACAACGCCAUGUACUGAGUAUUAUUAUUAUUAUUACUAUUAUUAUUAUUAUUGUUGUUGUUAUUGUUGUUGUUGUUGUUGCAUUGUUAUUUAUAAUUUAUACAAUUAACCUCUCUGUGGUUCGACCCCGGUCUUGCCGGGUUAUUUAUUACUUCGACACUCCUACACUUGGGAGAAGACAUCAAUCUUUUGGUCGUGUCAAGUUUUUGGCGCCGUUGCCGGGGAGGUAAGUAUUGUAUCAAUUUUAUAUUUCUUUUAUUUUCUUUUGUCUUUACUUUUAUUUGUUUUUCUAAUUUUGUUCUUUUUCUUUUUCUUUUCUUUUCUUUUGCACUUGCAUGAGAGUUUGGACACGUACAUUAAGUGGUAGACUUUCUAGGAAAUCCUCAUUUUCUUUAGAAAACAUGGCCGAAGAAGAUAACCAGUCAAUUCAUAAUGAGAAUAAUGAGAAUAAUCAUGUGAGAACACUUAGAGAUCACAUGAAUCCAACAAGAACAAGUGCACCAUCAUGUAUAGUUUUUCCUCCUGAUGCUUCUCAUUUUAAUUUUAAGCCAGGUAUUAUUCAACUUUUACCCACUUUUCAUGGCUUAGAAUUAGAAAAUCCACAUUUGCAUUUAAGAGAAUUUGAAGAAGUUUGUAACACCUAUAAUGACUUAAAUUGUAGCAUGAACACCAUCAGAUUAAAGCUUUUUCCUUUUUCAUUAAAAGAUAAAGCUAAAACAUGGCUACAAAAUAUUAGGUCAGGAUCCAUUCGUGCUUGGGAUGAAAUGCAACAACAAUUUUUAAAGAAGUUUUUUCCAUCUCACAGAACAAACUCUUUCAAAAGACAAAUCACCACUUUCACUCAAAAACCAGGAGAAACAUUUUACAAGUGUUGGGAUAGAUAUAAAGACUUGCUUAAUACCUGUCCUCAUCAUGGUUUUGAAACAUGGAGAUUGGUCUCACAAUUUUAUGAAGGGUUAACACCUAAAGAUAGACAAAUGGUGGAAUUGAUGUGCAAUGGAACUUUUGAAGAUAAAGACCCUGAUGAAGCAAUGGAGUACCUAGACUUGCUAGCUGAAAAUGCUCAAAAUUGGGACACCACAGGUACGUGUGAGACACCAGGUAAAACUCAACCUCAUACAUCUAAUGGAGGCAUGUACAAACUUAGGGAAGAUCAUGACCUCCAAGCCAAAUUCGCAUAUUUAGCUAGAAAAGUUGAGGCACUAGAAUUAAAAAAGAGUGGUCAAAUAAAAUCUGUUCAAGAAAUUGUGUGUCAAAUUUGUGAAACUAAUGAACACUCAACCAAUGAUUGUCCAACUUUGCCUUCUUUUAAGGAAUGUCUCCAUGAACAAGCCAAUGCUUUAAAUAGUUUCCAAAGGCCAAGUCAUAACCCAUACUCGCAAACGUACAACCCUGGUUGGAGAAAUCACCCAAAUUUCAGUUGGAAGAGUAGUAACAAUAAUGCACAAACUUCACAGCCACCAUUUCAAGCACAACAUAAUUUUCAAAAUUCUCAUGGAUAUGCACCUCCUUAUAUUCCCCCUCCUAGAAGAAAUCUUGAGGAAACACUGCAUGCAUUCAUUGAAAAGCAAGAGACAAUCAACUCUCAAAAUGCUCAAACCAUGGCAGAUCUAAAAGAUACUCUUGAAAAGUUCACAUCUGCUCUUAGUUUUCAGGAGAAAGGUAAGUUUUCAUCUCAACCCCAGCAAAAUCCCAAAGGGCAAUACAAUUCAAGUGCAAGUGGUUCCGGAAGCCAACAUAUGGAUCAAGUCAAAUCAGUCACAACUCUCCGCAGUGGUAAGGUUAUUGAAAAACCCGUUCUUGAACCUUGUGAGAAAGAAGAUGAGUUAGUCUCUGAGGGUAAGGAAAGGGUUGAACCUGAACACUGCAAGGAGGAGACUGAUUCCCCACCAGCACUUCCAUUUCCUCAUGCCAUGACCAAAUAAAGGAAAGUCAAUCACAAUUCUGAAAUCUUUGAAACUUUCAAACAGGUAAGGAUCAAUAUACCUUUGUUAGAUGCUAUUAAACAAGUACCGUCUUAUGCUAAAUUUUUGAAAGAUCUGUGCACUGUGAAGAGAAAACUGAAUGUGAAAAAGAAAGCCUUUUUAGCCGAACAAGUAAGUGUCAUUCUUCAGAAUGAUAAUGCUUUGAAAUAUAAAGACCCUGGUUGUCCUACAAUUUCUUGCUUUAUUGGAGAACAUAAAAUUGAUAGAGCUUUACUUGAUCUUGGAGCUAGUGUGAAUUUACUUCCAUAUUCGGUUUUUCAAAGUCUCAAUCUAGGUGAGUUAAAACCUACUUCUGUAACUCUUUUACUUGCUGAUAGAUCUGUAAAAGUGCCUAGAGGAAUUGUUGAAGAUGUGUUAGUACAAGUUGAUAAAUUCAUCUUUCCUGUGGAUUUUAUUGUCUUGGAUACACAACCUGUUGAAGCAUGCAAUUCAAUUCUUGUUAUUUUAGGACGUCCAUUUCUUGCAACUUCUAAUGCAUUGAUUAAUUGUAGGAAUGGAGUGAUGAAGUUAUCUUUUGGAAACAUGACAUUGGAGAUGAAUGUUUUUAACAUUUGCAAGCAACCUGGAGAUGAUAAUGAUUUACAGGAAGUAGAUUUUAUUGAAAAAUUAAUUUGUGAUCAAUUUGUAAAUACUUCCAGUGAAACUGAGUUUAAUGAAUCUGAUGAUUUGCAAAUGGUUUAUUAUCAGGAAGAAUCAAAGGCAAAUAGUUGGAGACCAAAAAUUGAGGAAUUGCCACCACGAUCAAUUGAGUCCAUACCUUCAAGUGUUCAACCACCAAAACCCGAUUUGAAACCAUUACCAUUUAAUCUCAAAUACUCAUUUUUGGGAGAAAAUGAAACUUUUCCGGUAAUAAUUUCUUCCAAACUUAAUGUUCAUCAAGAAGGUAAGCUAUUACAAACUCUGAAAAUGCACAAAAAUGCAUUAGGAUGGACCAUAGCUGACAUAAAAGGAAUUAGUCCUUUGAUUUGCACACACAAGAUUUAUUUAGAGGAAAAUGCUAAACCCUCUAGAGAAAUGCAACGAAGGCUUAAUCCUAAUAUGAAAGAAGUAGUGAGAAAUGAAGUCAUUAAGCUUCUAGAUAAUGGAAUCAUUUAUCCUAUUUCUGACAGCAAAUGGGUAAGUCCUACCCAAGUUGUACCUAAAAAGUCUGGAGUUACUGUGAUAACAAAUGAGAAGAAUGAGUUAAUUCCAACUAGGACUAUUACUGGUUGGCGCAUGUGCAUUGACUAUAGAAAACUUAAUUCAAUGACUAGAAAAGAUCAUUUUCCUUUACCUUUCAUGGAUCAAAUUCUAGAAAGAGUUGCAGGUCAUGAAUUUUAUUGUUUUCUAGAUGGUUAUUCGGGUUACAACCAAAUUGAAAUUGCAUUUGAAGAUCAAGAGAAAACUACUUUCACAUGUCCAUUUGGUACAUUUGCAUACCGAAGGAUGCCUUUUGGAUUAUGUAAUGCACCAGCCACGUUUCAAAGAUGCAUGCUUAGCAUAUUCAGUGAUAUGGUUGAACGUUUUCUUGAGAUUUUUAUGGAUGAUUUUUCUGUUUUUGGUGAUUCAUUCGAUGAUUGUUUAACUAACUUGGAAAAGGUUUUGAACAGGUGUGAAGAGAAGAAUCUUGUGCUAAAUUGGGAAAAAUGUCAUUUUAUGGUAACAAACGGCAUUGUACUUGGUCACAUUGUUUCAUCAAUAGGAAUUGAGGUUGACAAAUCUAAAAUUGAGUUAAUUGCUAACUUGCCAACACCAAAAUCUGUUAAAAACGUUAGAUCAUUCUUAGGACAUGCUGGUUUUUAUAGAAGGUUCAUCAAAGAUUUUAGUGUAAUAUCUAAGCCAUUGUGUAACCUUCUAACAAAGGAUAAUGUUUUUGAAUGGACUGAACAUUGUGAAGAAGCCUUUGUUAAACUUAAAAACUUGCUUACUUCUGCUCCUGUCAUUCAACCUCCUGAUUGGUCAUUACCUUUUGAAAUAAUGUGUGAUGCUAGUGAUUAUGCCGUGGGUGCUGUUUUAGGACAAAGAAAAGAUAAGAAACCCUAUGUCAUUUACUAUGCAAGUAAAACUUUAAAUAGUGCUCAAAUGAAUUACACCACCACUAAAAAGGAAUUACUUGCAGUAGUAUUUGCAUGUGAAAAAUUCAGAUCUUAUCUUGUUGGCUCACCUGUUAUUGUGUUUAGCGAUCAUGCAGCGUUGAAAUAUCUUCUUUCUAAGAAGGAUUCUAAGGCUAGAUUGGUGCGGUGGAUUUUGUUACUUCAAGAAUUCGAUAUCACAAUCAAGGAUAAGAAAGGCACCGAAAAUGUUGUCGCGGAUCAUUUGUCAAGAUUGACAACUGAUUCAAAUUCUGACAUCACACCAAUCAAUGACUACUUUCCUGAUGAAUCUUUACUUUCUGUCUCUACGAUGCCUUGGUUUGCUAAUAUAGUUAAUUUUCUUGUUUCAGGACAUUUGCCAGCUCAUUGGAGUACCCAAGACAAAAGAAAGUUCUUGAACGAAGUGAAGAACUUUUAUUGGGAUGACCCUUACUUGUUCAAAUAUUGUCCUGAUCAAAUAUUUCGAAGAUGCAUUCCCGACAAUGAGGUAAGUAGUGUCAUUAAAUUUUGUCAUUCUGAGGCAUGUGGGGGUCAUUUCUCAUCAAGAAAGACAACUGCAAAAAUCUUACAAUGUGGAUUUUAUUGGCCCACCAUGUUCAAAGACACGCAUGCAUUCUGCAAAACUUGUGAAAAUUGUCAAAAGCUAGGAUAUAUUUCAAGACGUCACAUGAUGCCUUUAAAUACUAUUCUUGUCAUUGAAAUCUUUGACUGUUGGGGUAUAGAUUUUAUGGGUCCAUUUCCUCCAUCAUUUGGUUUUGUGUACAUAUUAGUCGCAGUAGACUAUGUUUCAAAAUGGAUAGAGGCAAUUCCAAGUCGUAACAAUGAUCAUAAAACAGUGAUCAAGUUUUUGAAAGAAAAUAUUUUGAGUCGAUUUGGAAUCCCUCGGGUCAUGAUAAGUGAUGGUGUUCAUUUUAAUGAUACAUUCAGCCUAAUAGUUCGCACAUCCACAGUCAGACUCGUCCUCUCUAUCUCAGUUUCUCGUGGCUGGAUUAUACAUCAACUAGAUGUUAAAAAUGCUUUCUUACAUGGUAUACUACGAGAAAAGGUUUAUAUAGAGCAACCACCAGGAUAUAUUGAUGCCUUUUACUAUUGACCAAGAAUGACUCUAGAAGUAAAAUAAAAUCUUAGGAGAAUCUGAGUUUGUUUAUAGUAUUAGAGUUUGUUUACUGUUACUAUUUUAAUGGCUAUCUUUUAUUCUAUGUAACAAAAAAUUAGAUAUGCUUGGAGAAUAUCUUGCAAUUUUGUUUUUCCUUAUUGUAUAAAUAAUCGUAUUGAAUUCAAUAAAGUAUGUGUUCUGCUGCAGCUACAAUAAGAAAGUUUUGUUUUCUCUUCAAUAUAUAUAACAAAUUGGUAUCAGAGCUUAUUUUCUUGAGGGACUUAUGAGAUUGAGAGAUCCUAAACACAACCUUCAAACACUUUUGAGAUUGAGAGAGCCUAAACACAACCUUCAAAUACUUUUCAUCUAAACACAACAUAACCAAUAUGAACUCAAAAAUGCCAUUUAUUGCAGUGGCACCUCCAGUAUUUGAUGGGAUCAAUUAUCAAGUAUGGGCUAUUAGAAUGGAAGCCCAUCUUGAUGCUAAUGAUCUAUGGGAAGCAGUUGAACAAGUAUAUGAAGUGCCAACUCUAUCAGACAAUCCAACUGUCACAUAAAUAAAAAAUCACAUAGAGAAGAAGCAGAGAACAUCGAAAGCAAAAGCAACUCUAUUUGCAGCAGUCUCGCCCACUAUUUUUUACAUAAUAAUGACUCUGAAAACAGCAAAGGAAAUUUGGGAUUUUCUGAAAGGAGAAUACAAAGGAAAAGAAAGAAUUAAAGGGAUGUAGGUGCUCAACUUAAUCCGAGAAUUUGAGUUACAAAAGAUGAAAGAAUCAAAAACAAUCAAGGAAUAUUCUAUCUUAGUAUUAUUAACAAUAUAAAACUCCUUAGCACUGAUUUUUCUGAUUCUAGAAUUGUUCAAAAAAUUCUAGUAACAAUUCCAGAGAAGUUUGAGACGACAAUCUCAUCUUUAGAAAAUUCUAAGGAUCUGUCAAGCAUUACCUUGGCAGAGUUGUUGAAUGCACUACAAGCACAAGAGCAAAGGAGGCUGAUGAGGCAAGAAAGAACUGUAGAGGAUGCAUUCUUUGUCAAAUCCCAAAAUAACAAUGAUGGUAAUAAUAGAAAAAAACAAAACAACAAGUUUGGAGGCUCUGCAUUCAACACCAGAAACAAUAAGACCAGCAAUACUCAAAGCUUUCCACCCUGCCCUCACUGGAAAAAAAAACAAUCAUCCUCAGAAUAAAUGUUGGUAGAGACCUGAUGCACGUUGUUUUAAGUGUGGUCAGUUAGGGCACAUGGAAAAGAUAUGCAAGACUCAACAACAACAAACUGAAGCCAAGGUUGUCGAUGAUCAACAUCAGGAGGAGCAUAUAUUUGUGGUAUCAUGUUUAGCCACAAAUAAAUUCACAGAAAACUAGCUCAUCAACAACAAUUAUACAAAUCAUAUGACUUAUGAUGGAAAGCUCUUCACAGAGCUUGAUAGAAAUGUUAUUUCCAAAGUUAAGAUUGGAAAUGGAACUCACCUGAAAGUUGAAGGCAAAGGAACAGUAGCUAUUGAAACACACUCACGUUUUAAAUUAAUUUCAAAUGUAUUAUAUGUUCAUGAAAUUAAUCAAAACUUGUUAAGUGUUUCUCAACUGCUAGACAUAGGUUAUAAAGUGUUGUUUGAAGAUAAAAGUUGUGUAAUUGAAGAUGUUGAGGGCAUAAAAUUCUUCAAUAUUCAAAUGAAAGGCAAAAGUUUUGUACUAGAUUUUAAAGAAGAGCUGGUUGUUGAACAUAAAGAAGUCAAUAAUUCAAUGCUUUGGCACAAGAGAAUGGGGCAUUAUUGUUAUGAAGCAUUAUUUUUCAUGGAAAAGAACAACAUGGUGAAAGGCUUGCCUAAAUUAGGAAAAGAUUUUCCUAUAUGUGCUGCCUGUCAAUAUGGAAAGCUGUCAAGACUUCCAUUUCAACAAAGCAAAGCCUGGAGAUCUACACAGAAGUUGCAAUUAAUUCACAUAGAUGUUGGAGGACCAAUGAACCCAUCAUCUCUAAAUGGCAAUAAGUACUAUGUUUCCUUCAUUGAUGAUUAUUCUUGAAUGUGUUGGAUUUACUUUAUGAAAUUCAAAGCGGAAGUUGCUAAUAUAUUUGGAAAAUUCAAAGCUUGGAUUGAAACUCAAAGCAACUACAAAAUUCAGGUAAUCAGAUCCGAUAAUGGAACUGAAUACACUUCUGAAAAAUUAAACAGAUUUUGUGAAGAUGCAGGCAUUGAACACCAGCUAACAGCACCAUAUUCUCCACAACAAAACGAUGUUGUGGAAAGAAAAAACAGGACAGUGAUGAAGAUGACUAGAUGUUUGCUUCAUGAUAAAGGACUAUCCAAGAAAUUCUGGGAUGAGGCAACUAAUACAUUAGUAUUCUUGUUGAAUAGAUUGUCAACAAAAGCCUUGCAGACAAGGACUCCAUUUGAAGCCUAGUUUGGCUACAAACCAAAGCUAAUUAAUCUGAAGAUAUUUGGUUGUUUAUGUUUCUCUUAUAUUCCUCAAAAUAAAAGAGACAAACUGGACAAGAAGGCUGAAGCUGGGAUUUUUGUAGGCUACAGUGCUGUUGCAAAAGCCUACAUAAUCUACAUACCUCAAAGAAACAAAGUAAUCAUCAGCAGGGAUGUUCAGUUUUUAAAAUCUAACAGCUGGGAUUGGAAGGAUGAAAAGCAGAUUGAAGAUCAAAAUCAGAAGAAUGAAAUAGAUGAUGAACUUGUGAAAGGAACUAGAACUCUUGCUUACAUCUAUCAAAGAUGCAAUGUUGCUGCAAUAGAACCUGCAAAUUAUGAAGAAGCUGCAACUGAGCAAAAAUGGUUAGAUGCAAUGGAGGAGCUAAAGAUGAUUGAAAAGAGUCAAACGUGGGAAUUGGUGGACAGAGCUCAACAAAAAAAAAGCCAUAGAAGUCAAAUGGAUUUUUAUAAUCAAAUUGAAUUCUAAUGAUUCUGUGAAAUAAAUGCAAGGCAAGGCUGGUUGUCAAGGGAUAUGCUCAGAUGUUUGGGGGUGGAAUUUUCCUGAACAUUCCGCUCCGGUUGCAAGGAUAGAUAUUAUAAGAAUGUUGUUGGCACUUGCUGCACAAAAAGGCUGGACUUUACAUCAAAUGGAUGUCAAGUCAACUUUUUUGAAUGGUUACUUAGAGGAAGAAAUCUUUGUUGAAUGACCUGAAGGUAUUUCUAUUGCAGGACAAGAGAAUCAGGUAUAUCAACUAAAAAAAGCCUUAUAUGGCUUAAAGUAGGCUCCAAGAAGUUGGUACAGCAGGAUUGAUGCUUACUUGCAGAACUUAGGCUUUAUAAGAAGUCUAAGUGAAUCUAUUCUUUACAUUAAAGGAGCUGAAGGACAGAUACUUGUUGUAUCUCUUUAUGUUGAUGAUUUACUAAUAAUAGAAAGCUGUAGAGAGCAAAUUGACAAGUUCAAAGAAGAGAUGAAGUAUGUUUUUUAAAUGAUAGACCUUGGAGGGAUGACAUUCUUUCUUGGCAUGCAAAUAUUUCAAAAACAAAAUGAAAUAUUCUUGUGUUAGCACAAAUAUGCAAAGGAAAUUCUCAAGAAGUUUAACAUGGAAAAAUCAAGCCUACUACAACACCAAUUAAUCAAAAGGAGAAGUUCUACAAAGAAGAUGGAGCUGGAAAAGUGGAUGAAAAGCUAUACAAAAGCCUAAUAGGUUGCCUAAUGUAUUUGACAAUAACAAAACCAGACAUCAUACAUGUUGUAAGUCUAUUAUCUAGAUAUAUGCAUUGUGCAAGUGAAAUUCAUUUUGAAGCAGCAAAGAGAAUCCUCAGGUACAUAAAAGGCAUAGCUAAUUAUGGGAUCAAAUUCAGUCAAGUUGAAAAAUUCAAUCUUCAUGGCUACUCUAACAGUGACUGGGCAGGAAACAUUAAUGACAUGAGAAGCACCUCUGGUUAUUACUUUAGCUUCAGUUCAGGUGUUUUUUCAUGGAGCUCAAAGAAACAAGAAAUUGUUGCUCAAUCUACAGCAGAAGUUGAAUACGUUGUUGUUACUGCCUCCACAAACCAAGCAGUUUGGAUUAGGAAACUACUAAAAGAUUUGAAUCUGAAGCAAAAUGAAAGCACACAACUGUUUGUGGACAACCAAGCUGCAAUAUCAAUCUCAAAUAAUCCAGUAUUUCAUGGUAGAACAAAACAUUUCAAGAUUAAAAUUUUCUUUCUAAGAGAAGUUCAACAAGAAGGGGAACUGAAGCUGCUUUACUGCAAAACGGAGGAACAACAUGCAAACAUCUUAACAAAAGCACUUCCCAAGCUCAAGUUUGAGUAUUUGAGACAGAAGUUAGGAGUUUGCAGCUUCAGAGUCAAUGAGGAGAAUUGUUGAUCAAUAAUGACUCUAGAAGCAAAAUAAAAUCUCAGUAGAAUUGAGUUUGUUUACAGUAUCAGAGUUUGUUGCUAUUUUAAUGGCUAUCUUUUAUUCUAUGUAACAGAAAAUCAGAUAUGUUUGGAGAAUAUCUUGCAAUUCUGUUUUUCCUUAUUGUAUAAAUAAUCAUAUUGAAUUCAAUAAAAUAUGUGUUCUUCUGCAACUACAAUAAGAAACUUUUGUUCUCUCUUCAAUAUAUAUAACACUUACCCACAUCAUGUUUGUUGUCUCAAAAAGGCAAUCUAUGGCUUGAAGCAAGCCCCAAUAGCAUGGUUUCAUCGAUUCACCACAUUCUUACUCACUAUUGGUUUUAGUUGUUGCAAAUCAGAUUCCGGCCUAUUUGUUCAUUCAUCGGCCAAUGAUAUUCUUUAUGUGAUGUUUUGUAUUAAAAAGAUAGGAAAUGACAACAAAGCCCUUGGAGGCUUAAAGAGUAAGUAUAAUUAAAUGAGGGGUAGUGUGGUAAUUGAACAAUAGUUGAUAAAUAUAAAUAGAAAGAAAAAAAAAGAGAUCUGAAUAUUUUGAGAGAGAACCGGCAGGAGUGAAGGGAGAAGAAAAGGGGAAGAAGAAGAAGAGAAAAGAGGGAAAUUAGAAGGGAAAUAGAAAGGAAUUGAAGAAAUAAGUUUAAAGGUAAGAUUUAGGUUGUUAAAUGUAUAAAUGUAUGUUAAUUGAACUUUAAUUUCAGUUUUGAUGAAUGUUAGGGUUUUGAAAAUUUAUGUUUUUGGGUUUAUUGAUGAAUUAAAUUGAAUGUUAUGGGUUGAUUAUUAUGGAUAAUUGAUUAUUUAGUUGAUUAUGGAAGAUUGUAGAUAAAAAUGAUGAUUUUGAGUUAUGAUUUUGUUUGAAUGGUGAAUUUGUGUUAGAAAUCAGGAAAUAACAGUGGGUUUUCUGUUGAAAUUUUGGGUUGGAGGUUGAAGAUCACAAAAUUUCGGUUUGGUCCCUCAAUUUUGGAAAAUUACAGUUUAGUCCCCAAACUUUGGAAAAUUAUAGAUUGGUCCCUGGAGUAUAUUCCGAGAUUCUGGACAGAAUAAAAGAUGAAUUAUGGACAGAAUUCCAGUAUAGUUAUGAAUUUUUAACACUUUCAAUUUGGUCCUCCAAUUUGACAAAAAUUACCAUUUGACCCUAAAAAUUUGGAAAAAUUCUAGAAUGGUCCCUGGAGUAUAAUGAGAUAUUCUGGACAGAAUUGAGGAUUAAUUAUGGUAAUAAUUUCAGUAUAGUCAAGGAUUUAUGAUAUUUUUAGUUUGGUCCUUCAAUUUGACAAAAAUUACAAUUUGACACUAAAAAAUUGAAAAAAUUCCAGAAUGGUCCCUGGAGCAUAAUGAGAUAUUUUGGACAGAAUUGAGGAUUAAUUAUGGUCAUAAUUUCAGUAUAGUCAUGGAUUUAUGAUAUUUUUAGUUUGGUCCUUCAAUUGGACAAAGUUACAAUUUGACCCUUAAAAAUAUGAUAAAUUCAUAUUGGUCCCUAACUGUAAUAUUACCUUUUGCAUAUUGGUUUGAUGAAUAAUUGAGGGUUAUUUAGUGAAUUAUUACUAAUUUUAUUAUUUUCGUUUAUUAUGGAUUAGAUUUCGGGAAAACCGUUAAAUUUUGGAUUUUUUGGAAAAUUGACUAGUUAGUUUAAAAACAUAUAGGGUUAUGAAAUACACCCUUAGAUAAGUGUAUUAAAUAGGUUAUAUGUUCUUUUGGGUCAUUCUUGAAUAUGUCUCAUUUGUAUUCAGAUAAUCCUGAUAUUCUACCGGCGGGUCAUCAGUAGGAUUUCCAUCGGUAUCUGCUUUUGAGUGUGACACAAUCAAAGAGUUGAUGUCUUAUCUCAAGUGCAGGAGUGUCGAAGUAAUAAAUAACUCGGCAAGACCAGGGUCGAACCACAGAGAGGUCAAUUAUAUAAAUUACAAAUAAAGAGAAAGAUUUGAAGAGAAUAAUAACAGAAAAGGAGUUGAAGAGAGUUUUGGGAUGUGAUAUUGGUGUAAGGAUUAAACAAUGAUAAAACAGAUGUCAAAGUUAGAGGAUUCACUAAUGGUAUUUCAAAUAAAUAUAAUAUAAACUCUUUUUAUUACUCAAUUGGAAACCACACACAACGGAGGUUCCAAUCGGAUGAUUUAUCGUUAUUAGCUCAUUAUAAAUUAUUAACAUGAUCAUAUUAAUCAUCUUAUCUAAAUAACACCAUACUUAUAAAUAUCAUCAGGCAUUCAUGUUGCUAGCUUAUGUUAACAACAAAUCAAGUUCCUAUCAUAACAACGAUGUCGGCCGAAAACUAUGAAGGAUCAAGCAUUUGAUGUACCAAGUGUUAUACAACACAAAUCUAGAUUAACCAUUUAACAAGCAAGGUAUUAAGAAUUAGUAAGAUAAAAAGAUAAGACAUGCUAAUAACAAUUUUUCUUGGAUAUAAACAUUAAAGUCCAUGUUGAGUUAAUAUUAUACCUAUUCUAACACCAUUAGUGAAACCUUUUCACCUUGACAUAAUUAACUUAGCUAAACAUAAUGAAGAAGAAAAACAUAAAUAAACAAUACAAGAACAUAAACAUGAUAUAAGUUAACUAAGUAUAGGAAAGGAAAUGAAAAAGCAUAAACAAAAGAUUAAUAUAGCAUGAAAGAAAACUUGAACAUUACAAAGAUAUAAAGAGAGAAAGCAAGAACAUGAUUUUGAUCUGAAAAAUAAUAUGACUAAAUACAUGGCAAAUGCCUCCUUUUAUAGGCUAAGAUUCAGAACUAUUGAUUGGCAAGCAACUAUUGAUUUGGUGGCUGGUUUUUGACAUUGUUGGCUGCUGGUUCUUGAUAUUGUUGGCAGAUUUUUGAUAUUGUUGGUUGGCCAAAACGUCAUUGCUAACAUCAUAAUUUGAGCCCUUUGUUCCAUGAAAGCUGUGGGCAAUUGUCUCAGCUUUCUAACAAAAAAAACCAGAGAUCAUUUGGACUUCUAGAACUCAAGAUAUGAGCUGAAAACCGAACAGUGUUUGAGCUGCAGGACAGGUUCCUACUUCUCCAUUGUUGCUAAGAUUUGAACUUGCAAACGGCAGAAUUGAGUCUUGAAAUCCCAUGCAAGUUUUAGGUCUAUGUCUUAUCUUUCCAUCCAUAUAAAGUGGACCUAAAUCCGAGUUUACAACUCCAGUUAUGAUCAAAUAACCAAAUGGUGUUCCAGUUUGGAAUUGAACCAGCAUCUCUUCUCUUAGCCUAGUCCUCUUUUGUCUCUUCACUUUCAAUAGUUAAUCACAUCAAUCAAUCCUUUGAAUUGUGAGAUAUACCUGCAUUCAAAACAAGCAUUUACCAUAAAUUAAAGAUAUAUUAUAUUAUUAGACUUGUUAUUACAAAACAUGCUUUAGUUAGGGAAUUUAACGAUACUUUAGUGCAAUAUGAUGAUAUAAAGCCUUAAUGAGAAUGCACUUUUAAGUACUAAUCACACCCCUCAACCAGCUUAUUACUAGUCCCUAGUAAUCAAAGCGUUAAAAUAUAAAAACAAUUUGCAAGUUCUACAAAGCAAGGUAUUCAUCAUUUAACUUCCAUUAAUCUAUCCAAAUAAAUAAACUCUCAUUAAAUUUAUAUAUCUGCUUCAUGCUUCUUAAACAAGAUAUUAAUAAACCUUCUUUUUGUGCUCAAUAUAUCAAAACAUAGCUAUGGAGCUUUUCAUGGAAGAAAACAAAAUUUUGUUCCAAUGUUUAAGGUUAACUUCCUUGGGUUGGGAUUAUUAUCUCUCUUUUUUUUUUAUAAAAAAAGCAAGAAUUUAUAACACAAUGUAUCUUGAACCCAUGUAACGAGCUUUUAGCUAAUAACUCCCAGACCAGUUGGUCUUAGGGCAUCAGGUGUUGAGACACCCCUACGAGCUUAGUAACUCGGGUUGCAGAUACUGAUACGUAGAUAGUGCAAUGUUUGAUUCCCUUAAAAAUUUCUCUGUAACCCAUGUAACAAGCACUGGGCCAAUAGCUCCCAAGUUAGUUGACUUUAGGGUACUAGGUGUUAAAACACCCCUUCGGGCUUAAUUGCUUAAGUCAAGGAGGCUACAAAACCAAACUUAUCUACUUUUUUAUUUAUUCAAUUUGUUUUUGUUUUUUUUUUUUUGUUUUUUUUUGCAAAUUAUAUACUAUCCAUUUCCCUUAGUUGUUACCUUUAACAAAAGAACAUGAAUAAUGUAAUAAUCCAAUAUGCAACCCACAAUCAUAUGUUAAAGUGUGUGUGUGAAAAUGAAGGUUUAGGAAUACUUGUUAAAUGAGUAUAUCAGCAGAAUCAAGUGAUAGCAAUGCGAGAGUUUGUGAACCUAAAUAUUUCAAGAAGUAUUAUGAUAGACCUUGUUAAGAAUGUUUACUAAGAUGCGUCUCAAGAGUCACUAAAGUUCAUCCUUUACUCUGCCAUCCUAGUAACAACAGGUUUGCAAAUGGUUGUAAUAAUAGAAAACACAGUUAGUUAAUUUUUUUUUUAAUAUCAACUAUUACCCUCUCCCCCCAACCAAAACGAGACAUUGUCCUCAAUGUUCUAAGGCAGAAAGAUAGAGUAUAGAAGACAUCACCUGAAACAGCGACUAUUGACAAACCUGAAACACACUUAAACAAAUAUAAGAAAGAACAAAACACAAAUAUUAUGUGAUUAAUAAAACCAAAAGACACAAGUUUUCACAAACUAAGGCUCAAAUCCAAUCUAAGCUUUUUACGACGUUCCGUGAUUGACCAAUUGAGUCGACUCAUAGAGGAAUCAACUACAGGGAUGAAAGAUUGAAGUUCAUCAAUCAAUUGUUCAGCAGUAGCAGCAGAGAUGAGGAUUUGUCACGCUGAAAAUGUUAGAAAUUGUUGCUCCACAGCAUGAUCAAGAAAAGACAGUAAAGUAUUAUAAAAACCAUUAACAUUUAGCAAACCUAUAGGUUUCUGGUGAAUGUUCAGCUGAGCCCAAGAGGAAAUAUGAAAUAUCUCUUCUAAAGUGCCCAGACCACCUGGUAAAGCGAUAAAGGCAUCAGCAUAGUUAAACAUUACAGACAGUCGUUCAGACAUUGUGGAGACCUGUAGUUCCUCUUCGAUUGUUUUUCCAAUGAUGUCCCCUUCGGCUAAAGCUGUGGGGAUGACCCCCAAAACUUGACUGCCUCCUAAAAAUGCAGCAAUUGAAACACCCCUCAUUAACCCAAGGCUGCCUCCCCCAUACACUAAAUGAAUCUUUCGCUCAGCUAUUACCCGACCAAGAUGAUAUGUUGAUUCUAAAAACUCUUUUUCUUUCCCAGGACUGGAUCCACCAAAAACACAAAUAUUUUUUAUUUUAGAAACAUAGGAACCUGCCAUGUCUACACACUUCUAUAUUUGUUGAAUGAAUGGGUUGAGUAGAAAUGAUGGGAAGGAAGAGAAGAUUUUAUAGAUGAGAAAUUAAAAAUGCAAUCAUACCACCUAUAUAUAGGCUAGCUGGAGUCUCUCUCUCUCUCUCUCUCUCUCUCUCUCUUUUGUUUUUUUUUGUUUUUUAAAACAUGUGUAUGUACAAACAGUUGUGAUUGUGGCUCACAUCUUCCCUUGGUUUUACGUCCAAGAACGACUUAAACGCCCUCUAUGGGUCGGGGAUAGGCUUCCCAUCCAGUUUUCUUAAAAACUGACAAACAAGUCUUUUUUAGUCAAAUUCCCAAGACUAAGUCGAUCAUGUUCUUUAUGAAAAUGAGGCCAUAAAUCAUGAAUUACACGAUGCACAUCUCCACUAGGAUGCGUCUCAAGAGUUAAUAGAAGAUUAUCUAAAGACUCCUUACUCAGACAAUCCUUAAUGAAUUGUAUUUUAUCUUCACGGUUUAUAGAUAUCAUUCCUAAAGAACGACAUUUUGCAUUACAAGUCCAUCUGGCACAUCGGUGACAGACUUUCAGUUGUUUUGCACGAUGUUUCUUUGCAAAAGUGCUUUUACCUGUCCCAGGCAUGUAUGAAAUAAACGUAUUGGAAGACUCACCUGAUAAUCGGACCUUUGCUUCAAUUAGACAGCGAAUAUCUUCAGGAAUUCCAUGGUUCAUUAACAACCUCAAUCUUUCACACCUAGCAUGGUAAAUUUUUAUAAUCGCAUUUUGAGGCAAAGCGGGAAAAUACUUUUUUAAUGUUUCAAGAGUGGUGUCCAUUUUUCAAAAGAGAAGUGUAGAAGAGAUGCAAAGAAAAGAGAAGGAACAAGGAAUUGAACAAAUAUAUACAUAGAUAUCAGUUAUCAUGGGAAACUGAAAGAACCGACUUAAGAGUCACGGAGUACUGUUAUCCGCAAUUUGACCGGGGUUGGAGAAAGACUAGCAAAACAAGAGUCACACCAAAAAGAAAUACAAAAACAAUGUGAGAAAAACAAAAUAAUCAACCUUUAUAUACAGGAUCAUUCAAACCAAUGGAUUCAUUUUCACUAGGAAAAUUAUCAAAGUAAGCUUUCAAACGAUGUCCAUUUACCUUAAAAACAUUUUCAUUCUUUGGAUUCUCAAUAUCAAAGGCCCCACAAGGAUACACAUGUUUCACAAUAAAUGGACCGCUCCAUCUUGAUCUUAGCUUUCCAGGAAUUAAAUAGAGUCGAGAAUUAUAAAGCAAAACUUUUUGACCAACAUCAAAUGUUUUUCUCAAGAUUCUCUUAUCAUGAAACUCUUUGAUUCUUGCUUUAUGAAUUUUUGAAUUUUCAUAUGCAUCAUUUCUUAUUUCCUCAAGCUCAUUUAUUUGCAACUUAUGCAGAUGGCUAGCAUCAUCCAGGUUUGAAUUGAAAGCUUUAAUAGCCCAAUAAGCUUUGUGUUCAAGUUCCACAGGCAAAUGACAAGGUUUUCCAUAAACCAACCUAUAAGGUGACAUACCUAAUGAUGUUUUCAAAGCAGUGCGAUAAGCCCAAAGUGCAUCAUUAAGUCUUAAAGACCAGUCCUUCCGAUUAGGGUUCACUGUUUUUUCCAAGAUUUGUUUGAUCUCCCUAUUAGCAAGUUCUACUUGUUCAUUUAUCUGAGGGUGAUAAGGGGUGGCAACUUUAUGUGUGAUUCCAUAUUUCUUCAUUAAAGACUCAAAUGGCUUGUUACAGAAAUGUGUUCCACCAUCACUUAUCAUGACCCGAGGGAUUCCAAAUUGACUCAAAAUAUUUUCUUUCAAAAACUUGAUCAUUGUUUUAUGAUCAUUGUUACAACUUGGAAUUGCCUCUAUCCAUUUUGAAACAUAGUCUAUUGCAACUAAUAUGUACACAAAACCAAAUGAUGGAGGAAAUGGACCCAUAAAAUCUAUACCCCAACAGUCAAAGAUUUCAAUGACAAGAAUAGUAUUUAAAGGCAUCAUGUGACGUUUUGAAAUAGAUCCUAGCUUUUGACAAUUUUCACAAGUUUUGCAGAAUGCAUGCGUGUCUUUGAACAUGGUGGGCCAAUAAAAUCCACAUUGUAAGAUUUUUGCAGUUGUCUUUCUUGAUGAGAAAUGACCCCACAUGCCUCAGAAUGACAAAAUUUAAUGACACUACUUACCUCAUUAUCGGGAAUGCAUCUUUGAAAUAUUUGAUCAGGACAAUAUUUGAAUAAGUAAGGGUCAUCCCAAUAAAAGUUCUUCACUUCGUUCAAGAACUUUCUUUUAUCUUGGGUACUCCAAUGAGCUGGCAAAUAUCCUGAAACAAGAAAAUUAACAAUAUUAGCAAACCAAGGCAUCGUAGAGACAGAAAGUAAAGAUUCAUCAGGAAAGUAGUCAUUGAUUGGUGUGAUGUCAGAUCUCGAAUCAGUUCUCAAUCUUGACAAAUGAUCCGCGAUAAUAUUUUCGAUGCCUUUCUUAUCCUUGAUUGGGAUAUCGAAUUCUUGAAGUAACAAAAUCCACCGUACCAAUCUAGCCUUAGAAUCCUUCUUAGAAAGAAGAUAUUUCAACGCUGCAUGAUCGCUAAAAACAAUAACAGGUGAGCCAACAAGAUAAGAUCUGAAUUUUUCACAUGCAAAUUCUACUGCAAGUAAUUCCUUUUCAGUGGUAGUGUAAUUCAUUUGAGCACUAUUUAAAGUUUUACUUGCAUAGUAAAUCACAUAGGGUUUCUUAUCUUUUCUUUGUCCUAAAACAGCACCCACGGCAUAAUCACUAGCAUCACACAUUAUUUCAAAAGGUAAUGACCAAUCAGGAGGUUGAAUGACAGGAGCAGAAGUAAGCAAGUUUUUAAGUUUAACAAAGGCUUCUUCACAAUGUUCAGUCCAUUCAAAAACAUUAUCUUUUGUUAAAAGGUUACACAAUGACUUAGAUAUUACACUAAAAUCUUUGAUGAACCUUCUAUAAAAACCAGCAUGUCCUAAGAAUGAUCUAACAUUUUUAACAGAUUUUGGUGUUGGCAAGUUGGCAAUUAACUCGAUUUUAGAUUUGUCAACCUCAAUUCCUAUUGAUGAAGCAAUGUCACCAAGUACAAUGUCAUUUGUUACCAUAAAAUGACAUUUUUCCCAAUUCAGCACAAGAUUCUUCUCUUCACACCUGUUCAAAACCUUUUCCAAGUUAGUUAAACAAUCAUCAAAUGAAUCACCAAAAACAGAAAAAUCAUCCAUAAAAAUCUCAAGAAAACGUUCAACCAUAUCACUGAAUAUGCUGAGCAUGCAUCUUUGAAAUGUGGCUGGUGCAUUACAUAAUCCAAACGGCAUCCUACGGUAUGCAAAUGUACCAAAUGGACAUGUGAAAGUAGUUUUCUUUUGAUCUUCAAAUGCAAUUUCAAUUUGGUUAUAACCUGAAUAGCCAUCUAGAAAACAAUAAAAUUCAUGACCUGCAACUCUUUCUAGAAUUUGAUCCAUGAAAGGUAAAGGAAAAUGAUCUUUUCUAGUCAUUGAAUUAAGUUUCCUAUAGUCAAUGCACAUGCGCCAACCAGUAAUAGUCCUAGUUGGAAUUAACUCAUUCUUCUCAUUUGUUAUCACAGUAACUCCAGACUUUUUAGGUACAACUUGGGUAGGACUUACCCAUUUGCUGUCAGAAAUAGGAUAAAUGAUUCCAUUAUCUAGAAGCUUAAUGACUUCAUUCCUCACUACUUCUUUCAUGUUACGAUUAAGCCUUCGUUGCAUUUCUCUAGAGGGUUUAGCAUUUUCCUCCAAAUAAAUCUUGUGUGUGCAAAUCAAAGGACUAAUUCCUUUUAUGUUAGCUAUGGUCCAUCCUAAUACAUUUUUGUGCAUUUUCAGAGUUUGUAAUAACUUACCUUCUUGAUGAACAUUAAGUUUGGAAGAAAUUAUUACCGGAAAAGUUUUAUUUUCUCCCAAAAAUGAGUAUUUGAGAUUAAAUGGUAAUGGCUUCAAAUCGGGUUUUGGUGGAUGAACACUUGAAGGUAUGGACUCAAUUGAUCGUGGUGGCAAUUCCUCAAUUUUUGGUCUCCAACUAUUUGCCUUUGAUUCUUCCUGAAAAUAAACCAUUUGCAAAUCUUCAGAUUCAUUAAACUCAGUUUCACUGGAAGAAUUUUCAAAUUGAUCAUAAAUUAAAAUUUCAAUAAAAUCUACUUUCUAUAAAUCAUUAUCAUCUCCAGGUUGCUUGCAAAUGUUAAAAACAUUCAUCUCCAAUGUCAUGUUUCCAAAAUAUAACUUCAUCACUCCAUUCCUACAAUUAAUCAAUGCAUUAGAAGUUGCAAGAAAUGGACGUCCUAAAAUAACAGGAAUUGAAUUGCAUGCUUCAACAGGUUGUGUAUCCAAGACAAUAAAAUCCACAGGAAAGAUGAAUUUAUCAACUUGUACUAACACAUCUUCAACUAUUCCUCUAGGCACUUUUACAGAUCUAUCAGCAAGUAAAAAAGUUACAGAAGUAGGUUUUAACUCACCUAAAUUGAGACUUUGAAAAACCGAAUAUGGAAGAAAAUUCACACUAGCUCCAAGAUCAAGUAAAGCUCUAUCAAUUUUAUGUUCUUCAAUAAAGCAAGAAAUUGUAGGACAACCAGGGUCUUUAUAUUUCAAAGCAUUAUCGUUCUGAAGAAUGGCACUUACUUGUUCGGCUAAAAAGGCUUUCUUUUUCACAUUCAGUUUUCUCUUCACAGUGCACAGAUCUUUCAAAAUUUUAGCAUAAGAUGGUACCUGUUUAAUAGCAUCUAACAAAGGUAUAUUGAUCCUUACCUGUUUGAAAGUUUCAAAGAUUUCAGAAUUGUGAUUGACUUUUCUUUGUUUGGUCAUGGCAUGAGGAAAUGGAAGUGCUGGUGGGGAAUCAGUCUCCUCCUUGCAAUGUUCAAGUUCAACCCUUUCCUUACCCUCAGAGACUAACUGAUCUUCUUUCUCACAAGGUUCAAGAACGAGUUUUUCAAUAACUUUACCACUGCAGAGAGUAGUGACUGAUUUGACUUGAUCCAUAUGUUGGCUUCCGGAACUGCUUGCACUUGAAUUGUAUUACCCUUUGGGAUUUUGCUGGGGUUGAGAUGGAAACUUACCUUUCUCCUGAAAACUAAGAGCAGAUGUGAACUUUGCAAGAGUAUCUUUUAGAUCUGCCAUGGUUUGAGCAUUUUGAGUGUUAAUUGUCUCUUGAUUUUCAAUGAAUGCAUGUAGUGUUUCCUCAAGAUUUCUUCUAGGAGGGGGAACAUAAGGAGGUGCAUAUCCAUGAGAAUUUUGAAAAUUAUGUUGUGCUUGAAAUGGUGGCUGUGAAGUUUGUGCAUUAUUGUUACCACUCUUCCAACUGAAAUUUGGGUGAUUUCUCCAACCAGGGUUGUACGUUUGGGAGUAUGGGUUAUGACUUGGCCUUUGGAAACUAUUUAAAGCAUUGGCUUGUUCAUGGAGACAUUCCUUAAAAAAAGGCAAAGUUGGACAAUCAUUGGUUGAGUGUUUAUUAGUUUCACAAAUUUGACAUACAAUUUCUUGAACAGAUUUUAAUUGUCCACUCUUUUUUAAUUCUAGUGCCUCGACUUUUCUAGCUAAAGAUGCAAAUUUAGCUUGGAGGUCAUGAUCUUCCCUAAGGUUGUAUAUGCCUCCAUUAGAUGUAUGAGGUUGAGUUUUACCUGGUGCCUCACACGUACCUGUAGUGUCCCAAUUUUGAGCAUUUUCAGCUAGCAAGUCUAGGUACUCCAUUACUUCAUCAGGGUCUUUAUCUUCAAAAGUUCCAUUGCACAUCAAUUCCACCAUUUGCCUAUCUUUAGGUGUUAACCCUUCAUAAAAUUGUGAGACCAAUCUCCAUGUUUCAAAACCAUGAUGAGGACAGGUAUUAAGCAAGUCUUUAUAUCUAUCCCAACACUUGUAAAAUGUUUCUCCUGGUUUUUUAGUGAAAGUGGUGAUUUGUCUUUUGAAAGAAUUUGUUCUGUGAGACGGAAAAAACUUUUUUAAAAACUGUUGUUGCAUUUCAUCCCAAGCACGAAUGGAUCCUGACCUAAUAUUUUGUAGCCAUGUUUUAGCUUUAUCUUUUAAUGAAAAAGGAAAAAGCUUUAAUCUGAUGGUGUUCAUGCUACAAUUUAAGUCAUUAUAGGUGUUACAAACUUCUUCAAAUUCUCUUAAAUACAAGUAUGGAUUUUCUAAUUCUAAGCCAUGAAAAGUGUGUAAAAGUUGAAUAAUACCUGGCUUAAAAUUAAAAUGAGAAGCAUCAGGAGGAAAAACUAUACAUGAUGGUGCACUUGUUCUUGUUGGAUUCAUGUGAUCUUUAAGUGUUCUCACACGAUUAUUCUCAUUAUUCUCAUUAUGAAUUGACUGGUUAUCUUCUUCGGCCAUGUUUUCUAAAGAAAAUGAGGAUUUCCUAGAAAGUCUACCACUUAAUGUACGUGUCCAAACUCUCAUGCAAGUGCAAAAGAAAAGAAAAGAAAAGAAAAAGAAAAAGAACAAAAAUUAGAAAAACAAAUAAAAGUAAAAAACAAAAGAAAAUAAAAGAAAUAUAAAAUUUAUACAAUACUUACCUCCCCAGCAACGGCGCCAAAAACUUGACACGAUCAAAGAGUUGAUGUCUUAUCCCAAGUGCAGGAGUGUCGAAGUAAUAAAUAACUCGGCAAGACCAGGGUCGAACCACAGGGAGGUCAAUUAUAUAAAUUACAAAUAAAGAGAAAGAUUUGAAGAGAAUAAUAACAGAAAAGGAGUUGAAGAGAGUUUUGGGAUGUGAUAUUGGUGUAAGGAUUAAACAAUGAUAAAACAGAUGUCAAAGUUAGAGGAUUCACUAAUGGUAUUUCAAAUAAAUAUAAUAUAAACUCUUUUUAUUACUCAAUUGGAAACCACACACAAAGGAGGUUCCAAUCGGAUGAUUUAUCGUUAUUAGCUCAUUAUAAAUUAUUAACAUGAUCAUAUUAAUCAUCUUAUCUAAAUAACACCAUACUUAUAAAUAUCAUCAGGCAUUCAUGUUGCUAACUUAUGUUAACAACAAAUCAAGUUCCUAUCAUAACAACGAUGUCGGCCGAAAACUAUGAAGGAUCAAGCAUUUGAUGUACCAAGUGUUAUACAACACAAAUCUAGAUUAACCAUUUAACAAGCAAGGUAUUAAGAAUUAGUAAGAUAAAAAGAUAAGACAUGCUAAUAACAAUUUUUCUUGGAUAUAAACAUUAAAGUCCAUGUUGAGUUUAUAUUAUACCUAUUCUAACACCAUUAGUGAAACCUUUUCACCUUGACAUAAUUAACUUAGCUAAACAUAAUGAAGAAGAAAAACAUAAAUAAACAAUACAAGAACAUAAACAUGAUAUAAGUUAACUAAGUAUAGGAAAGGAAAUGAAAAAGCAUAAACAAGAUAUUAAUAUAGCAUGAAAGAAAACUUGAAUAUUACAAAGAUAUAAAGAGAGAAAGCAAGAACAUGAUUUUGAUCUGAAAAAUAAUAUGACUAAAUACAUGGCAAAUGCCUCCUUUUAUAUGCUAAGAUUCAGAACUAUUGAUUGGCAGGCAACUAUUGAUUUGGUGGCUGGUUUUUGACAUUGUUGGCUACUGGUUCUUGAUAUUGUUGGCAGAUUUUUGAUAUUGUUGGCUGCUGGUUCUUGAUAUUGUUGGCAGAUUUUUGAUAUUGUUGGCUGGCCAAAACAUCAUUGCUAACAUCAGAAUUUGAGCCCUUUAUUCCAUGAAAGUUGUGGGCAAUUGUCUCAGCUUUCCAACAAAAAAAACCAGAGCUCAUUUGGACUUCUAGAACACAAGAUAUGAGCUGAAAACCGAACAGUGUUUGAGCUGCAAGACAGGUUCCAACUUCUCCGUUGUUGCUAAGAUUUGAACUUGAAAACGGCAGAAUUGAGUCUUGAACUCUUCAUGAACGUUUUAGGUCUAUGUCUUAUCUUUCCAUCCAUAUAAAGUGGACCUAAAUCCGAGUUCUACAACUCCAGUUAUGAUCAAAUAACCGAAUGGUGUUCUAGUUUGGAAUUGAACCAGCAUCUCUUCUCUUAGCCUAGUCCUCUUUUUGUCUCUUCACUUUCAAUUGUUAAUCACAUCAAUCAAUCCUUUGAAUUGUGAGAUAUACCUGCAUUCAAAACAAGCAUUUACCAUAAAUUAAAGAUAUAUUAUAUUAUUAGACUUGUUAUUAUAAAACAUGCUUUAGUUAGGGAAUUUAAUGAUACUUUAGUGCAAUAUGAUGAUAUAAAGCCUUAAUGAGAAUGCACUUUUAAGUACUAAUCAGAGUGUUGUUUGCUUUUGAGUCAGGUGAGUGGAUAAUUUUCCAUAUGCAUGAGAAAUAUUAUAAAUAGUUGAUUUGUUAAUAUGAAUUGGAUCAUGCUUCUUGAUAAUAUAUAUGUUGAUUAUUAUUCUUAUUAUGAUAAAGCAUGAUCAAUUGUUGAAUCUGGAUUUUUGAUAUGAACCAGUAUAUAUUUUGAAUUGACUUCUGGAUUGAUAGCUCCUCAUUUGAUUGAUGUCAUGAAUUGAGCCUUGAGAUAUGAAUAUGUCUGUUUGAUUAUGAUUAUGAACCUAUGGUAUGUCAGUCAGAAUACCCAUGCUAACAGGGUAGUGUUAGUCUUUGUGCACAUUGUAUCUGAACCCUAGUUGGUCGGGGGAGUCACCAACCUGUGUGGACUGAAAUCAAUCCGUUGAUUUCGCCACAGAAUUAUUCUCGUCGUUCUGCCAAGAAAGCAACCACGCUCUGAUACCAAUUGUCACGGGGUCAAUUUUUCAUCCUAAAAACAGACAUCGCGCGGCAGUCUAGCCCCACUAGACUCAGCCUUUCCCUCGCCUCACUCGUGUUUGCCUAGCAACUAAGUGUUUCCCUCACCAAGAGGUUUCCCACACUAAAUGUAACACCCCACCUCACUAGCAAGAUAUUGUCCGCUUUGAGCCUCCCAUUCCACCCAUGUCCAGGGCUUCCACCCAGGUCCCCCUCACGGGUUUGUUCUUGGCAGCCACACAUGUCGCCAAAACGCGUCUUACUAGUCAAGGUGAACAUGCACUUAUAAGGCCCUGGCUCUGGACGCUCGCUUCCGAUGUGGGAUAUCACAAUCCCCCCACCUUAAGACGAGCCGUCCUCGGCUCUGAUACCAAAUGUAACACCCCACCUCACUAGCAAGAUAUUGUCCACUUUAGGCCUCCCAGUCCACCCAUGUCCAGGGCUUCCACCCAGGUCCCCCUUACGGGUUUGUUCUUGGCAGCCACGCAUGGCCCCAAAACGCGUCUUACUAGUCAAGGUGAGCAUGCACUUAUAAGGCCCUGCCUUUGGAUGCUUCCGAUGUGGGAUAUCACAGAUACAUUGUUGAAUUCCUUGCAAGCAACGAUAAAUUAAUUGUGAAAGAUGAUGUCUUUUAAUUUAGUGAUCCAUAUCAAGUUGCUCUGUCUAUUGACUUAGAAGAAAAUUUAAAUUUUUGCAUCGUCAAGAAUAUUUUUAUUGAUGUUGAUGCGAAGAAGUUGAAUGAUGUUUUGAGCUAUAGCGCACAUACACAAGUCAAUGAAGAUGAUAACGACAAAAUCAACACACAAGAUUGUGAUGGAGAUAAGGACGGGUCAAUUGACGAAGUAGAAGAGAAUUCUGAUGAAUUUGUGCAACACAAAUGUGUAAUGCCAUAAACUAUAAUGUAAUAUUUAUGGACGAGAUUCACUUCAAUGUAAUGACAAUGAUGUUAAUUUAUUAUUGAAAGAUAAGAAAAUAUUUAUUUUCUUAUUGUGAUGUGAACUGGUGUUAUUGUGUUGUGUGUGCAGCUAUGAAUUUAAGCAUUUAUAGGAUGGAUAAAUAGGGAAUACAGAUGCAAUUUGGCAUCAGACACCAUUUUACACCGAUAAAAAUACCAACAGACUAUAUAUUACAUAUAGGUAUAUCGACAAAAUGUAUCUGUUGAUAUAUUCUAGAAACCAUAAGAAUUGUUCCCCUUCACCCUGGCAUUAUUCAUGGUGUUUAUUACAUACAGGUUUAGCGACAGAAUGUGUUUGUCGGUAUAUUUCAAAGACCAUAGGAACUGUGCCCCUUCACCAUGACACUAUUCACGGUGUUCAUUACAUACGGGUAUAUCGAUGGAAUGUGUUCGAUGGUAUAUUCUAGAGACCAUGGGAAUUGUUCCCCUUCACCCUGACAUUGUUAAUGGUGUUCAUUACAUAUGGGUAUACUGAUAAAAUGUGUUCGACGAUAUAUUUCAGAGACUAUGGGAAUUGUGCCCCUACAACCUGGCACUAUUCACGGUAUUCAUUACAUAUAAGUAUAUUGACAGAAUGUGUCUGUCGAUAUAUUCCAGGGACCAUGGAAACUAUUCACUUCUCAAUGCGAUAAUAUUUAAUGAUGUUUUGACUGUUCACUUUUUUUCCUAAUAGAAUCACCGACGGAAUGAAAAGUCAUCGAUAAUAUAUGAAAGGGCUUUCUAAAACUUUUCACACAAGUUGAGAAUUUUCAUUUGACUGUACAGACAAAAUCACCAAUUGAAAUAUUAAAAAUAUUAAUAUUUAAUUUCUUGUCGGUAAAAACUAAAAUAAAAGACCUGCAUCAUGAUAGAUUAGGGCUUCAUCUUCUUCUCUCUUUCUCUUCUCUCUCUCCUUCUCAUCUUAGAUCAAGCAUUCUCUUCUCUUCACAUCCUAAGGUAUGUUGUCUUUCUUCAUUUUUCUUCUUGUUUUUCUUUUCUUUGUUUUAAUUAAGAGCUUCAAUAAAGCACGUCAUUAAGGUAAGAAUUUUUCAUUCCUUUUUCUUUCUUUUUGGUUUUUUUUUUCCAUUAUUUUUUUCAAAUUUGUUGUUCUUAAUUAAGAGCUGAAAUAGAGCAUUAUUUUUGUUCAAUUUUGUGUUCUUAAUAAUUUUAUUAAUUAAUAAAUGACAUGAAUAUUAGUAGUUAUUGGAAAACAUUUUGCAUUAUUUUGUUGAAAUUUAGUUAUUUUUUCAAAUUUGUUGUUCAAUUUCAAUUAAAUGUGUAUAAAUAAUUUUAAUUACUAUUUUCUAUUUAUUCCAUUUAGAAUAAAUUUUUUAUAAAUUUAGGAUUAAAAAUAUUAUCACUUAGAAAUAAUUGUGUUUAAUUUUAUGUGUUAUUGUAAUAUAUUUUGCAUUAUUUUGUUGAAUUUUAGUUGCUGUUUUUCUAAUUUUGUUUUUCAUUUUCAAUUAAAUGUGUAGGAUUAAUUUUAAUUAUUAUUUUGAAUUUUUUAAAAUUUAAAAUAUUUUUUUGUAAAUUUAUGAUUAAAAAUAUUAUCACGUAGAAAAUGAAAAUUUUCUAUCAAACUGAAUUAUGCUAAAUUGUUAGAAGAAAUUGAAUAAAAUCAACUGGUUUGUGGCAUGUAUAUUAUAUAUUUCCAGGUUUAAAAAAUUUAGGUAGUCUCCCGUAUAGGGUAGAUGUUUCUGAAAUUUAAAAAAAAAGUAGGAAUCUUUUAAAUUGUUUUAUCCGUUAAUUUGUGUAGAUGUCUAGGGGAAAGUCUAUUACACGUUGAGAGGACAGAAUCGCUGCUAGUUCUUCUAGUAGCGAUGCUGACAACCAUGAGUCAUUAGGUACCGAGCAAGAACAGUCACUUGAGGCACACAUAUUGACUCAUGACGAGGGCUCGUCGAAUGCGAUGCCGCAACAUCAAGGGGGGUCUCUUCACAGCAGGAUCCAUUUACCCUCAAGUACGAGGCUAGAGAAAGGACAACCUUUCAAUAUAAGUUUUUUUUGCUUUCACAACGACACGUUUAAUAAUUUUUUAAAAAAUAAUAUCAUUUAACGAAUGCAAUUUCAGGUUUACAAAUAUUGAGGUUCCUAGAACAAUAAUAUUGGCCUUUAAAUCGUCGAUGGAAAUUCAAUUAUUUCAAUGAAGACAGGUUUCCAAAUAUCCUGAAUAGAAACCGCAGGUUCAUGCAUUGUUUUCAAGGUUCAAGGUUAGUAUUAGCUUAAAUAUUUUUUUAUGUUAAUUUGAACCGUUUAUCAAAAUUAAUUCUUGAAAUUUUCCUUUUAUAAAUUUUUACUUUAGGGGAAAAUUUGAAUGGGAGAGAGUUGAUGAUAAUUUUGCAAGGAUAGUUUGAGAGAAUCACGCUACAAUUAGAUAAAAAUCGAAUUUAGGAUAAUUUUUUUAUUCCAAAUAUUAAAAUUUUAUUUUUCAUUUACUAACAAAUAAGUAAUUUGUACCAUAUAGGUUGCGUGAUUUUUUGUACGAGGCGCAAAAGAAAUCCAAAAAAAUAUGCAAAAGAAAGAGAGCUUCCAAGUUGGAAUAAUAUGGCGGUUUGGAAGGAUUUCAGAUCGUUGUAUGUCUCAGAGGCUGUAUGGGUGGAAUAAAUUCAGCACAUGACGUUCGCGCGUUUCACUCGACGGUCAUAGUCCGGUAUGGAUAACCGGAACCGGCGCGUUCAUGGUUCUGUUAUCACGCAUAUUGGUGGCUCCAUUCCAUUCGUUUCACAUGCGAAGUGGAUAAUAGGAUUUUUUUUAUAACAUCCAUUUUUUAUUGGUUGUUUUUUUUAUAAAUAUGCUUAACUGAAAACAUUUUUUAUUGCAGACUACGAUUCUUAGAAUCGAGCCAAGCCCAAUGGAGUUUUUUGUUGAAACCCAUGUUUAAGUUAUUAUUUCCUUGAAUUUAAUGAAUUUAUUUUUUCUUUCCAGGAUACAUAUAACAACAGUUGAAGGAGAGAUACGGGGACGAUCCUUUGACCCAUCUAGAUAUUGUUGCGAUGUCGCGGUCGCACAAAUUAAUUACCCUAGCUUCAAACACAACACACAAGAUAGUAUAGAGCAAGCAAGGGGUCGAUCCCACGAGGAAGUUUCAAGUCACAUUUUUAUGUUGUACGUUAUGUAAUUGGGGGGAUUUGGUUUGUGAUUAUCUAAACUAUGGCAACAAUUAAACUAGCAAACAAAAUCAAUUAAAACCGAAACUUAUCAAGAAAACAAAUCUUGGUCGCAAGCACACAUCCACCAACGGAAAUUAGAACUGAUCCUUGAAACGAAAAUUGCAGUUUAUGUUCUGAAAUUUUAUCUUUUCUUAACGUUGAUUAAUUAACGGAUCCGCCGUAUAACUAAUCUUAACCAACAAACAAUCAAAGUGUCUGCACUAAUGAUUCAAUUUAAUGGUAGCUUUAAGAACUAGAUAAUUUCAUCAAGAUUAACAUACAAGCUGUCCGCAGCUUGUGUCACUUUGUUCAAAUGUUCUCCCUAAGUUCAAUAACGUAGUUCUGCCACAAUUAUCAAGCUUAGUUGCUUCACAAGUUCAUAUAUCACAACUCCGGUUUUGAUAUUAAACUUAGCAAUAGAUUGUUCACAACAAUAACUUAGAGUCCGCUCUAGCAAUCAUCAACAACAAUCAUAGGAAAUAUGCAUAGGAAAACAAUCAUACUCAUUCCUAACAUAAACUGAAAAUAAAAGGAAGAAUAAAUCUCAUGGUUCUUGAAAUUCGAAGGUUUGUUGUGUCCUUGCAACCAAGAAAAGAGCUUAGCCUUGCAUAACUAUUGAACAACUACUUCUAAAGAAUGAAAAGAGCAUGAUUUUUGGGUUUGUAGAGGAGAGAAUUUGUGUUUAUUCUCUGCUGGCUGCUGCCUCCUUCUGCUCUCCCUCUUUUCUGCUGGCUGCUGCCUCCUUCUCUCUUUCUUUUUAUAUGUUAAGAAACCCUAGUCUCUAUUUUACAAAAUAGUCCUUCCUUGAGUUGACAGUUUACAUUUAAGUACUUCAAUAACUAUUUUUCCUAAAAGGAGAAAUAGCCUUGCAUGAAAUCUUCAAGCUCUGACUUAGAGGAGCUAAAUUGCUGAUAUAAAAACUUGGAUGUCGGUAAAGAUGCUUCGGAAUGUAAUUUGGACUUGUUUCUUCACGAAACCUGUUUGCUGGCAGAAUUCAGUUGUCAUCUUUGAAAAAUCAUAUCUCCCUCAUAUGACAUCUUUUUUGGCUGCAAUUUGGAGCGUUGAUAGGUCUUUAAGUUAUGAAUCCACUAAAAUUGAGGUUAAAUCAAUUGGACUUCUGUAGCUCCAUAUAUUAAAUUUUGAAUGGCCAAAGGUCAACACUGGCAGAAUGCGAGAUUUGACUUUGCAGGAUGUGAUUUCCAUGAUCUUUGUCUUUUUAUUUUUCUUGCAUUACAUUUCCAGAAAGUUAUGGAUGUUAGAGUUUUAGUGCCACUGGAAUCACUUCAUUUCAAUCUCUAGAACUCACGCUCUGCACAAAACAUUGACUGAACGUCAAAUCUGCCAAUUACCUCUAAUUUACUCCUUUUUGCAUCUUUCAUCCAAAAGUACCUUCGAAACAUAAAACAAAGAAUAUCAAGACAUUUUAUAUAUAAAACAUGGACAAAACAUUAGGUAGAUGUGGGUGAAACUAUCGAAUAAUAUGGUUACAUCAAAUACCCCCAGACUUAGCUCUUGCUCGUCCUCGAGAAAGGAUAAAUAAAAUUAAAUUGAAAAUAACUAUGAUCAAUCUCUUAAUCUCCCAUCAAUGUCCAAGAGUACAAGCAUUAUAAAUAAGAAUACAAUCAAGAAGGAUAAAGAGUAUAAUUCUCAUGAAUUCAUUUACAUGCAAACUUCAAAACUCAAUUAAUCGUCGGGAUUUAAAUGAAAUCUAUGCCAUGCCAAAGUGAUAGGUCCUCUCAUUGAUAUACGCUCCAACACUCACGUGUUUAAGGCUUAUAUGUUUAAAUCUCUCAAAUUCAAUCAAUGAAUAUGUUCUACCAUAAGCUUGCUCUUCAAUCUCAUCUCCAUUACUAACAUAUUACAAACAAUGCAUGAAUCAAAAGGUCUUAUUUUCUGGUUGUAAUGGGGCUAAGGUUAAGGUGAGGUAAAAGAGAGUAAAAGAAAAGGUUCAAACCAAAGAAAGUAAAGCAUUCUAAAAAAUGAUAUUUCAAACAAGAUAUUUCAUCAAAGCACAUAAAUUUUCCAUCUUUAAUCACCAAUGCUUAGCUUCUUUUGAUUUCAAGCUUUUUCAACAUAAAAUCUUAAGAACAUAAAGGAACACUUUUUUUUUCUUUUUCUUUGUUCUUUUUUUUUCUUUCUCUCUUUUUCUCUCUCUUUUUUUUUUUUACCUUUGGCAACUUUGCCCAUCUUUUCAUCAAGCAUCACUUCUUCUUUCUUUUCACAUAAUUUCCAACCAUAAUUCCAUGAGAUAUCAUAAGUAUAUGCUCUACUAAUCCUUGGCCAAGGGAAAAGGAAAACAUAUAAAAAGUUAAGGCUUAUACAUGGAUAAAGCAAAGAAAAGAUAAACAAGCUCAAAAGGGGCUCACUAAGGAUAAUAUGCUUUAGGUUGGCUUUUUGGCUCAAGUGGUUAAAAUUUCUAAUGCCUUUAUCAUCUUCAUGUAUAUAUGUAAUGCGAAUGUAAUCUCAACAAGAUAUGAAGCAAGUUCUAGAGAUACAUAUCAUUGAAAGAAUGCACACUCAAAGAAUAUAAUGUUGAAGGCUCAAAAGCUUGCAUUGGUAUAACACUAUAAAGUCAACAUGGCAUAUUCUCAAAGUCAAUCCCUAAACCAAUUAAACCUUAAAAUUUGCAUGCAUACUCCUUCAUUUGAUUUAUAUCUUCAUCUAUCUCAACUAAUUCUCAUACAUAAUACUCAUAUUCUCAAAAACCAAUGGGAGUUCAAAAGAUCAAACAUAUAUUUUUUUUUUAAAAAAAUAAUAAUAAUAACAAAGAAAACCAAAAUUAGAAAACCAACAUUCUCCCAAUACCCCCACACUUAAAACACAACAUUGUCCUCAAUGUUGAAAUAAAAGAAAAGGAAUAUUGGAGAAUAACAAAAAUAAAGUAAAAUGCAAAAAAUAAAAGAUAAUGGGAAAAAAAAAGCAAAUCUGUUUUUUUUUUUUUGUGCUGGGUUGCCUCCCAGUAAGCGCUUUUGUUUUAUGUCAUUGGCUCGACAUGUUGCAUGCUCAUUCUUCAUAGAUUGGUUCAAUUAACUCCACAGAAGCGGUGAGUUCUGCCGUCCAACCUUCAUAGAAAGGUUUCAAGCGAUGCCCAUUUACCUUGAGUACUUUGUUGGUUUCUAAACUUGUAAUUUCAACUGCACCAUAAGGAAAAACAUUAGAAACAACAAAGGGUCCAAUCCAACGAGAGCGCAAUUUUCCAGGAAAAAGUUUCAAACGCGAAUGAUAAAGAAGGACUUUGUCUCCAACAUGAAACUCCUUUCUUGUAAGCAUUCGGUCAUGAAGAUUCUUAGUCUUUUCUUUGUAAAUCCUUGCAUUCUCGUAAGCAUGAUUUCGAAUUUCUUCCAACUCUUGUAGUUGUAGUUUUCUUGCAAUCCCAGCAACAUCAUAAUCCAUGUUACAUUGUUUAAUGGCCCAAAACGCUUUGUGUUCAAGCUCCACCGGUAGAUGACAUGCUUUCCCAUAAAUCAUUCUAUAAGGUGACAUUCCUAUAGGUGAUUUAUAAGCAGUCCGAUAAGCCUAAAGUGCUUCUCAAAGACGUAGACUCCAAUCUCGCCGGUUAGGUUGCACUAUUUUCUCCAAAAUGGACUUGAUUUCUCGAUUUGAAAUUUCAGCUUGGCCAUUCGUUUGAGGAUGAUAUGUUGUGGAAGUUCGAUGAGUCACAUGAUAUUUGCGUAGCAAUGCUUCCAUGGAACAAUUACAGAAAUAAGUGCCACGAUCACUAAUGAUAGCUUUAGGGAUUCCAAACCUGUCAAAUAUAUGAGUCCUGACAAAAUCUAAAACAACCUUAGCAUCGUUAGUUCGUGUGGCUUUCGCCUCAAUCCAUUUGGAUACAUAAUCAACAGCAAGAAGAAUAUAAAGAUUGCCAAAUGAAGAAGGAAAUGGACCCAUAAAGUCAAUACCCCAAACAUCAAAAAUUUCACUAACAAGAAUAUUUGUUAAAGGCAUUUGAUUCUUAUGAGUGAUAUUUCCUGUUCUUUGGCAUUUUUCACAUGAUUUGCAGAAGUGAUAUGCAUCUUUAAAAAUAGAAGGCCAAUAGAAACCACUUUCAAGUACCUUGUGGGCUGUUCUUUUUGCUCCAAAAUGCCCACCACAAGAAUGAGAAUGACAAAAAGUGAGAAUGGAAUGAAAUUCAUCUUGUGGUACACACCUCCUAACUACUUGAUCCACACAAAAUUUCCAAAGGUAAGGAUCGUCCCAAAAAUAAUAUUUAGCAUCAGCUCGUAACUUAUCUUUUUGGGGUUUAGACAAACCUGGAGGGAAUUCUUUGGUGACUAAAUAGUUUACCAAAUCAGCAUACCAUGGUCUUGUAGAGGAAUGCAACAUAUACAACUGCUCAUCAGGGAAUGUCUCUCUUAUUGUUUCGAUCUGUAUAUCCUCGGUCCUCAGUCGGCUCAAGUGAUCAGCCACAUGGUUUUCAGCACCUUUUUUGUCUUUGAUCUCAAGAUCGAAUUCUUGUAAAAGCAAGAUCCACCUAAUCAGUCUUGGUUUGGACUCCUUCUUCUUCAAAAGAUACCUGAGAGUUGCAUGGUUAGUAAAAACAAUGACUUUUGUACCAAGUAGAUAUGAGCUAAAUUUUUCAAGAGCAAACACCACUGCAAAAAGUUCCUUUUCAGUUGUAUGGUAAUUGCAUUGUGCUCCAUCCAACAUGCGAGAAGCAUAGGCGAUAACAUGCAAAUUCUUCCCAAUUCUUUGCCCAAGCACAGCUCCUACCGCAUAGUCACUCGCAUCACACAUUAUCUCAAAAGGUUCAUCCCAAUUUGGUGGUUGGAUGAUAGGGGCAGAUGUGACACGUCUCUUAAGCUCAUCAUGGGCAUCUUUACAUGCUUGAUCAAACACAAAAUCCACUUCUUUGGCUAAUAGUUUGCACAAGGGUGCCGUAAUCUUCGAGAAAUCUUUGAUAAAGCGUCGAUAGAAACCUGCAUGACCUAGAAAAGAACGAACUUCCCUCACGCAUGAGGGGUAAGGCAAUGAUGAAAUAACAUCUAUCUUAGCUUUAUCAACCUCUAAUCCACGUGAAGACACAACAUGCCCAAGAACUAUUCCUUGUUCUACCAUAAAAUAACACUUUUCAUAGUUCAAGACAAGGUUAGUUUCAAUGCAACUUUUCAAGAUUAAAGAUAAAUUUUCUAGACAUUUAUCAAAAGAAUCACCAUACACCGUGAAAUCAUCCAUAAAAACCUUGAUUAUUCUUUCAACAUAGUCAGAAAAAAUACUCAUCAUGCAUCUUUAAAAAGUUGCAGGAGCAUUACAGAGACCAAAAGGCAUUCUCCUAUAUGCAUAUGUACCAAAUGGACAUGUAAAUGUAGUCUUUUCUUGAUCCUCAGGAUUAAUAACAAUCUGAUUGUAUCCACUAUAUCCAUCAAGAAAGCAAUAAAAAGACUUACCUGCUAGGCGUUCAAGCAUUUGAUCCAUGAAUGGUAAUGGGAAAUGAUUUUUGCGUGUAGAAAGAUUGAGCUUUCUGUAAUCAACACACAUUCUCCAUCCACUCGAGAUGCGAGUAGGAAUGAGCUCAUCAUUUUUGUUUUUCACCAAUGUGAUUCCGGUCUUUUUGGGCACCACAUGAUUGGCGCGACCCAUUUACUGUCAGUGAUGGGGUAAAUGACUCCUGCAUCUAACAGUUUUAAAAUUUCAGCUUUCACUACCUCCAUCAUAGGCGGGUUCAACCUCCUUUGCAUUUCGCUUGUUUGUUUUGCAUUGUCCUCCAAUAGUAUAUGAUGCAUACACAUUGAGGGACUAAUGCCCUUGAUGUCGGCUAAAGUCCAUCCAAUGGCCGUCUUGUGAUCACACAACAACUUCACAAGUUUUUCCUCUUGCAUACUUGUCAAACCUUUUGCUAUGAUAACGGGAAGUGUAUUGUUGUCGCCAAUGAAUACAUACUUCAAAUUAUCAGGCAAAGGUUUUAAUUCUAACUCGGGGGCCUGUAAAAUAGAUGGCAAAAGCUUUUUAUGUGAGAGUACUAAAUCAACAAAGACAUUACCAUGGGGAACGGUUUGCAAAGCUUGUAAGGCCAAUACUGAUUCGUGCACGUUUUGGGGAACACACACGUGCCUCUCCAUCUCUUCUAUCUUGGUGAAAUCAUAGCCAUAGCUUAAAGCUAUGCUUAAUCCGUCUUCGCAAUCAAAAUCACAAACUUGCUGCACACACUUAUCAAUUUGGUCAUAACAUGUGAUAGAAUAAACAUUGCUAUAAGGAUAUUUCAUUGCAUCAUGAAAAUUGAAUUCAAUUUUUUCAUCUCCUACCUCCAUAGACAAGGUAUCCUUACCACAAUCAAUCUUUGCGUUGGCGGUUUUCAAGAAUGGUCUCCCAAACAAUAUAGGAGUGCUGGUUGAUGAAUCACAAGAAUCAUGUUCCAUAUCAAGAAUAUAAAAAUCACAUGGAAUAACCAAACUAUCAAUCUUGACUAGGACAUCUUCUAUCACACCAAGUGGGUAAACAAAACUACGAUCCGCAAGUUGUAUUACAAUGCUAGUUUUAUUCAAAGGCUCAAGACUAAGAGAAUCAUAAACAUGUUUGGGCAUAACACUAAUGGAUGCACCUAAAUCGCAUAAAGCUCUUUUAAAACUAGCAUUACCAAUAACACAUGGGAUAGUAAACGCACCUGGGUCUUUUUGUUUCAAAGGCAGAUUCUUUUGAACAACGGCAGAUACAACUUCACCCAUACUUACCGUUUCAUGACCUUUCAGUUUGAAAGCUCUCCUGGUAGUACACAACUCCUUCAAGAAUUUGGCAUACUUGGGAAUUUGCUUGAUAGCAUCAAGCAAAGGAAUGUUGAGUUCUACUUUCUUGAAAACCUCUAAAAUCUCUUUUUCUUUGUCCUCUUUCUUUGACCUAGAAGAACUCACAGGAAAGGGUGCAAUUGUUUUAAAACUGGAAUUCAUUGAGUGAGGACUUACCUUUAGAGUGUUAGUCGUGGUUUCAAUUUGUGAAGGAGAAGGAUGUUCCUUCUUUGUACUCAAUUCAAUUUUUAUCUCUUCUUCUUCCUCCAUCUAAAUUUGUUUCGACCUUUUCUUUUCAAGUUCUUUCCCACUUCGCAGCAUGAUCGCACUAACAUUCUCUUUUGGAUUCAAUGCUUGGGAGGGCAAUUUUCCAUUCAUUUGUGCUUCCAAUUUCCCCACACUUGAAGCAACUUUUGCCCCAUUUGCUUUUCCAAGUUGUGAAUACUUGACCUUGUUUCCUGUUGAAAAGACAUGACAUUUUGUUGCAAAGUAACAGUAUUAGAAGCCAAAGUUUUCAUCAUCUCACGAAGAUCAUCAUUGGGUGACGACCCCACAACAUUGGAGUUUGUGAAUGGAGGAGGUUGUCUUGCUUGAUAAUUCUGUUGGGAUUGAAAUCCAUGGGGAUGGAACUAUCGGCCUUGAUUGCCUUGUUGGGAUGGGUUGUCGUAGCGUAAGUUGGGAUGAUCUCUCCAUCCGGGAUUGUACGUGUUGGAAAAGGGAUCAUAUUUACGCUGGGGCUGUCCGUUGAAUGCUCCAUCAAUUGCAUAAGCUUGUUCAAUGUAGUCUUCUUGCAUUGUUGGGCACAUAUCCGAAGCAUGUCCUUGUAAGGAGCAUAUGCUACAAACUUUCACUUGCUGCACAUUUCCACAAGCCAAAGAACGCACAAGAGAAGUAAGAUCAUUAACUUUAUUUUCAAGGUUAGAAAUACUUACCUCAUUUACUCGUUUGUUGGAGAAGUCUCCACGAGUGCCAAAUUGUUUUGAGUUGGCUGCCAUGUUUGAGAUCAAUUGGCGUGCAGCCUCAGGUGUCUUAUCCACCAAUGCGCCUCCACUUGCAGCAUCAAUGAUACUACGGUCAGUGGGCAUCAAUCCUUCAUAGAAAUAUUGAAUGAGCAGCUGAUCGGGUAUUUGAUGAUGAGGACAUUGAAUGCAGAGUUGCUCAAAUCUUUCCCAAUAAUCAGAGAGUGUCUCUCCAUGAGAUUGCCGAAUCCCACAUAUUUCUUUCCUUAUGUUGGCAACUCGAGAUGCUGGGAAAUACUUCUCAAGGAAAAUCUUCUUCAUAGCAUUCCAAGUUCCAAUAGAUCUUGGGAGAAUAGAGAAAAGCCAUGCCUUUGCUGCCCCCUUCAAAGAGAAAGGGAAAGNNNNNNNNNNNNNNNNNNNNNNNNNNNNNNNNNNNNNNNNNNNNNNNNNNNNNNNNNNNNNNNNNNNNNNNNNNNNNNNNNNNNNNNNNNNNNNNNNNNNUGCAAGACCAUUAAAUGUUGGUAACAAAUGUAUAAAACCAGAUUUGAGCUCAAAGUUUACAUUAUUGUCAAUUUUUAUGCACAAUGGUUGAUUUUCCACGUUAGGAGCAGCAAGCUCCUUGAGUGUUUGUUGUCGUGCAAUAGCCAUGGUGUUGAGGCGAGCUUCCUUUCUUAACCUACGUAAAGUGCUUUCUAUUUCAAGAUCAACCUGCACUUGAAUUUGAUUAGUAGAACGGGUCACAGGCAUAAAUUGCUAAGAAAACUCAAAAGAAAGUAACCACACAAAAGAUCAAAAACAAUGCAAAUUGUACGAAAAUCCUACGGUAGAAAACUAAAACUGCCUAAAAACACUAGAAACCAGCGGAAUUUGGCCUCAAUAGGGUGGGGCUAGUGAUUUAUCACUAGUCCUGUUCAGAACGUCGUUUCCCUUCACAAAACAAAAGACCGAUACCUAAUUCCACAAAAAACUCUGUUUUGAACAGUACCGCUGCCGCAAGUGAACAGUACCGUCGCAAGCAAAAAUUUUGUUUCUCUUUUUUUUUUUUUUUGAAUCACAGCAAAUAAAAAUAACAGUACAAGCACAAGAAUCAACUAAAAUUACUUCCCCGGCAACGACGCCAAAAUUUGUUGCGAUGUCGCGAUCGCACAAAUUAAUUACCCUAGCUUCAAACACAACACACAAGAUAGUAUAGAGCAAGCAAGGGGUCGAUCCCACGAGGAAGUUUCAAGUCACAUUUUUAUGUUGUACGUUAUGUAAUUGGGGGGAUUUGGUUUGUGAUUAUCUAAACUAUGGCAGCAAUUAAACUAGCAAACAAAAUCAAUUAAAACCGAAACUUAUCAAGAAAACAAAUCUUGGUCGCAAGCACACAUCCACCAACGGAAAUUAGAAUCGAUCCUUGAAACGAAAAUUGCAGUUUAUGUUCUGAAAUUUUAUCUUUUCUUAACGUUGAUUAAUUAACGGAUCCGCCGUAUAACUAAUCUUAACCAACAAACAAUCAAAGUGUCCGCACUAAUGAUUCAAUUUAAUGGUAGCUUUAAGAACUAGAUAAUUUCAUCAAGAUUAACAUACAAGCUGUCCGCAGCUUGUGUCACUUUGUUCAAAUGUUCUCCCUAAGUUCAAUAACGUAGUUCUGCCACAAUUAUCAAGCUUAGUUGCUUCACAAGUUCAUAUAUCACAACUCCGGUUUUGAUAUUAAACUUAGCAAUAGAUUGUUCACAACAAUAACUUAGAGUCCGCUCUAGCAAUCAUCAACAACAAUCAUAGGAAAUAUGCAUAGGCAAACAAUCAUACUCAUUCAUAACAUAAACUGAAAAUAAAAGGAAGACNNNNNNNNNNNNNNNNNNNNNNNNNNNNNNNNNNNNNNNNNNNNNNNNNNNNNNNNNNNNNNNNNNNNNNNNNNNNNNNNNNNNNNNNNNNNNNNNNNNNGGAGUAAACAUGAAAUUGCGAUGACCCAUCACAUAUAUGCAAACAGAAGGCAUGGGAGUAGUCAGUUCCCCUUAUUAGCAUGCUGAACACAUCAUAUCCCAAGGAGCUAGCUAGUCGAUCUGCUGGAAUGUCACGUUUAUGCCUGUGAAGGCAUGGGACUGUUUUUUUUUCUUUCCUUAUUCAAUUCAGAAAAAAAUUGUUAUGAGAAGACAAUUGCCAUGAAAAUAUGAAAACUAAACAGUACUUUAACUUGGAUAUUCUUUCUGUUUUUCAUAGAUUAACUUAGAUUUGUUUUAAAGACUAGCAAUUGAUAAAGCUGGAUGGGUUUAACAUACUGUUUAUGUUUUUUAUUUUUCCAGCAAUAUGAAUGGCUUAUUGGAUCACAAUAUAAAUCAAUAGAGUUGGCUAAGUCUGAUUGGGUUGCAACAAGGAAAUCUCCACCUUGGGGCAUUGAUUAUUGGGGCUUUGGUAAGUCAAUUUUGCUCCAUUUUUUGAUGGUUGCUUAAUUAGAUUAUGCUUAAUUUGUCUGCUGGGCAUGCCUAUUGUAAUCUUUUCAAUUAAUUGGAACUCUGCUUUUCAUUGGGAUAAGAUUAUUCAUAUUUAAAUUUAUUGUCCUUGUAGAUCCUAGUUUUGGAGGUUUAUGUGAACAUGAUGCUGGGAUUAUAUUCAAUUAACUUUUCUGGGCAUAGUACUGUCUUUUUUAUUUCUGCUUUUACAUAUUGCUUCCUGAAGUUCAUGUUUUUGGUGUUUUUUCUCUUAAGAAGAAUAAUUAAUGCUUUUACAAUAAGCUGUGGGGGGGGAACAUUACAAGAGUAAAAAGAAUGCGGUAAGAGGUGAUAAGGACAUAUUUAAGGGCGGAAUCUUAUGGGGAAACUUUAUUUUUGCUAGUGGAGGGUGUGGUGACUGUUUAAGGAUUCCUUAAUUUGUCUGUAAAGUCGGGGUGUUUUGUAGCUUUGAGGUAAAAUUGGAUUUAUAAUUACGGGGAAAGAAAAUAAAAUUAUUGGUUGACAGCAAGCUGUUGCGCUGUGAAUGGAUGGUGGAGGAAUGAGGAGAUGUUUUGGACUGUCAUAAUGCUACAUUGAUUUAUUUAUUUAUUCUCCACUGUAAAGAUAUUUAUUUUCAAAUUAAGUUGUAUAUCAACUGGAAAGUAAAUCUCUUAUGUUACACGGGCCUCAUAUGACAUCAUCAUAAAUGAAAGUAUUGCUGUAAAUUAAAGCACAAACGUCAAUUGUUUUUCCUUCCAUUUCAUGUAGUAAUAAAUAAGAAUUGGAUUGAAUAAUUCCAAGAUAAAAGAGACCUAAAACAACGCUUUUUCCUGAGGUGAAGCAGUUUGCCAAGCAUCUAGGUUACAUAUUAUUCUUGCUUCUGAAAGAAAAAGUAGGAGUUUGAAUGCUUGUGAUGGAAGAAAUAAGACCAAACAAGAUUCUUGAUUUAUUGAUGCACAUGCAACAAUUAAUAGCACCAAUAUCUUUUGCUUUAUUUGUUGAGCCAUCAAAUGACACUAGCUGUGGGUGAAUAUUCAGUGUUUCAAUUAUAUUCACCAUCAUAAUUUCCUCAAGAUUGAGUAAUUCUCAUUUCUCAUAUAUGAUAUUCUCACCUUCAUCUUGUUUGCUGGUGGAAAAGGAAAGAAAUUUAACUGGGAGUUUCCCAAUUUUAUCCAUUGGAUGACCAAAACUAAGCCCCCCUUUGCCAGACAUUUCAGUGUCACUCCUAGUCUGAUGUACACAUUCUUUUCUAUGUUAAAAAUCUGUCUCGUCAGACCUGUAACCAAAAGAAUGUCUCGGCCAUUUCUUCUGUUGACAGACUAAAGCAUACAGAAGUUGUUUGGGCAUCAGACCUGUAACCACUCAAGUCUAACAAUAUAGAAAUAUAAAAGAACAAAAUUAGCUAACAAAAAUGUGAACAACAACCAGAUUGAUAACAGGGUCAGACUCUAUAAUUAGCAACCCCAAAUGGUAGAAUCAUCAAUGAACACUCCUGUGCGAAAUUAAUUGGUCAAAUGGAUAUCAGACAUCCACAUCAGACCUAGUAUAGGACUGCUUCAAAUAAAAAGUAAAACUGAACUUGAGUACUCCACAUAAAAUCAAAAGGGUAAACUGAAGAAAAAGGAAAAAAAAAAAAGUUCCCCAUUCAGGAGUUACUAACUAGUGAAGUUUUAUUGCAAGUAAUGAUUUCCCAUUUGAAAAGGAGAUGUCUGCUUUUUUCUCAUGCUAAAUUCCAACAGAUUCCAAUUAGCUAGCACAUAUCUGAAAGACCUUGUCUUCUGGAUCAUUUCAAGCUUUUUACACAAAGCAAGCAUCCGAUCCCUCUGUGCAUUUUAUUUCCCUUCAUGUCUUUCCACCCUCUCAGGCGCAUCCUUGGAAUCAAUUUAACUUGGAUUUGUUUUAAAGACUAGCAAUUGUUAUAACUUGAUGGGUGUAACAUAUUGUUUAUGUUUUUUAUUUUUCCAGCAAUAUGAAUGGCUUAUUGGAUCAUAAUAUAAUCCAAUAGAGUUGGCUGAAUCUGAUUGGGUUGUAAUAAGAAAACCUCCACCUUGUGCCAUUGAUUAUUUGGGCUUAGGUAAGUCUAUUUUGCUCCAUUUUUACAUGGUUGCUUAAUUAUAUCGUGCAUAAUUUUUUUUAUUGGGCAUGCCUAUUGUAAUCUUUUCAAGUAGUUGGAACUCUGCCUUUUAUUGGAACAAUAUUGAUAGUUUGUAUAAGAAAACUAAUUGAAUGAUUUUCUUUUAUUAAAUAUGAUAUUGAGUUUAUUUUGGAUGGAAAUUAUGAGACCAAAAUGAAACCUAGAGGUGGCUGAAUAAUAUAUCAAUUAAUUGCAAAUUUAAAUGUCGUGCUAUUUGUCAAGUCUUGAAACAUAUUGUGACGUUGAGAUUGAGAAGACAACAUUUCUCUUACGGUCUGCUCAUGUCAAUUAAUUAACAAUAAUAUUAUGCUCCAUACAUAUUAAGAGAAGAAAGAAGGCAACAAAUCUACUAGUACAUGAAAUUAACUAAUUUGGAUUGUGCUUAAAGAAUUUAUAAAACAAAUGUAUUUAUAUUUUCAUCCACCAGUAUUAUAAUUAUUAUCUAAUUAUUAUUUUACUACGACACAAAAGAUAGAUACAAUGUAUAUGAUAAGAGACAAAGAUACAAAUGUGAGUAACUAUUAUAACCCAUAAUAAAUUAUGUUUUUUUUUAUAUUGCAUUUUCAUCUUUUUAAAAAAAUAAAAAAAAUUCUUUAAUCUUGUAUUACCUCGCAUGUUUCUGAUUUCAUUUACCAUUUCUUAGUUGAGCAAAAAAAGAUCCGAAUAAAAAUAAAAAGUUUGAUGGAUCCAAUAAAAAUAAAAGGAUCCAAAUAAAAUAAAAAAAACUAUUUCAGGUGGUAACAAAAGUUAGAAGGACGAAUAAAAAAAAUGAACUCCAAAACUAUUAUAAAGAUAAAUUUAUUUAAUAUUUGUUCAACUAAAUAUAUUUUUUUUCUUUAUCCAUUCAUUCUGUAUAAAAUACUAACCGAACAUAAUCUAAAAAGUAUAUUUUUGUUACUAGUUAGAAAAUAUAAAUGACAAUAUGAGUGUGUGGGAAUUCCUCACACACUCAUAUUGUCACACUAAACAGCCCAUAUAAUUAAAAACUCAAUAAGAAAAAGUAGAAGAAAAACAGUUAUCCAUUUUUUAGCUUCAUAUAUGUUUGAGCUGGACAAAUAAUUAAAGUUUAUUCAUGUGGUACAUAUUUUAUUUUAAAGGAUUGUUUAAGUACUAGUAGUUAAAGAAGUAUGCUUAUUUCAAAAAAUGCUUAUUGGUGUUGUCAUGUUAAUUAGAUUAACAUGGAUGAUCGAUCGUGGAUGUAUCGUCGUUUUAUGGAUGGUCGCCUUCGUCCUGAAUACAUUACUGGUGUUAGAAGAUUUAUCAAUUUUGCAUUUUCAAUUGAUAAAAAUAUAUCUGGGGGAAAAAUUAGAUGUCCUUGUGUGAGGUGCAAAAAUCAAAAGUUUUUAAAGGAAGAUGAUGUUUGUAAACAUCUAUUGACAAAAGGUUUUUUACCUUGUUAUGAAAAUUGGACUGUACAUGGGGAGCCUUAUGUCGCAGAACCAAUAUUGGCUGGACCUUCAUCGAUUAUAAUGAGUCAUGAUGUGAAUGAUGUUUGUCUAGAGAAUCCAUAUAGGAAUCUGGUUAUGGAUGCAAUGGGGGUUGGUGAUGCAUUCUAUAAUGAUAAUGUGUCUAGUCCUAUGGUAGCAGGGGAAAUUCCAAAUCCGGAGGCAACUAAAUUUUUUAAGCUUUUGAAAGCUGCGGAGGAGCCGUUGUGGGAUGGGUGUACCAAGCAAUCCAAAUUAUCUGCUUGUGUACAAUUGCUUAAUAUGAAGUCAACUUUAAAUUUGACUCAGAAUGCCUUCAACAAUUUUAUUGACUUUACAAAAAGUUGCAUGCCUAAUGAUGAAAAUUUGGUUUCAAAUUUUUAUGAUGCCAAGAAAUUUAUGCGGCCACUUGGACUUGGUUAUGAGAAAUAUGAUGUGUGUCCUAAUUACUGUAUGUUGUACUAUGGGGCAGAUGCAAUGAAAAUAAAUUGUGAUUUUUGUGGAAGUUCACGAUACAAACCUAGAAAUCCAACUAGUAAAGGUUCCAAUAAGGCGGAGAAGCAACUCCGAUACUUUCCUCUAACACCAAGGCUUCAGAGACUAUUCAUGUCUCCAUAUCAUGCUAAAGAUAUGACAUGGCAUCAUUUUCAUAAGUCUGAUAAUGGGGUUAUGGUGCACCCAUCUGAUGGGGAGGCAUGGAAGGAGUUUAAUCGUGUCCACUUAAGCUUUGCAUCAGAUCCGAGAAAUAUUCGGUUAGGGUUGUGCACUGAUGGGUUUUGUCCAUUUGACAUGUCUUCAAAUACAUACUCUUGUUGGCCAGUAAUUGUGACUGUUUAUAAUUUGCCUCCGUGGAAGUGCAUGACUAGACCAUUCAUGUUUUUGACAAUGAUGAUUCCUGGGCCAAAGAAUCCGGGUAAAAAGCUUGAUGUUUUUCUAAGACCUUUGAUUGAUGAGUUAAAGAAUUUGUGGUUUUUUGGUGUUGAAACAUAUGAUGUAUACAGAAAGGAAAAUUUUCAAUUAAGGGCAGCUUUGAUGUGGACCAUUAGUGACUUUCCAGCAUAUGGCAUGUUAUCGGGGUGGAGUACUCAUGGAAAUUUGUCUUGUCCUUAUUGUAUGGAGCAUAACAAGGCUUUUAGAUUAAAAAAUAGGGAGAAAACUACAUUUUUUGAUUGUCAUCGACAAUUCCUACCCAUGAACCACCCAUAUAGAUUUCAAUCUGAUAAGUUUUUGAAAGGAGUAAUUGAAAGGCUUCCUCCUUUACCUCAUCCAUUUGGUUUGGAAAUGUUAAACGAAGUGUCCAAGUAUACUGAGGGACAUAAUGGAGGUUCAUCAUAUAAUGAUAAAAUUCCUGGCUUUGGUGUUAAGCACAAUUGGGUGAAGAAGAGCAUUUUCUGGGAGCUUCCAUAUUGGUAUACAAAUUUGAUUCGUCAUAAUCUUGAUGUCAUGCAUAUUGAGAAAAAUAUCUUUGACAAUAUUUUUUAUACAGUAAUGGAUUGUCCGAAUAGAAGCAAGGACAAUUUAAAGGCUAGGUUGGAUAUUCAAUUGUAUUGUCAGAAGCCAAAUUUACAUUUGCAACAAGAUAUGAGUGGUCGGCUUUACAAACCUAAAGGCACUUAUUGUCUACACAAGAAGCAACAACAAGAAGUUUUGUCAUGGAUGAAGGAAUUAUCAUUUCCUAAUGGUUAUGCUUCAAGCAUUUCACGAUGUGUGAAAGAGGCACAAUGUAAGGUUUCGGGGAUGAAGAUCCAUGAUUGUCAUGUCUUCAUUCAAAGACUUCUUCCAACCGCUUUCUGACCUUACUUACCUAGGCCACUGUGGGAGGCAUUAACUGAACUGUCUGUAUUUUUUCGAGAUAUUUGUUCAACAAAUUUAAAUGCCCAGCACAUGGAGUUAAUACAGAUGAAUAUAAUUGAAAUAAUUUGCAAACUUGAAAGGAUUUUUCCUCCAUCCUUCUUUGACUCCAUGGAACACUUGACGAUACAUCUACCUUACGAGGCAAAAGUUGGUGGACCAGUUCAAUAUCGAUGGAUGUAUCCAUUUGAACGAUAUGUUUUCAUACUAUGUUAAUUUUAUUCACUUUUUAUUUUUUUAAAAUAAACUAAUUGACAGAAAUGAUAUAGGUAUAUGUUUUAUUUGAAGAAGAAAGUGACCAAUAAAGCUAAAGUUGAGGGUUCCAUAUGUGAAGCAUACUUGAUUGAUGAAAUUACCAAUUUUGCAUCUCAUUAUUUUGGUGAUGACUUGCAAAAAAAUUGGAAUCGAGUUCCACGGAAUGAUUAUGGUGGCCUUAGAAGUGUAGAUGGAUGUCUCUCUAUUUUUUCCUAUACAGCGGAAAAAAUUAUCCAAAAGAUUUUAUAGAAGGCAGUUGUCACAUGCUGAAAUGCAAAUUGCGCAUAACUAUGUGAUAUUCAAUUGUCAAGAACUGAAGCCUUAUUUAGAGUAAGUAUGAAAUAUUAUUUUGUACUAAAUUUAUAAUAAUUUAUUAUUAACUUUAACAUUUUAAAAUUUUAGGCAAUGUCGACAAGAGCUAAAGUCACAACAACCACAUGCGAGUGAUGGUGAAAUUGAAAAAUUAUGCGAAGCGAUCUUUCCAAAUUGGUUAAAAAAUAAUGUAAGUAUUUUAAUAAAAUUAAUUUAUAUUUUAUGUCAAUUAGCUACUUUAAAAAUAUUAUUAAUCUCUUUUAAAUCAUUAUUUCUUAUGGAGUUAACUAUUAUGCUAGGUGGAAUACCAAUCUAACGGAAUUGAAAAUCAACUCUUUGGACUUGCUAUUGGCCCUUCAACUUCAGUGAAAUGUUAUAAUGGGUAUUAUGUGAAUGAUUUUAAAUUUCAUACUCAACGUUAUUGCCGUUUUAAAAAGACAAUGAAUAGUGGAGUUUGUGUGAAAGGAAGUUGCUAUGAUGAUAAUGAAUGUGAUUAUUAUGGAAUGCUUAAAGAAGUUGUUCGGCUAAAAUACUUGGGGAGUAAGUGCAAGUUAUUUAUGUUUAAAUGUAAUUGGUAUGAUACAAAACGAGGGAUUAGAGUGCAUCCUUCGAAUGGUUUGGUUGAAAUCAAGCAUACAUCUCGACUACACGGAAAUGAAGAUUUUGUGUUAGCACAACAAUGUCAACAAGUCUACUAUACAUAUCCACCUGGUAAUAAAUCAUCUGAAUGGUGGACGAUUAUUAAGACAACCGCUAGAAGUCAUUAUAAUGUUGACAUGGGUGAAUUUAUUGAAGAUGCCAACAAUGUGAGAUCAUUUGAUGUUGAUCAAUCAGAUGAGAUUUCUCAACCAUGUCGUGUCCUUCCUACUCAAACACUUGAUGAUCCAAAUAUACUUGUUGAAUCAUCUUAUUAUGAAGAAAUCAAGCAACAUGAAUUGAUUCAACUUGACAUGAAUUGGGGAAACAAAGAUGAUGAAGAUGAUGAAGAAGAAGAAGAUGGUGAUGGUGAUGGUGAUGGUGAAGAAGAAGAAGAUGAUGAUGAUGAGGAUGAAUGUUAUGGUGGUGAUGGUUAGGAAUGAUGAUAAUAAUGAGUAGCACAAGUUAAUUAUAUUUUGUAGUAUAUGUAAUGAAUUAUCUUUAUUAUAUGUAUGAAUGAUUUCAUAUUAUUUGACAAUAUUUAGGCUUUCAAUGUUUUUUUUAUUAUUUUAUUCAAGUGUGUGUUAUGCAUCACAUUACAUAAAUCAUUUUCAUUCACCUUUGAAACCAUUUAUAACCUUUCAAGUAUCAAUCUUUAAAUUGUGAUUCUGAUGUUAUAUUUUAUUUUGUGAUUCGUUUUCUUGCUUAUAGAUGCUGAAGCGUGAAAGAAAGGGUUCUUCCAACUCAAUGUUUUGAUUUAUAGGACCAAACAUUAAGGUAAGCAUACUCAUAAAUUUUGAUUUCUGCUUAAUUAAUUAUUUAGAUUUUUAUUUUUAUUAUUGUUUGUGUUAAUUGGCUUUUGACAAUUUAAACUUCAUGGCUGAGUUUUGUCAUUGCAAGGAAUGCUUAAUGAAAUUGUCUUGAUGUUAUUUAUAUAUUUGGUUUUGUUACAGUAAUUAUUUUAUUUGAAGUAUAAUAUUUUUCGGAGUGAUGACUAUUAAGUGGACAAUCCAUACUGAUUUUGAACAUCAUAAACUAGAAAUUUUUUGUAAUGAAUUGGGGAAAAAAUGAGAUUUAACAGUUUGUUUUCAUUCUAGUUAUGGCAGUCUUGGGAAAAUAUCUGUGAAUUUUUUAUUCCUGAUAGUUUAACUAUGAGCUAAUUUAUUGUUAUGUUGUAUAUAUUCAUAUUAAAUGUUAGUUAUUUUUUUCUGGUUUUUAGCAUGCCUCGACGAGGAUCCAUAUUAGAUUCUAGGAGUGACAGGUCCACAUCAAGGAGUGACAGGUCCACUUCAUCCAAGUCAUUUCAAACUACAUCAAGGCAUAAUAACAAAGGAUCCACAUUUCAUCAACCUGUGUAUCAGAACGCAAAUGAGUAUUAUAUACCUACUUUGGGGAGUACACAUCCUCCUCAACAUGAUUAUGGGAGGGUUGAUGCAUAUCAAUAUUGUGAGGGCUUUCGUUUUCAAGAUUUGCUUCAAACUCAAGGAGGUUUCUCUCGAGAUAACCAACUUGUUUAUGGAGGACAUAAUUUAUAUGGGAGUUAUGGGAGAGUUGAUGGUAAUGAUGAUGAUGUAAACAUUAGAAAUGAAGAUGAGGGAGACGGUAGUAAUGAGAGAGGUGUAUGUGAUGAGAGAGAUGUAUGUGAUGAGGAUCAAGAUGGUGUUCCAUCAUAUCACGGUUCAACAUCUUCUCCAUACAAUUAUGAUCAAAGUGUUAAAAGGAAAGGUUUUGACACGCCAAUAGAUCCAAUAACAAGAAAAAAAGAGCUUUGUUUGUAUGGAACAACAGAGUAAGUUCAAACUUUUAAUAACUAACUUAUUAAGGUUAUAUUUUAAAGUAUGAAAAAAAUUACUUAUUAUUGUGUAAUUAUUUGUUUAAUAUAAGUUUGUUAUUAUAUAUUUUCAGGUUCAAUAACGCAUCGUGUGGCCGUGCAAUCAGAGAUAUUUUGAGGUCCAAUUUUAAGGGAGCAUGGCACUCUUGGGAAAAAGUUGAUCCAAUGUGCAGGGAUGAACUCUUUAAAGAGUUUAAGGUAAAAACCAACACUAAUUGCCAUAAUAUUCUUUUCAAUUUUGAUCACUUUAAUGUAGAAUUAUGAAAAUUAUCAACUGAAUAGCUAUAACUGAUUUGUGUUAUAAUUUGUUCUUAUUUCUUGUUUACUCUUUAAUAUCAUUUAAUUUCUUUAGUUAUUACAUCAUCUUGCAAAUUCUGAACAAGAUAACACAAUAUGAUUAAUUAUUUAUAUAAUUUGAAAUUUUGUGCACUCUUUUUACUUGGUAUAUAUAUUAUUUGGUAGAAAAAAUAUUCCUUUCCUGAGGAAGAUGAGUCGAUUGUUUGUAAUAUUUGGGAAGAUAAGGCUAGGAUAGCUUUGAAUCAACAAUUGACACGAGCUUGCAAGAAAGCCAUGUCAAAAGAAAACACUACAAAUAUUAUAGAUUGUCUUGAUAAAGGUCCUGCCUGGAUAAACAAUGAUAACUGGAAUCAAAUGAUCAAAGAUGUUUGGUCCACCCCUGAAUUUCAAAGGAGAUCUGAAUCUGCUAGGAGGAAUCAAUUAACCAAAACAGAUGGCAAAAUAAGCACUCAUUCUGGAGGAACAGUGUCAUUUGCAUCAUAUCGAGCUAACAUGGUAAGGAUUUUUUUUUUUAUGCUUAAGAUAAUAAAUUAAAAUUUAUAUAUUUAUCUUUUAUAAUAUUUAUUAAUCUUGAAAGCAAGAGGAAGCUGGUGGAAAAGAACCUCUAUGGGAUGAUGUCUUUUCAGCUUUGCAUCAAAGUACUAAGCAAUCUGGUAGCUUCGUCGACAACAAGUCUAAAAAAGUGGUUGUAUGUAUUUUUAUUUGAUUAUUUCUUAAUAUAACUUAAGUAUUAUUCAACAUUCAAAUUAAUUUAUUGUUGCAUGUAUUUUAUUUGUAGGAAAAUUAUAAAAUGGAGAUGAUUUCAAAGUAUGGAACUGAUCGGGAAAAUCAUCCUUCAUUUGAUGGAGCAGCUUGGUGUGUGGCUUCAGGAGGAGUUACAAAGGGUAGGGUAUAUGGUGCACCUCAUAUGCCAAAAUCAAAAGUUAGUACAAGCUCUUCAUCACAUUCCUACUCGGUGGAGUCAUCAUAUCCCAGUUCAUCGUAUCGAGCAUUGCAAAAGGAGAUAAAGGAUAAAGAAGAGGAGAUAAAGAAAAAAGAUGAUUUUAUUCUUGAAAUGAAACGGCAGAUGGAUUCCAUGAAAGAAUAUCUUGUGAACAAUCUUGGAUACCAUGGUGGGACAUCAAAUAUUGAUCAAGGUAUGCCACCACCUUUGACUCCAUCAAUACCGCCACCUAUGGCUCCUCAGAUAAUGACACCUAUGGGUCCCGCAUCUCAACCAAUUUUUCGACCUAUACCUCGACCUUUAUAUCCUGAUCAAUCUUGUGUUGAUCCACAAUAUCAUGGUUCGUCUUCGCAACCAGCACCAUGAUUGUAUCUUUUGUUGUUUUUUUUUAUUGUAUUUGAACUUAAUUGUAUUAAUGCAAAUUUAACUAAAAUUUUUUAAUAUGAAUAUUUUUUUUUAAUUAAUGAUAUAAUUAUUUUUAAUAUUAAUUAAUUUAUGGUGGUUAUAUAUAUUCUACAACUUUUAAAAUAUCCAUAAAUAAUUAAAUAAAUAAAUUAAAAGUCAUUUUAAUAAAUAAAUAAAAAUUAAUUUAAUAAAAACAAAUGCAAUCACCAACGGAUUCUCCGUUGGUGAUUGCAACUGAUGCAUGAAUCAGCAACGGAGAAUCCGUUGCUGAUUCACAAAACUAGCAACGGAUUUAUCCGUUGCUAAAAUGAGCAACGGAUUAUCUGUUGCUGCCAAAUCAGCAAUGGAUAAAUCCGUUACUAAAAAAUCAGCAAUGACAAAUCUGCAUCCGAUUUUUGCCGUUGCUGAUUCCGUUGCUAAAUUGUUUUAGCAACGGAUUUUAGUAUUAUUUGCAACGGAAUAGUCCGUUGCUAAUUACUCCAUUUUUUAGUAGUGUCAGGCUCUGAGUUUGCUCCCCAGAGAUCACCAGUUCGAGUCCCACAAACCUUAGGGCCACUUAAGACUUACAUGAUCGUUAACUUCAGGGCCCGUGAGAUUUAUCGAGAUGCAUGCAAACUAACACGGACACCUACGUUAAUCUAAAAAAAAAAGGAAAAGAAAUGCAUUUGGCACAUUUAAUGAUUCAAAUGCUCAUAUGAAUGGAAUAUAAAAAAAAAUGAUGUAGGAUAAAGCUAAGCCUAAAAAGAGAUAUAAUUACAUAGAAUAAGUAGUCGAACAAAAAAGCUUGUAAUUUUUUAUCUAAAUGUAGAAUUGGACUCAAAUUUGACUAGAAGGAUUUAUAUGCCUAAUUCUAUAAUAAGGCCUUCAAAUUACACUCAAAAGAUGUUUUUUGAUUCAGUUAAAUCGGAGCCGUACAUACACAUUGAACUUCUUGAAAUAAUUAGAUUUUAGUGUAUAUAUAUACAAUUGAUUUUUAUUAAAAAGUUUCCAAAUUUUGUCACACAACAUCUCAAAAAUCCGAAAGUCACAUUCCAUCUUCCUCCCACUAUGUUUCUUUUGAAAAGAUGCUUUUGAGCCUGUUGGAAUUGGAUGGGAUGUGCUUUUUUGAAGGAUUUUUUUUUUAGAACAAGGAAUUAUAUAGUUUAAAGGUUUGGAGAACAUUUUUUUUUCUUUUGAAAGAAUCAAAUUUGUAAAUUCACAAGUAUUCACAAAGAAAAGAAUUACAGUUCUGAUGCAUCAUAUGCUACAAAGUGCAAACAACACAAGAUAAAUGGCAACUCGUACUCUCAACUAAGAAGUAUCAUUGAAACAUUUUCCAAGCUAAGCUCAUACCAAGUAUUUUGAGCUAACUCAUAGUGGCUGUACCUUUGAAACUCGGAAGCCCCCACUGUAAUCAAAUGCAUCCUUGAUAUAAAUGCUCGAUAUUUAGCAGUUCCCUUGCUUACAUCAUCGUAGUUAUUUAAAAUUAACAAAUACAAAUAAAAAUACUUAUAGAAAAAUUCUAUAGAUAAAUUGUGAUGAUUUUUACCGGCAGAAUUUUCCAUCCCUAUAUCCAUUGGUAGACGCUGACAGAAAGAUUUUCUUGGCAUAUUUCAAGAAAAUAAUUGAGGGUAUUGCAGUGGGAUUCAAAAAAACAAAUCAUAUGAUGACAUGACAUUUUUACCAAUAAAAUUACUGACGAAAUAAUUCUAUCUGUAAUGACAUUGAUAAUAUUUAAUUUAUGACCUGACAAUCGACCCUCCUCUCCCUCUCUCCAAUUUUUCCUUCUUCCUUAUGAAUUUUUUUAGCUAACGUAGUUAAUUAAUACAUGUUGUCAUCAUUAUUUUAAAUAAUUACUUUGCAUGUUGUCAUCAUUAUUCACCCUAAGGGUUGCAGAUGAUGGAUUAUUGUAAUGAGAUUCAGGGUUUUAUUAAUUAUACACUAUCUAAUCUGAGAAAUAUUAGUGAAAUGGGUAUUAAAUGUUCAUGGAAAAGGUAUAAAAAUAAUUUUUUUCUCGAUUCAUAUGUUGUAACAAUGCAUCUUUAACAAAAAGGAUUCAUGGAGAAAUACUUGUAUUGGUAUGCAUACGGAGAACCAUAUGUUCCACACGAUACCAUGGUAGAAAGGAUGAUUGGGUCAACUUCUACUUCUAGCAACGUGCAUGGAGUUGUAGAUGACAAUAGUAAUCUUUAUAGGAAUAUGGUUAUAGAUGCAAUGGGAAUGAAUCACGAUCAUGCUAGUCAAUGUCUAAUCGUAAAUGAAGAACUUAAUGCAGAUACGAGUAGGUUUUUUAUGUUUUAAAAGAUUUUGACGAACCAUUAUGGGAUGGCUACAUAAAUCACUGUAAAUUAUUGGUCGUUGCACAGGUGUUCAACAUCAAAUGAGAUCAUAGGUUGAGUGAUGCCGGUUAUGAUAGAAUUUUUGAAUAGCCGAGAAGCAUUUUACUUGAAGGGAACAGGCUGAAAGAGAAUUUCUAUGUUGUUAUGUCCAUGAUGAAACUCCUUGGUCUAGGAUACCAGAAAAUUGACAUGUAUUCAAACUUUUGCAAGUUGUACUACCUUGAAAAUGCAGAGGUGGCCGAGUGUAGGACAUGUGGGCAUUCUCGUUGUAAACUCAUGACUGGCAGGGGAAGGACUCUUGUCACACAUAAAAGAAUUAGAUAUUUUCCAAUCACACCUAGAUUACAGAGGUUAUUCAUGUCACCAAAGACUGCUGAGCACAUGACAUGGCACCAAUCACAUGAUGCGGUGGAUGGAGUGAUGGUGCACCCUUUCGAUGGUGAAGCCUGGAAACACUUUAACAAUAUGCAUCCUUAUUUUUUAGUGGAGAUAAGGAACGUGCAUCUUGGGUUAUGUAUAGACAAAUUCAAUCCAUUCGGGUCAUUUCCUGCUCCUUAUUCUUGUUGACCGGUGAUACUCAUAGUUUACAACUUGCCAUUAGGGAUGUGUAUAAGGCCGGAGUUCAUGUUUUUAUCUACGAUCAUACCUGGUCCUAAUAGUCCAGGUCGGAAUAUAGAUGUUUGUCUUCAACCGUUGAUUGAUGAGUUGAAGUAGUUGUGGUCAUCCGGGGCUUUGACUUAUAAUGUAUGAAGGAAACAAAAUUUUAUGUUGAAGGCAACUUUGAUGUGGACUAUCAAUGAUUUUCUAGUUUAUGGAAUAGUUUCCAGUUAGAGCACGCAUGAAAAACUAGCAUGCCCAUACUAUAUGGAAAAUAACAAGGCAUUCACACUAAUAAACGGCCUUAAAGUGCUUUUUUUACUAUCACCGUCGGUUCUUGCCAACAGAUUGCAAGUUCAAAAAGAACAUAAAGGACUUCUUAGUUGGUAUGGUUGAAAGGGAUGUUGCACAACCACUUCUUUCAAGUGAAAAAUUGUAUAAUGUGGUAUCAGAGUACGGUGACAUUGUGUUUGGUUUUCAAUCCGGUAAGCAGAAGUUUCUUGGUUUUUGUUUGACCCACAAUUGGGUAAAGCGAAGUAUUUUCUGGGAGCUUCCUUAUUGAAAGACCAAUCUCCUCUGCCAUAACCUUAAUGUCAUGCACAUGGAAUAGAACGUGUUUGAGAACAUUUUUAACACGAUUAUGGAGGUGAAGAGAAAGACAAAGGACAACAUCAAGGCUAUAAUGGAUAUAGCUUUGUUUUGUCACCGUAAAAAUAUGGAGUUAGUUUAUGUUGGGUCACGGGUCGCAAAGCCCAAAGUCAGCUUCACCUUAGACAAGAAUGCAUAGUUUCUUGUUUUAUCAAUGGCUUAAAAGUCUGCGUUUUCCUGAUGGACAUGCCUCAAACAUAUCAAGGUUGGUGAAUUUGAAGGAUUGCAGAUUGUAUGGAAUGAAGAGCCAUAAUUGUCAUGUAUUUAUGCAAACACCCAUUUCAUUAACUUACCGGGAUUUAUUGUUGAAAGGGAUAUGGGAUGCACUCGUGGAGAUUAGUCACUUCUUUAGAGAUAUAUGCUCCAACAAGUUGCAGACACAAAACAUAAAGAGAUUUAAAAUGAAUAUCGUCCAAAUAAUAUGCAAACUUAAGAUGAUAUUCCCUCUAACAUUUUUCGACUUAAUAAAGCAUCUACCCAUACAUUUACUGUUUGAGGCAAAAGUUGGACGCCCAGUACAAUAUAGAUGGAUGUAUCCAUUUGAGAGGUUAGGGUUAACACAUGCAUCAUAAUUAAAAAUUUAUUAUCUUCCUUUGCUUAUUUCAAAACAUUCAUUUAAUUUCAUGCAGGUACUUGUUCAACCUUAAGAGAAAAGCAAAAAACAAGGCAUAUGUUGAGGCUUCGAUAUGUGAGGCCUAUAUUGUUGAAGAGAUCUCAACAUUUAUCUCGUACUAUUUCGAGCCUUAAUUGAGAACAAAAAUCAAUUGUAUUUCAAAGUAUGACAAUGGUAGGGAUGUGCCUUCGAGUAGGAACUUGUUAAUUGAUGAAGUAGAAGAGAACUCUGAUGAAUUUGCGCAACACAAAUGUGUAAUGUCAUAAGCUAUAAUGUAAUAUUUAUGGACGAGAUUCACUUCAAUGUAAUAACAAUGAUGUUAAUUUAUUAUUGAAAGACAAGAAAAUAUUUAUUUUCUUAUUGUGAUGUGAACUAGUGUUAUUGUGUUGUAUGUGCAGCUAUGAAUUUAAGUAUUUGUAGGAUGGAUAAAUAAGGAAUACAUAUGCAAUUUAGCAUCAGACACCGUUUUACACUGAUAAAAAUACUGACAUACUAUACAUUUCAUAUAGGUAUAUCGACAGAAUGUAUUUGUUGAUAUAUUCUAGAAACCAUAGGAAUUGUUCCCCUUCACCCUAGCACUGUUCAUGGUGUUUAUUACAUACAGGUUUAGCGACAGAAUGUGUUUGUCGGUAUAUUUCAGAGACCAUGAGAACUAUGCCCCUUCACCAUGACACUAUUCACGGUGUUCAUUACAUACAGGUAUAUCGACGAAAUGUGUUCGAUGGUAUAUUCCAGAGACCAUGGGAAUUGUUCACCUUCACCCUGACAUUGUUAAUGAUGUUCAUUACAUGCAGGUAUACUGAAAAAAUGUGUUCAACGAUAUAUUUCAGAGACUAUGGGAAUUGUGCCCCUACAACCUGACACAAUUCACGGUAUUCAUUACAUAUGGGUAUACUGACAGAAUGUGUCUGUCGAUAUAUUCCAGGGACCAUGGAAACUAAUUCACUUCUCAAUGCGAAAAUAAUUAAUGAUGUUUUUACUGUUCACUUUUUUUCCUAAUAGAAUCACCGACGGAAUGAAAAGUCAUCGAUAAUAUAUGGAGGGGCUUUCUAAAACUUUUCGCACAAGUUGAGAAUUUCCAUUUGACUUUAUAUUAUCGAUUAGGGCUUUCUAAAAAUAUUAAUAUUUAAUUUCAUGUCGGUAAAAACUAAAAUAAAAGACCUGAAUCAUGAUAGAUUAGGGCUUCAUCUUCUUCUCUCUUUCUCUUCUCUCUCUCCUUCUCACCUUAGAUCAAGCAUUCUCUUUUCUUCACAUCCUAAGUAUGUUGUAUUUCUUCAUUUUUCUUCUUUUGUUUCUUUUUUUUUUGGUUUAUUAACAAUGUAUUUUUUUAUUGUUUUUUUUUAAUUAAGAGCUUACAUAAAGCACGUCAUUAAGGUAAUAAUUUUUCAUUCCUUUUUCUUUCUUUUUGGUGCUUCUUUUCAUUAUGUUUUUUCAAAUUUGUUGUUCUUAAUUAAGAGCUGAAAUAGAGCAUUAUUUUUGUUCAAUUUUGUUUUCUUAAUAAUUUUAUUAAUUAAUAAAUGACAUGACUAUUAGUUGUUAUUGAAAUAAUUUUUGCAUUAUUUUAUUGAAAUUUAGUUAUUUUUUUAAAUUUGUUGUUCAAUUUCAAUUAAAUGUGUAGAAAUUAUUUUAAAUACUAUUUUGUAUUUAUUCCAUUUAGAAUAAAUUUUUAUAAAUUUAGGAUUAAAAAUAUUAUCACUUAGAAAUAAUUGUGUUUAAUUUUAGGUGUUAUUGUAAUAUAUUUUGCAUUAUUUUUUUGAAUUUUAGUUGUUGUUUUUUCAAUUUUGUUUUUCAUUUUCAAUUAAAUGUGUAGGAUUAAUUUUAAUUAUUAUUUUGAAUUUUUUAAAAUUUAAAAUAAUUUUUUGUAAAUUUAUGAUUUAAAAUAUUAUCACGUAGAAAAUGAAAAUUUUCUAUGAAAUUGAAUUAUGCUAAAUUGUUAGAAGAAAUUGAAUAAAAUCAACUGAUUUGUAGCAUAUAUAUUAUGUAUUUCCAAGUUUAAAAAAUUUAGGUAGUCUCCCAUAUAGGGUAGAUGUUUCCAAAAAAUUUUAAAAAAUAGGAAUCUUUUAAAAAAAUUUAUCCAUUAAUUUGUGUAGAUGUCUAGGGGAAAGUCUAUUACAUGUUGAGAGGACACAAUCGCUGGUAGUUCCUCUAGAAGUGAUGGUGACGAUCAUGAGUCAUUAGGAGCCGACCAAGAACAGGCACUUGAGGCACACACAUCGACUCAUGAUGAGGGCUCCUCGAGUGUGAUGCACAACAUCAAGGGGGGUCUCUUCAUAGCAGGAUCCAUUUACCCGCAAGUACGAGGCUAGAGAAAGGACGACCUUUCAAUAUAAAUUUGUUUUGCUUUCAUAACGACAUGUUUAAUAAUUUUUUUUAAAAAUAAUAUCAUUUAACGAAUGCAAUUUCAAGUUUACAAAUAUUGAGGUUGCUAGAACAAUCGCUGGUAGUUCUUCUAGAAGUGAUGGUGACGACCAUGAGUCAUUAGGAGCCGACCAAGAACAGGCACUUGAGGCACACACAUCGACUCAUGAUGAGGGCUCCUCGAGUGUGAUGCACAACAUCAAGGGGGGUCUCUUCAUAGCAGGAUCCAUUUACCCGCAAGUACGAGGCUAGAGAAAGGACGACCUUUCAAUAUAAAUUUGUUUUGCUUUCAUAACGACAUGUUUAAUAAUUUUUUUAAAAAAUAAUAUCAUUUAACGAAUGCAAUUUCAAGUUUACAAAUAUUGAGGUUGCUAGAACAAUAAUAUUGGCCUUUAAAUCGUCGAUGGAAAUUCAAUUAUUUCAAUGAAGACAAGUUUCCAAACAUCCUGAAUAGAAACCGCAGGUUGAUGUAUGGUUUUCAAGGUUCAAAGUUAGUAUUAGUUUAAAUAUUUUUUAAUGUUAAUUUGAACCAUAUAUUGAAAUUCUUGAAAUUUUCCUUUUAUAAAUUUUUACUUCAGAGGAAAUUUUGAAUGGGAGAGAGUUGAUGAUAAUUUUGCGAGGAGGGUUUCAAAGAAUCACGCUACAAUUAGAUAAAAUCGAAUUCAGGAUAAAUUUUUUUCUCAAAUAUUAAAAUUUUAUUUUUCAUUUGCUAACAGAUAAGUAAUUUGUACCAUAUAGAUUGCGUGAUUUUUUGUACGAGGCGCAAAAGAAAUCCAAAAAAUAUGCAAAAGAAAGAGAGCUUCUAAGUUGGAAUAAUAUGGCGGUUUGGAAGGAUUUCAAAUCGCCAUAUGUCUUAGAGGCUGUAUGGGUGGUAUACAUUCAGCACAUGAUGUCCGCGCAUUUCACUCGACGGUCAUAGUCCGAUAUGGAUAACCAGAACCGGCAUGUUCAUGGUUUUGUUGUCACGCACACCGGUGGCUCAAUUCCAUUCGUUUCACAUGCGAAGUGGAUGGUAGGAUUUUUUUUUAACAUCCAUUUUUUAUUGGUUGUUUUUUUAUAAAUAUGCUUAACUGAAAACAUUUUUUAUUGUAGGCUAUGAUUCUUAGACUCGAGCCAAGCCCAAUGGAGUUUUUUGUUGAAACCCAUGUGUAAGUUAUUAUUUCCUUGAAUUUGAUGAAUUUAUUUUUUCUUUCCAUGAUACAUAUAACAACAGUUGAAGGAGAGAUACGGGGACGAUCCUUUGACCCAUCUAGAUAUCGAUCUGGAUUUGUGGUUGAAGGCAAGAUCAUCGUGGACCCGAUAGAAAUUGUGUGUACGGACUCUCUAACACUAUAGCUAAACUUGCAGACAACCCAUAGUGCUUUGACAGUUGGAUGCAAUCGAUUCUGAGCAUUCAGACUCUUGAUUUCACAGUGAUAUUAGACCAACGGGUACAGGAUCGAACAACCGAUCUUAAUGAUAAAUAUGAACGACUCGCUACUGAUUAUAAAGAACUCUGUUUAUUGGUAAUGGAGAUGAGAUCAUAUAUGAGUGGUUCAUAUGCAACCCCUAAUUGGCCCUACGGUUCCUGCGACCAUCAACCUUCUCCUCCAGCGUCGCCUCUAUUUUAGAUUUAUUGUAUUUGAAUGUACAAAUGUUUAAAUUUGUAAUAAAUAUUUUAUUUUUAUACUAAUUGAUUUUAUUUUAAUUAUUUUUCUACUUUUUUUCAAUAUUUGUUUUAAGAAAAUAUUUUUAAAAUAUUACUGACGGGGUUACCAACAACACAACUCUGUCAGUAUAUUCUAGAGGGUUGAAAAAAAAUUACUACAAAUGCCACUAUUACUGAUGGGGUUACUGACAGAACUAGAUUGUCGAUAUAUUCCAGAGAGGUGAAAAAGAAUUACUGCAUAUAUCACUGCUACUAUUAACGCACCGAUGAAAUUACAGAAGGUAUUCUGUCGGUGAUAUGUUAUAUUUACCGAUGGAUAUACUGACAGAAUAAAGCGGAUAAAUUUGUUUUUGGCGUGCUGUAUCAAUUUGUAAAUCCAUUGGUAUAUUUAUUGUUGACGGACUUAACAACAGUCCAUAAAUUACCAACAUGAGUUUUUCCAAAUGACUGUUUAUGUCUAAGACUCUGUUAGUAACAUAUGUAAACACCAAAAGAAAUUUCUAUCACACUAAAACUGUUAAGUCUGAAAGUCGUUUGCUAGUCAUUUAAAUUCACAUAAAUAAAUUCUGGUCAGUCAAGAGAUAAGAGGCAAAGAAAACUCCAAAAAAUAUUUGAACUCACUCGUGGAAAGAAUGCUUCCGUCAGUCACCAGCUUGACCCAUAAAGAUAUCAGAAUUUCUUCCAAACGAAUCUGUCCCUCUAAUUGCAAACACACGGGUCCCCUCCGACCACUCCCCUCCAUCAAUCCUUGCAAGAAUCCAUUCUCUCUUGGAAUUGCAGCACCUGGCCUGAGAAACAACUAGCACAGCAUGCGAGAAAUGUAUUGAUCCUUGACGGCAGUACUGCGGUUUCUCAUGUGAUGCAAACAAUCAGUGAAGUGCUAGCUGGAAAUUUAUUUAAUUAACAUGAAUGAAAAAUUCAUCUAAAAAAUUUCUUGGUUUUUUACUUAAAUAAUUUUUUAUUUUUCUAUAUUUAAUUCCUGAUUUAUAAUGAUUAAUCAGAGGUUGAUAAUGGUAGGAAUUAAUUCUUCUUCCUUUUCCCUUCCAAAACUCACUAUUAAAAACGAAGCGAAGAAAGAGUUUUCAACUUGAAUUUUUCAGAUUCUUACAGUACUCUUACUUGCCUCAUAUUUUAGUGUUUUAUUCUCAUUUUAAUCUUUGAUUUUUCUCUCAAAUUUAGAGAUUAGAUUCAUCUUAAUUAUUAAAACACAUUUGAGUUUCAUAUUUUUUUUUUCAAAAACAUUGUUUAAAAGUACAUCUAAACUAAAGUGGUAUUGUUAGAGUCUUGAAAGAUAUAUUACAAAUAUCCUAAUUGCACAGGUGAGAAGCAGUAAAAUCUUAAGGACAAAUGAUUCAUCUUUAAUAAUAACAAAAAUUUCAUUACCUUAAACUACUUCAAUAAAUAAGUACCCUUUAGUAUGCAUGCUAGAAUUUUAAAUUAAUAUCAAUUGCAGGUUAGAUUAUAUGCUAAGUAUGCAUACUAGAAUUCGUUUUAUUAUAUUUAUGUUGAACACACGCUUGUCAUGAGUUAUGUUUUUGCUUGCUUAUAGUUUUAAACAUGUAUAAACUUCUAGGUUUUUGUUGGAUGUUUUUUUUUAGGAUGUAUUUGUGAUGAUAAACUAAAUAUAUUUGCUCACUAGUCUAAUAUAUUUACAAAUUUUUAGUAAAAUUUAUUUGCUUUAUUAGUUAUUUUUAUUUCUUAUUUAGUUUAAAAAAUAAAAUCUUAUAUUUAAUAAUUGGAUCUUUAUUGUUUUUUUUCUUUAGGUUUUCAAGUUUAUGUUAGUUUUUGAAUUUAUUUAAAGAAUUAUAAACUUACAACAUACUACUUAUAAAAAAUAUUCAAUUAUAAAAUUAUGAAUUAAAAUUCUCUGAUCUUUUAAAAGUUUUGUAUUCCUAUAUUUAUUAUCUUUUAUAUAUAUAUAUAUAUAUAUAUAUAUAUAUAUAUAUAUAUAUAUAUAUAUAUAUAUCCAUGUAAAUUGAUAGAAGAGCUCUCCAUCAACAUACUUACACUCCAUGAUAACUAUAACAUAAAAAGAAAAAAAGAAUGAAGAACAUUGUCAAUAAAAAAUUAAAAAAAAAAGUGGAAAUUAACCGUCAACAAGAACAUUAUUGACCACUACAGUAGUUCAUUUUAUCCUCUAAUAUUUGAUAGCCCAUGUCAUUAUCAAUGUUAUGAGACAGAGAGAGUCUUCGUAAUUCUUCUACCAUCUUUAUUAUUAAUAACAAUUGAGAUUGAGGAGUUCAAGUCUUCCCAUUAUAUAUCAAAUCAUUAGAUUAAUCUGGAUAAAAUUAUUUUUAUUAAAAAAAAAAAAUUUUAUUAAAAAAAAUUAUAUUAAUUAAACUGAGUUUAGCUAGGUUAAUCAAAUUACUAAAAUUUUAAUUAGAUCCAUUGGGUUUUACAGGUCAGUCCCUUUUCUAUUUCAAUUUAAAACUUAACCCAAAACUUUUUUAAUCUUUGAUUAGAAUAUUAAUAUUUAAAAAAUAAUAAUCGUUAAAUAAGUAUAUGAUUUUGAAUUCAUGAUUUAAAUUUCUUUUUCCUUCUAAAAAAUACAUGGCAUUGAAAAAAAAGAUCUGAAUAGCGGCUAGCACAAGCCAAUGGUCUCGUAUAUCAUAAUCGAUCAUUGAUCAAAUCCAAGCCACUUCCGUUCUAAAAAUGUAUGGAUGUUUAGCGCCUCCCUUGCUUGCAUCGUCGUAACUUGCCGAAGUGGAUGCAGAAUCCGCAUUAGGGUUCAGACCAGCAAGAUGCAAGAUAUUCUCAAUCUCUUUCACCACUUCACCCAUUGUUGGCCUGUCACUUUCGUUCUCUUCUACACAUUUCAAUGCAACGUCCACAAACUUAUCUAGACCUUUCAAUGUUGUGUCUAAACCAAUGCUUGAGUCAAGAAGUUCGCCGAGGUUGUACAAAUAUUUUGCUCUAUCCAAUGCCGUCUUUACCUCUCUCACCACGUACUUCCCCUUUUCUAUCGGCCUUCUUCCGGUUAAUAGUUCCAGCAUGACAACUCCAAAGCUGUAAACAUCACUCUUCUCUGUCAGCUGCUGGGUCAUGUAAUAUUCUGGAUCCAUAUAACCCUGGGAAAAAAAUGCAAUAAUUAAUACAAUCAGUUCUAUCAUCCAGUCCGGUCGUGCCAAAACUGCAUUUCAUUUUGUAAAAUCAAUCGUAGUUUAUGUAUUCUCGUAAUAUAACAUAUAACGAAGCGGCCUGUUUGCAUGUAGACACAGAGCCAAGAUGAUGAUUUUUUUCAUUUUAAUUCCAUAUACCAUAAGAACAGUACGAAAUAAUGGUAUGACGCAGAUGGAGUGGAGGUAUGGAGGCACUGACCAUCGUCCCCUUCACUUGAGUUGUAACAUGAGUCAGAUGACCCGUUUCGCUGUCUCCCAUAGGCUUGGAGAGACCAAAAUCGGCAACUUUUGUAUUUAAACGCUCAUCUAAUAGUAUGUUGCUUAAUUUUAUGUCCCUGUGGAUAAUGGGAGGGUUGGCAAGUUCAUGCAGAUAGGCCAAACCUCUUGCUGCACCUAGGGCCACUUUUAGUCUCCUCACCCAAUCAAGCCUGAUUCCUGUCUUCCCUGCUUGGAUUGGAAAGAACAAAUAGGAGAGUGUGAGGGGUUAGUGUAGUUUUAUCUACACUUAUAUUUUAGCUUCAUUACGCACAAGAAUUAAAGCAAUAGAGUUUUGUUAGAUGGCAUACACUAAAUUUUCAUGAAAAAAAGAUUGUAUGGUAGCAAAUUCCAAGUAUCAAAUCGAAGCAUUGAUAGCUCAUAGGUGCCGAUGAAAGUACCUGAUAGGCUUUCCAUGAGACUGCCAUUUGGAACAAACUCAUAUACGAGCAUUUGUUCACCUCUGUCGAAGCAAAAGCCUAUAAGGCUUACAACAUUUUUGUGGUGGACUCUGGAUAAAAGUUCAAUCUCAGUCUUGAAUUCUAGCCCACCCUGCAUCGAUCCUUGUUGAGCUCGUUUGAUGGCAAUUAGUUCUCCAGUAGGAAGAACUCCUCUAUAAACCUGUAAGGAUGUUAUCAUAUUUAAAUUCCAUGUUUUUCAGAAACCAAAAAAGAACAAAAAAACAUCAAUGCGAGGGAUUCUUCUUGUAAAUUUGAAAAUAUACUAUGAUUAAGCAAACAUUUUCCAUGCUAGUGUGAGAAAUGAGCCCAGUAAAAUUGAAUACUAACAGGCCUCUUUUUCACAGGUUUUUGUCGGGUGGAUUUAGGACAAAAUUGGCAUAGUUUACCAUGUAAAGAUUUUAGGAAACCAGACCAGACGUAGUGAAGUUGUAAUAUAAGAAUCAUGAUUGACAAGAAUCAAGUGUUGUGCACCAGUUCCGAAGAGCUUGAGAUUAAGGGUUUUCUUGAUUUAAAUCUUUACGUGCAUCAGGAACAUGAAUAGUUCAAAUGCAAAUAUCCAUGCGCAGAUACAUAAGAUGUGGCUAGGCUUUCAGAGAGAAUCAGACUUACGUUUCCAUAACCCCCAGAACCAAUGUCAUUGGUCUCUGAGAAGUUAUUGCUGUAUUUCCUGAGCUCUUCAAAAGAGAAGUUUCUGGCUCCUUUUAAUUGAGGAACACCUCCGAUACUCUUGUUUGAUUCCCACUGUGCUGAAAAAGAAACAAAACAUAUCCAAGAUAUUCCAUAACUGUAAAUACCAAGUAAAUAAUCAAAACCUUUUCAUACCAAAAGGAUUGUUUUGUUCAGUUGCCUUUUCUGCUCUCUUCUUUUGGCGAUGAGCAUAGAGCCCAGCGCCGAGCAAUAGCAGCAGGAGGACAGAGCCACCCGCCACAGCUCCAAUGAUAACACCAGUGUUUGAUGAUUUGUUUGAUCCUGUAACUUCUUCUGGAUGAGUAGAAAGACGGAGGAGAGAGAUGUUACAAUAAGAAAGGAGAAACAGCAGGAUAAGUUUUUCUUGUAGUUCUGUAUCAGUUAUGAGACUACCUGCGAAAUUUAGAUACGUAUCACCAUGAAACACGAAAGGUCCGAAUUGCGAUGGAGGCUUGAAAAUCUGGUUGCUCAGCGCAAAACCAAUUCUUGAAAUUCCUGUCCAAUUGAAACGAUCUUGGCCAAAUGGAAACACUUGCAGAUUCAUAACAAGGUAUGUUGAUGAAUCUUUUCUUGGAUGACUUAGAUUUACUGAAUCCACAGGAAGUUGAUGAAACUUGAAUGAGUCCAUCAGAGACUGUUCUAAAACAGUGUAAUAAGUGUCGUUUCCCAGGUUGAGAAUGAAGGAGCUCUGAACUGUAGAAGUCCUGUGUAUGGAAAUGCACAUUUACAGUUCGGACUGGAAAUCUGAUAAGCAAAGCACGAAGAAGCUACACAGUUAUUUAGAGGCGUUGAAUAGGAAGAUUCGUUUUGGGAAACACUGCAGUAACUUUCUGUCACUCCUGUUUCCUGACAAACUGGGUUGUCUACAAGUCUGCAAAAUUUUAACAGGUAAACAAGAUAAAGCUAGAAACAAGCAUAUAUCCUGGCAAUUCGACUUUCUCAAGAGUACUGAAAUGGUCUUGUCUAGCAGUGUAAUGGAUACAAACAAGGAAUCUGGCUUACAUUACGCCCACUUUUUCUACUCCGGGUCUUUCUGUGAAGGCAGAAAUUUGAUUUUCUCGCAAAUCAAUCAAUGACAGUUGGUUUAUAGAGCUUGUUCUAAUAUCCAAUGUGCCAUUGAACUUGUUAUUUCUUGCAUCCCUGUCACCAGAAGUCAAAUCAGCUAUCAACUAGCCAUGUCAUAACAUGGAAAUAUCUAUCUAAACCCAUUUUGUAUGAAUCCAAGAAAGGAAUAAGCUAAUUUUCGUUGAACAGCUUGAAGCUGACUCUUACAGAGUCUGCAAAUUGGAAAGGCUAAAGAAGUCAGAAGGAAUCUGUCCUUGAAGUUGUGUUGUCUCCAUCACCCUGCAAUGAGAAGGUAAUGAUAUCAUACUAAGACUGGGGUCUUAAUCUCUUUUUACGUUUUCAAAGUUCAAACAGCAACUAGGCACUCAUGCACUUGAUCAUUGUGAUAUUUGCAUGCAUGCAUGCACAAAGAAACAAGGAGAUAUAAUAUGGCAAGCCCUAUAACUGAAGCUAGAGAAACUUGCCAAGAUUUUCCAGCAUUGUAAAGGCCAGCACACACAUCAAUAUGAAGAGAAUGGAUGAUGAGAAAGGUAAGAAGGCUGCAUUAUGUCAGCAAAAGCAUGAGAAAAAUCAUGUCUUGUGCCUUCACGAACAAAUGCAUAUAUAUGAAAUACGAGGUUUCAUGAAGUGGAUGCUAAUAGUAUUGUUUACACAAACAAAUCAAAUAGCACAUUUUAUGAAAACUACAAAGAGAUAAUAAAGCUUGGGAUGGGCAAAGCUAAAUACAAAUAGAGGAGUUAUGAAAGAGUAUAAAGCUGUGAUAAGCUUAAUGUACUGAUUCAUUCAUCUACAAGUUAGAUAUUACUCAAGCAGAUAUAGAUUACUCAAGCAGAUAUUACUUCCUCAGAUUGGAGGUUAGACUUGUUAGGAAAUUGCCAUUAUUGUGGCAAAUGCCCCACCCACCACUAAGCAAGUGGAAUAUUUAGUGCCACCAUUUGUGCCUUAUUUUGUGGCUUUAUUGUCCCCUCCAUGUUGACAUUUGUGUGCUGGAGGAGCUCACCAUGAAAUGCCUAUAAAGGAGGCAUAUUUGUUGAGAGCAAAAUGAGAUGGUUGCAAGUGAGAGAGAACGUGAGUGUGUGUAAGAGAGUGAAGAGAAAGAGAGCUGCAAUGGCAGCAGCCUUGCUGCCAUUGCAGCAGCUGCAAGUGCAGCAAGAGAGUUGAUGAGUUGAGUUGAGUGGAUGUAAUCCUCCUCCUCUACAUGUAUUUUUGUAUCCUUUCUCUAAUCUCUAAUAAUAUAGACUCUCUCCCGUGGAUGUAGGCGAUUUGCCGAACCACGUUAAAUAUUGUGUCAGUGCGCAUUACCCUCCGAUGAGCAACUAUCAGUACACCCCCGGUCCGCGUAUGGGGGUGCCGGAAUCCGCAACAAUUGGUAUCAGAGCUGAUGGUUUAAAGGGGUGUUUGAUUUUUGCUCAGAAAUGAAAGUUGUCAAAAUUGUGUUUUGACCAUACCACUGUGUAGAGGAGGCCGAGACGAAGCCACUGGUGAAAACGGCGUCAAAAUCGGACGUCGGACAUGGCCGCACUCUCCAUCACUCUCCGGCAAGGCGUCUGCCCACGCGCGCAGACGCGCCCACGCGUCUUCUUCGCCCGGAUGAGUUGACCCGACCCGAAUACCAGUUGACUCGACCCAUGUGACUGACCCGGAUAUGAAUGACAUCAGCAUGACGUAAAAGUGACGUCAGCGUGAAUAGUAGACAUGCCAGGGAUGACAUUAGCAUGAUGUAACUGUGACAUCAUCAUGUACAGCAGCAUGGCCCAUAAUGACAUCAGCAUGAUGUAAUGAAGAUGUCAGUAUGCACAGUCAGCAUGACAUGCCAGCGUCCAGUCAGCAGACACGUCAGCAAAGUGGGACCCACAUGCCACGUCACCAUCCUCGAGCCGAGCGGAGCCGAGCCGAGUUGAGCCGAGCCGUUUUGUAGCCGAGCCGCGAGCCGAGGGAUAAGAUUCUGUGCAGCAGAGUCUAUGUGAAACCGGAUCUGAGAUUGAAUCUGGGCCGUUCAUCAGGCCAGAAUUGUUUUGAUCAAAUCGUAGCCGUCUGAAAUGCGAUUUGGACGAUUUCAGACUUGUUUCCAGCUAAUUUGAUCAUUCCGGAUGCAAUGGUACGGUCCGAUCAUUGAGAUUUGAGACCAAAAAUGGCGGUGGUGAAUUAACAAAAGAGAUUGCCCGAUCAGGAGGCAUCUGAAGGUCAUCAUGGUGGUCGACGGAGAUGAAGAAGAAGAAGGUGCACAUGUUUACCCAAUUACAUGUGCUGAACUGCUAAGUGGGGAGAAUUUUUCAGUUGCCUUGAAGGAAGGCAAAAUUGGGACACUCUGGACACCCGAUUAUGUGGACAAUUUGAGGUGUAGAGUGGAAACUGAUGAAGACCAAUCUUGACGAAUCUAAGCACUGGUAGUCUCGCCAGAUGUUGAGAAAUGAUGUAUUAAACCAGUAUAUUCCAGAUCACUUGUAAAGGAAAGCCGCAACAAAGCUAGCAAAUGGUUGUAUAUACGGAAAGACAGUACGAUGGAUAGAUAUGGCCUAAGAAGUUCUGUCUAGGAGAUUGAGUUUUAAGCGGGACCAGUGUGACCCCUCCAAUCUUUCCUGGGAACUUGCUUAGUGGAAGGAUUAUCCAUACGGUACUAUUUUCGUAUAUAUAGCAGUUUGUAAUGAAACGGUUGAAGACUAGCAGGACGACGGCACAAGGGAACAGUUGGGUUCCGUAUGAUCAAGGAUCUGAUGAAGUGGUGAUUUCUCCAAAGAAGUUAGAUUCGGUGACUGUGAUUUCUCGAUGGGAGAAUUGAUGAAGACCCUGAUAAUGGAAGAGGAAUGCAGCAAGGGGAUAAAGAUUGGCACCCUAUUUUGACUUGGACAGGUGUUAUGACAGGAUGAGCUGCUGUCAAACAUAAGCAAGGAAUAGGGGAAAAUCUGGAGAACAGAAAUUGCACGAGAGCACACGGAGAUUGUGCAGGAGUACACAUAGGAUCCAACGAGGUACUGUAAUGAGACAACAGGUGCAAGGAGAAGAAGUGUUUCCAGAUGAAGCUCAGAGCAGAGACUGUUAAAGUUUGUAUAACAGGAAGUCUCUUAUGCUCUUGAUAAAGACAACAGGCGAAGACCUUUCCAAUGCAUGCAAGGAUGGAAAGAGAGCUGUUGCAGAGGCACCUAAUUGAGGGGGUGCAAAUGCCUGUGAUACAAGGCAACCGCCUAUGAUGAAAGGCGAAGACACCAAAGAGAAUUGGUGUAGGUGGAGCUGUCAAGCAGAAAGGCACAGAAGCUCCAAACAUAGAAAUUGAGGUGGAGGAUUGCGAGAAGUAUACCGCAACUUUCUCUUUCUAUGUAGUCAGUGGCAGUAAUCUCUCCCAUAGUGCACAUGGUGGUAGAGAAUUUUGGAGCCACUUUAAAGCAUCUCAGCUGAAGGAGGAUGCGACCGCCCCAUGACAACGGGCGAAGAUACCUUAGAGAAUGUGUGAGGGCCAUUAGAGGAGCCCCAAUUCAGACCGCCGCAUGACGACGAGCGGAGACACCUGAGGAAAAGGUGUGUGGGCCAUGAUAUGAGCCCAGGUCAGAACGCCCCAAAGCCGAUGUGAUGGCUAGAUACAAGUGGACAGGUGUAUGGAUAGCCAAUGAAGUGGUUAUGAUGAGUAUGGAGACAAAUGCAGGAUUGACUUUCAUGGAUAUUGCCCCCAUGCUAAAGAUCAAUGAGCUAGAAGACAUUUGCCUUGGACAAUAAGUGUGUGACUUGUGGAGCAUUAAGACGCGGCUGCUAUGAAGAAGCAGAAGGGCAUGCGCAGGUUCCGAGAACGAGUUGACUCUUGUCAAGGUGGUGAGCUCGGUAAUGGCAUUGUAAUACUCAGAGUAUGAAGACAGAUAUGGAUCAACCUUUAAUGGGCUGCCCCCAUGGUUAAAGGUAGAGAGCUACCUGGACUCUUACGACUAAGAGCGAGAGACUCACGGAGAAGUAAGGCGUGGUUCCUAGGGUGGAACAGAGGGCAGGCGCAACUCCUGGAUGAGUAGACUCUUGGAAGAGUGGUGAGCUUGUGAUCACAUUGAAAUACUCAAUGACUGUCGCUGUUGCGAUGUCGCGGUCGCACAAAUUAAUUACCCUAGCUUAAAACACACAAGAUAGUAUAGAGCAAGCAAGGGGUCGAUCCCACGAGGAAGGUUUAGUUCAGAUUUUUAUGCUAUACGUUAUGUAAUUGGGGGGGUUUGAUUUGCAAUGAUCUUAAACUAUGGUAGAAAUUAAACUAACAAACAAAAUCAAUUAAAACUGAAAUAUAUCAAGAAAACAAACCUUGGUUGCAAGCACACAUCCACCUACAGAAAUCAGAACCGAUCCUUGAAACGAAACUUCAGCUUAUAUUCUGAAUUUUUAUCUUUUCUUAACAUUGGUUAAUUAACGGAUCCGCCGUAUAACUAACCCUAACCAACAAAUAAUCACAGUGUCCGCACUAAUGAUUUAAUCCAAUGGCAGCCUUAAGAUCUAGAUAAAUUCAUUAAUCUUAACAACCAAGUUGUCAGCUUGUGUUGCUUUGAUCGAAUGUUCUCCCUAAGUUUAAUAACGUAGUUCCGCUACAAUUAUCAAGCUUAGUUGCUUCACAAGUUUAUAUAUCACAACUCCGGUUUUGAUAUCAAACUUAGCAAUAGAUUGUUCACAAUAAUAACUUAGAGUCCGCUCUUAGCAAUUAAGAUAAACAAUCAUAUGAAAUAUGCAUAGGAAAACAAACAUACUCAUUCAUAAUACAAACCAAAAAUAAAUAGAAGAAUAAAUCUCACAGUUCUUGAAAUCUGAAGGUGUUUGCGUCCUUACAACCAAGAAAACGAGCUUAGCCUUGCAUAUCUAUUGAAAAACUACUCCUAAAGAUGAAAGAAUACAUGAUUUCUGAUUUGUAGAGGGGAGAGUUUGUGUUUCUUCUCUUAUGGCUGCCACCCUUCUUUCUUUGAUUCUACUGCACUCCCUCUCCCUCUCUCUUGGCUCCCUUAAUAUCAUGAACUUAGCUGCCUAUUUAUACACAAAUUGCAAGUAAGAAAAAUCAAAGUUCAAGUGUGAACAUCAAGAGAUGGUGGUAGUGUGAAGGCGGCUGGCGGCUGGCGGCUGGUGGCUGGUGGCUGGCAGCUGGUUGGUGGUUUGAGGUUGGUGGCUUGAGGUUGGUGGCUGCCUUCCUUGACCUUCUGGAUUGAUGUUCUUGAGGAGCUAAAUUGCUGAAAUUAAAACUUGGAUGUCGGUUUUGAUGCUUCGGGAUGUAAUUUGGAUUUGUUUCUUCACGAAACCUGAUUGCUGGCAGAAUUUAGCUGUCAUCUUUGAAAAAUCAUAUCACCCUCAUAUGACAUCGUUUUUGGCUGAAAUUUGGAGCGUUUAUACAACUUUGAGUCAGGAAUCCAAAACAAUUGAGUUUGCAUCAAUUGGAUAUCAACAUCUUCAGAUAUUGAAUUUUGAAUGGACAAAGGUCAACACUGGCAGAAUGCGAGUUUUGACUUUGAAGGAUGUGAUUUCCAUACUCUUUGUCAUUUUAUUUUUCUUCACUUAGAUUUCCAGAAAGGUAUGGAUGUUAUCUUUCUAAUGCCACUGGAAUCACUUCGUUUCGAUUUUUAGAACUCACGCUCUGCACAAAACAUCGACUGAACAUCAAAUCUGCCAAUUAUCUCCAAUUUACUCCUUUUUGCAUCUUUCAUCUAAAGGUGCCUUCAAAACAUAAAACAAAGAAUAUCAAGGCAUUUUAUACAUAAAACAAUAGGCAAAACACUAGUUAAAUGUGAGUGAAACUAUCGAAUAAUAUGGUUACAUCAGUCGCACUUGGAAAUAUUUGUUUGAGGGGGUGUUGGAAGCCUUGGUGUAAGGCUUGAAAAAUCAUUCUGGACCGAGCAUGGUUGAUACGCUCGAAGGGGAAUGUUGUGUUGAAGACGCUCUCAAAAUGGAAACUUGGAAGAACUGCAGAUUGCAAGCUUGUGCUGAAGAAGCAAAAAGGACAAUUGCCCACAUAAAUGGCAAAGGGGGUGAUUGUUAGGAAAUUGCCAUUAUUGUGGCAAAUGCCCCACCCACCACUAAGCAAGUGGAAUAUUUAGUGCCACCAUUUGUGCCUUAUUUUGUGGCUUUAUUGUCCCCUCCAUGUUGACAUUUGUGUGCUGGAGGAGCUCACCAUGAAAUGCCUAUAAAGGAGGCAUAUUUGUUGAGAGCAAAAUGAGAUGGUUGCAAGUGAGAGAGAACGUGAGUGUGUGUAAGAGAGUGAAGAGAAAGAGAGCUGCAAUGGCAGCAGCCUUGCUGCCAUUGCAGCAGCUGCAAGUGCAGCAAGAGAGUUGAUGAGUUGAGUUGAGUGGAUGUAAUCCUCCUCCUCUACAUGUAUUUUUGUAUCCUUUCUCUAAUCUCUAAUAAUAUAGACUCUCUCCCGUGGAUGUAGGCGAUUUGCCGAACCACGUUAAAUAUUGUGUCAGUGCGCAUUACCCUCCGAUGAGCAACUAUCAGUACACCCCCGGUCCGCGUAUGGGGGUGCCGGAAUCCGCAACAAGACUCCCAAGUUUUUAUGAGUUCAACUGGAAUUUGUACCAAAAUAUAAAUAAAAAUUCAGUAAGAAGAUAGUACAGAAAGCCACAUGUUACAGAACGGCAGAACGAAUAUACAGCCCGAAUUAACAUUAUGCUGCUUAAAGGUGCAUGUGGAGAUAGGUGAUUAGAAAAUAAGAAGUGAUAAUUUAUAGAGAAACUUUCUUGAGUUUAAGAGAAAAGAAAACAAAUGAUUGAUAUGCCGAUAGCAUUCAACACGCAGAUGGCUGUAAUCUGUCAAGUUAAUAUAAAAGCUCAUUCAAAGCAAGAUGAUGGAAAGAGUUUGUGCUUUGAAUGAGCUUAGGAAUGUAUAUGUCAUAGUUUAGGGAGAGCAGAUUUAGACUAGGAAAGGAGGCAGAGAACCAUACAGUGUUGUCAAAGACUGCAAGGUUGAAAACCAUGGAGGAAAAUCUGUAGCGCCGAAAGUAUUAUUGCUCAUGUCCCUGCAAACAACAUUUUCCUCAAAAUACACACAGAAAAAAGUAGAGCUAGAAUUCAUCUCAACAAUUGAUUAUAUGUACGUCUAAACCAUGUAAAAUCUUACAAGUAGGUGAGAUGAUCCAUGCCAGUAAGGUUGGGAAGUGGCCCAGUUAAGCCAUUGUUGGAUAAAAACCUGAAAAUUGGUCACCAAGCAACACACUUAACAUAGAAAAAACUCCCAGAAGAGAUAGUAAUGACUUCAACAAAACCAGUUGUAAUGGAAGGUCUCUCCCCUCCAUACUUACAUCUCACUGACACUGGUAAGAUUAUUGAUGUUUGUUGGAACAGGUCCAGUGAGCGAAUUAUUAUCAAGACGCCUGUAACCAACAUUGCAUGUUCAAUUACAACAUUAAGCAUCAAGAAUCUCAGUACAAAAUGACUUGAGUCUCCAAUAUCGAUACUUACACAACCUCCAAAGACUUCACAAGGCCAAGGGUGGAAGGAAUGCUGCCUGUCAGAUUGUUGCUCUCAAGAAGUCUGCCGAAAGAAAGACAAAGAAACCAAAAGAAUCAAUCAAAGAAAUGCUUAAACGGGCAGAUAUCUGUGAUUAUGAAUUAUGCAAUUCCAAAAGAUUCAAACAAAAGUGAAGCAAUCUUAAAAAUUCGAGAAACGAAUAAUGAUCUCAUAUCCAAUCUAUAAAGUAGUUAUUUAGCAUCAUCCAGCAUUUGAACUGAAUGGAACUUACACAUGUAUGAGAUUCAUCCCUGAGCUAAAAAGUUUAGGCGGGAUUUGGCCUGAGAGCUGAUUAAAUCCAAGAUGACUGUAAAUAGGUUUAAGAGGAACAUUAACACAUAGAAAACAGAAUCGUUAAUUUAUAGGUAGAAAGAAGCAAUGAGAUGGAUAGAACAAGGAGAAUUGACAUACAAGUGUUUUGUAUGAACUAGUAGGUCAAGGCCAGGAGUAGUGCCUGUAGAAACUGGGAUGGUCCCANNNNNNNNNNNNNNNNNNNNNNNNNNNNNNNNNNNNNNNNNNNNNNNNNNNNNNNNNNNNNNNNNNNNNNNNNNNNNNNNNNNNNNNNNNNNNNNNNNNNCGAAUUGAGAGAUCUGCAGGUAAUACCAGUGAAUUGAUCCACUGAAGCGAUUCGAAUUGAGAGAUCUGCAGGUAAUAUGAUGAAAGAAUAUUACAAUAGGUGCCACGGGCAUAAACUGAACUUCAAAUCAUGAACAGUAGUUGAUUCACUGAUGUUGCGGUAAAGCAUGGAAAGUAUUACAAGUUGAAAAAUACUUACAGAUCGGUUAGCUGUGACAAAGAUCCUAUUGCAUCGGGGAUAGGACCAGAGAAACGACAGCGAACCAGUAUUCUAGAAUGGAAGGGAAAAUCAGGACUGAAACCAGGAAAGAAAUUGAGCAUCAGAUAACAUUAUAGCGCAAUAGAGUAUCCCCUUACAAGUUUGUUAGCUUCUUCAAAUCCCCAAUUGCUAGAGGAAGAGAGCCAGUCAAUUCUGUGUUGUAGGAUAAAUCCCUGUAUAAAGAUGCAAUGAUUAGAAAUGUAUCAUAGCAAUCCUUUCCAAGGAAAUCAAUCCCUUUUUUCUGUCAUUUAAUCGCUAUAUCUGAAAUCAAUCCCUUGGCAACAGCUAUUCUAAGCGAUGCGCUUCUCGAAUACAAAAAGAAGCUCUAUACGCGAGUGAGGCAUGAGCCUAAUCAGUACUUAACGCAUAGCAUCAACCUUUAGAACAAUAAUCCAAGAACAUUAGUUGUAAAUUGGAUGCUUCGAUCCUUUUCAUAGCAUAAAGAAAAAAAGGUAAUAGUGCACAGAGUGAAGACAUACAGAAUCUGCAAUUCUGACAAGAGUGAGAUGUCUCCAGACAGUGUUCCUUUCAAUCCCAUGCUUGCCAAUGUUCUGCAGAUGAGAAUAGUCAGGUUAAUCUAAAAAAGUAGAGGAAGGAAUGAUCUGCAAGCCUCUAUAAGCUGUACAAGAUGAAAUAAAGCCAAUGACUUACAUGGAAGUCACACGCGAAUUGGUGCACACAAUGCCAUCCCACCUGCUACCACAAGGGUCAGCCCCCACCCAUGUUGGUGGUACGUUAUCCCAGACAUCCUUGAGAGCUUUCAGUGCAUUAACUGCAUCAGGAAUCAAAAGAAUAUACAUAUAUUGAGGGUCUAUAUAUAGAAAGCUAAUAACAAAUUUACAAUAACUAGUCUUAUUCCCCAGAUUGAACGAGCCUAAUGGACAAUUCUGGGGCCUAGCUAGCAUCACCAGUUCCAACAAUCAUCAUAUAAGAACAGGAAAAGGCAUCCAAUGAAGGCUGGAUACACUUCUGAGUUUGACAAAGUAUCUCCCAGCUCCAGCUUCUACUUUACAACCAGAAUUACAGAAUCAAAACCAAGUAAAUCAUAAGCCAGAAAUGAUUCCCUGACUCUUGGAAUUGCAAAAGCAAGUGGAAUCUGGAGUCCUAAAUCUACAGUUCAUCUUAGUAUAUGUUAGACAAGAGGUCAUUAGACAGUUGAUACUAAUUUGGAUCAAAAGAGUGCUAAAACAACAUGCAUGUUCCAAGUAAUUUACCAAAAACAAGAAAAAACUAACUGUAAAGAACUUACAAUCAUCAUUGUUAGUCACUGCUGGUGUGGUGGUACAAACUUGAAUUAGAGCAACAACCAAGAACACAAGAAUUCUUGAACCCAUUUCUCAAGUAACCCUACAGGAAGCUCUUUGUUUUCAGUUGGUAAAGUCGAAAAACUGAAAUCCCAUUUAGUAUCAGCAGUUAAAUCUCACACAUGAAGGUCUUCAAUUCAAACUGUUGAAAACUUGGUCUUCUAUUUUUCCAAAUUAUACCACGUCAAAACUCACAAAAAAAAAAAAAAUUGUCUCAAGUUGAAUCAUCUCCACACGCUCUAUUAUACCAUGUCAAGAGGAUUUGUCUUCAAGUUGAGUUGCACAAUUUUUUCGAUUUCUCAUAUCAUGAUCACGAGUUUAAAGAAAAAAAUACACAAUACAAUAGAAUUCUCACCAAACACCUUCAUUGAAUUAAUAAUGAAAGGGGACCAUCCAGCAACCAGCAAAAACGUGAGAACUUGGGGACACAUUUCUCAACAAAAUUUCAAAGCCCUUUGUUAUGAAUGUUGCAUAACUCCAAAACCCUUUAAUAGCUCUUAAAAUGAUAAAACAUAGUGGGAACAUCUUUACAUGUCCCCAUCGUUUACUUAUCUCAAGAUUUAUAUCGUGGAAGGACAUGAAUGGGACAAUUGUGUUCGUAUGAAUCACAUACUAAAUACAAAGACAAUUGACCCCAUCUUUAGUCAUUUUCAAGUUUACAGUCAAUAGAAGAACCCACCAAAUGGUUUCUUGCAUAUAGCACUGUAGAGUGAUACUUGCAGAGUGAAUAGUAUUUCCCACCAAAUGGUCAUGAUUGUCUGCUAAAGUCAUUUUUGAAGCGAUCAAUACAAAAAGUUAUCAUCAAUUGUUAAUGAGAUUUGUAGAUGAUUUUACUAACUCUACUAACUAGACAAGUAGAAAGAAAUGCUCUUUGAUUUAGUUUUGUUAUUGUUUUAUAUUUCCAGUUUAAUUUGGAUUUAAUGUUUUUUUUUUUAUCGUAUUUGAUUUAAGAUUUUGAUUAUUUUUUUAUACGAUUUAGCAAGGUGAUAGCGCAGGAGCUCUGAUUCUCAUACGGGUAUUAAUUAAAGUUCACUAAUCUCAAAUAAUUUUCUUCUUAAUUAAGAAAAGAGAAACCGUAAAAGAAGGGAAAGAAAUAGUUGUUUGCUAGUCAUUUAAAUUGACAGAAAUAAAUUUUGGUCAGUCAAGAGAAUAGAGCCAAAGAAAAUUCAACAAAAUAUUCGAACUCACUCGUGGAAAGAAUGCUUGCUUCGGUCCCGCGCUGAUUUGCUUGACCAAUCAUCAGAUUUGCUUAUUACUUGACUUGCUGCUGCCAUUGUUAUAUAUUAACAAGCAAAUGAUUCAUGAAGAUAUCAGAAUUUCUUCCAAACGAAUCAUUCCUUCUAAUUGCAAACACAUGGAUGGGUCCCCUCCUCUCCAUGAAUGCUUACAACAAAUCAUUCUCUUCGACUUGACAUUGCCUGACCUAAUCUUGAUCCCUGGGGAAGACUGUUGGUGGAAGAAACCACUAGUGGUGGCUUUGAAACACUCAGAGGGGAUAAAACACACUGUUUUAUUUCAACAACAACAAACUUACAAUAACUAAACAAAAGCUCAAUACACGCCCUCUCUUUCUUUCUAGUGUUUCUCUCUAAUCUCACCACACAUAAUAACAUAAACUUAGCUGCCUAUUUAUACACAAAUUGAAAGUAAGAAAAAAUCAAAUUUUAAGUGUGAAGGCGGCUGGCGGCAUACAGCUGGUGGCUGGCGGCUGCAAGUGGUGGUUAGGGGUGACAACUGGUGGCUGCAAGUGGUGGUUGUCUUCCUUGACCUUCUAGAUUGAGUUUACUUCAACAAAUUCCCCCUUUAAACUCAAUCGAGGGAUGUCAUGCCAAGCAUGAACUUCAAUCUGAUAAAUAUUUCUCCCUUCAAUGGCUUUGUAAAGAUAUCUGUAAUUUGAUCAUUUGUCUUGCAUGAUUCAGUUCAACUUCUUUGUUCUUCACAUGUUCUCGGAUAAAGUGAUGACGUAUAUCAAUGUGUUUAUUUCUUUCAUGAUACACCGGGUUCUUUGCUAAUGCAAUCGCUGAUCGAUUAUCAAUAUAAAUCUCUGUAGGAUUUUCUUGAGGAAAUCCCAAAUGCUUCAGCAUAUUUCUUAACCAUAUUAAAUGGCAUACAACUGAGUUGGCAGCAACAUACUCAGCUUCACAGCUUGAUAACGUUACUAUCGAUUGCUUCUUGGAUGACCAUGUGAAAGAUGUAUUUCCCAUGAAAAAGACAAAUCUCGUUGUGCUUUUCCUUUCAUCCAAAUCUCUACCCCAAUCACUAUCCGAGUAGCCAACAAGAUUGAAGUUUGUACUUGAGGUAUAAAACAUACCUUCAUUUAUUGUUCAUUUGAUGUAGCGAAGAAUUCUCUUGGCUGCAUUCAAGUGAGACUGGUCUGGUGUCUCCAUGUAUUUGCUGAUAAGACCAACUCCAUUUCAAAUCAAUUGUUGAUAAUAGGUAUAUAAAGAACUGAAUGUUGAUGAUAACCAGAAAAACAAAGAAUAAAGAACUUGCAGCGAAGAACAAAGAGCAGAAUGUUUUUCAUAGGUUACUGUCAUCCCUUAGCUUUUAUUUAUAGAUGAAAUCAAUCACAACAAAAUUAAGAAACGUAACUAACAUAAACUCCUUCAUUUAAAGAGCUAUGUAACUUAUUCUAAAUAAGUUUCAAAUCUAAAGAAGUAAAAACUGACUAAACAACAUUAAGAUAAUGAUGUUACUAAUAGAUAGACAUUAAUGAAAGAUAACCUACAGCUGAUACAUAAAUUUUAGCUUUGGUGCCAUAACUUCAACACUCCUCCUUGGUUCCAAAGCUGCACAUUCCUAUCCUCUCCCUUAGAUCUUCAAAUCUAUCUUUAGCUAAAGGCUUGGUGAACAGGUAGGCUAAUUGCUCUUUUGACGUGCAUUAUAUCAUCUCUAGUUCCCCUUCUUGCUGGAAUUGCCUGAUAAUAUGGAACUUGAUUUUCAUAUGCUUGGUCCUAUCAUGAAAAACAAAAUUCUUUGAAAUAGCUAUUGCUGAUGUAUUGUCACAGAACAAUUCUGUAGGACUUCGUUGAUCAAAGUCUAGAUCAUUCAACAUUUUCCUUAGCCAUAUCAAUUGCUUUGCUGCCACAUAUGUUGCUAUGUAUUAUGCCUCUACAGUGGAAUGUGCAACCACUGAUUGCUUCUUUGAAUUCCAACAGAAAAUGCUUCCUCUAAUAGCAAAGUAAUAACAUGAGGUACUCAUCAUUUCUUCAUCACUUCCCGCCCAAUCACUAUCAGAAAAACCAAUUAGUUUAACAGAACUUGAUUUCACAAAAUGCAUGCCAAACUCUAAGGUCCCUUUCAGAUAUCUCAGAACUCUUUUGGCUGCAACAAAAUAGAUUUGACUUGGACUUUGCAUGAACCUAGAGAGGUAAUUGAUAGCAAAAACAAUAUCUGGACGUGUAGCAGUUAAAUACAACAAGCUGCCAACUAAACUUCUGUAGGUUUUUCCAUCAGUUUUGGGAUCUCCAUCCUCCUUCAUUAGCUUUUAUCCCAGUACCAUUGGUGUACUGAUUGGUUUGCAAUUUUUCAUUGCAAAUUUGUUUAGUAGCUUCAUUGUAAACCUCUUUUGACAUAGAAAAUAACCUUGCUCCGACUGAGUUAAUUCCAUGCCUAAGAAAUAUGACAGCAAACCCAGUUCAUUCAUCUCAAACUUAUCCUUCAUGUUAGUUUUAAACUCCUUUACCAACUGCUCCUUGUCUCCUGCAAUCAAUAAAUCAUCUACAUACACUGAUACGAUCAGAGUAUGUUUGUCAACAUUGUUCACAUACAAAGUUACUUCAUUUAUGCUUCUUUCAAAGCCUAAGCUCAAAAAAUACCCAUCCAAUCUGCUGUACCAGGCUCUAGGAGCCUGUUUAAGUCCAUACAAAGUCUUCUUUAGCAGAUAUACUUCAUUUUAUGUUAUUUCCUUUUCAAAGUCACCAAGUUGUUCAACGUAUAUUUCUUCAUUUAGAACACCAUUAAAAAAUGCAGACUUAACAUCUAACUGAAAAAUAUGCCACCAUUUUGUGCUGCUAAAGCAAGCAAGAGCUUUAUUGUAUCAAGCCUAGAUACUGGAGCAAAUGUGUCAGUGAAGUCAAUACCUAGCUCUUGUGAAUAACCCUUCACUACAAGUCUUGCUUUGUGCUUAUUGAUACUCUCAUCUGCAUUCAGUUUGGUUUUGAAAAUCCAUUUUACACCAAUUACCUUCUUGUGAACGGUUCUGUCAUCGUGAGCUCCUCCUUCAUUACAGUUAUCCAUACUUGUGAGUUGAUAGCUUCUUCAAAAUCUAUUGGUUCUACUUCAGCAACAUUGCACCUGCUGUAAAUGUCAGCUAAGGACUUUGUCCCCCUUACUGGUUUGUCUUCGAUAGUAUUGUCGCACCCUCGCGGCGGAGUGCGGCGUCGCGGCGAACCCUCAAUUGAUUUUGGGGUCUUUGUUGUUGUUUGUGUAAAGGAGUCGCCACCUAGUAUUUUGGUCACUAGGAACCCUUACUAGUCUUUCAGAGAUUCUAAGGCAAGGGACUGGUUGCGUAAAGGGAAGGUAUUAGCACCCCUAGUACGCCCUGCCUAAGGUAAGCUGCUUGGUGUUUGGUUUGCUUUAUAAUUGCUAUGGUGUUGGUGUUUUCUAAUCACAUCAGUUUUCCUAGGUUUGAUUCAAACUAAAUUUAUUAAGAUAGAAAUCCAAGGAGAUUUCAUGUGCUUUAAAAGCUUAUUUUUCCCUUAGUAUUUCAAGAGUUUGCGACUCGUAAAUUGCAAGGAGGGACAAAAAUCUAAGGAAAUUCAUAAUGCUUUAAAAACAUAUUUUUGCCUUAGUGCAGAGAAGAAAACACAGCUACUGCUGGCGAUGGGGAAGAGAUAUGGACGACUGGGAUCAGCUGCUGGUGCAGAGACGAGACUGGUCGCCAUCCUGGAUUGCUGCUGCGGCUAGUACCUGCUCCUGGUGAUUGAUGGGCUGCGAGUCAGCGAUGGCUUCCGGAGCUGAAGACGACACCGUUGUUGAAGCUGGAGACGGCUGCGUACUGGUGCAGGACUCAGAGAAGAGCUGUUUGUUUGGAAUGUUAAGCAAAGCUCCUGACGUAUGCUGCUUGUGGCUCACGGUUUUGGCUGGUCUUAAAAGAAGUUGCCGGACCGUGGGGGAGAAUCUGGUGGUGAUGGGGAGAAGCCAAAAAGAAAAGAAGGAGAGGAUGAGGCUUUGGUUUUCUUGCUGUUCAGGUGAUAGAGGGAAGAUGUGUUUCGGUUUUGAGAAUGGAGAUGGAAAGGGCUAGUGUGCGGCUGAAUCGAGAGAGAGUCUGAAAGUUUAUGUUGAUGAGCGGCUAUGGGCUGUUUUUUAGACUGACGGGAAGGGAAAACUUUGCUGAGGGAAGGGGAAGGUUUGUGAAAAGAGAGAUGGGGCUGUGACUUUAAUGGGGUUCUCUGGUUUUGCAAGGGAAGAAUGGAGAUGGGGAACUAACAGAGAGAGGAGCUGCUGUGUUUUGGAGGAGAGAUGGCGAUGGUGGAACGGCUGAGAGGGGAAUGGGGGUUCUGGUGAAAGGGAGAGGGGACAGUGUAUGGCCAGAGAGAGAUCCUUUAUUUCCUCAAAGGGAGGGGCUGCUUCGUUGUUUUUAUUUUUAAAAGAUGAGCAGGGGCUACGGCUUCUUUGCUAGAGAAAUAGGGUUAGGGUUUUUCUGUGUUUCCCUUGAUUUUUGUUUGUCUCUUUGCCUCUUGUAAAUUUUUCUUUUCUUUGUGCAUAUGGCUGGAUCUUCAUUUAUAUAGAAAAUCUCUACACGUUCUAUUUAAAGAAAUAUUGCAAUCAUUAUUACAGAGAUUGUCUUCUAUAACCAGCACCAACAAAUCAUAUAUAUAUGGUAUUUUUUAUUGUAGUGAUUAUUUUCCAUAACCAGCACGAAUCAAAUCAUAUAUCUAUGAUAUUGCAGUAAUUAUAUAUGAUUCAGUAAUUAUCUCCUUGACAUAUUGCUUCCUUAACCCUGAUGCUCUAUGUUCUCGCCACAUGUAAAUCUUUAUUUUUUUAUUUUAUUUUUAUUUUUUAUUUUUUUAUUUUUUUUAAAAAAUUAUCAAAACAUGGGUCAAAUUUUGGGUAGCAACAGAUGCCCCCUCUUUACAAUGCUUACGAAGCAAAACUCCUCAAUGUUUGCAUAGUAAGCUUGUAAAGAAAAAAAGUCUUCCUUGCUUGUUGAGUGAUCCACUCAUCCAAGGACUUCAUUUUUUAAAAGAAAAUUUGUCUCGCUAUCAUGGGUGACCUGCCCCGUUUUUUUUAAAAGAAAAUUGAUCUAUUUUCACGGGCGACCUGCCCACACACAUCCAAACCUGGUCUAUUUUCAGGGGCGACCUGCCCACAUACUCACGCUGGUCUAUUUUCACAGGCGACCUACCCAUUUGAUUGGGUUAACCUGAGAUCCCAUCUGGCGAUCUCCUUUAAUCCGAAGCAAAGUCGGUGUGUAGCUCGGUUAACCUGAAAUCUCAUCUGGCGAUUCCCUUUAACCAAAGCUAAACUCUGUGUGUGGUUGGGUUAACCUGAGAUCCCAUCUAGCGAUCUCUUUUAAUUUGAAGCAAAGUCGGUAUGUAGCUCGAUUAACCUGAAAUCCCAUCUGGCGAUUUCCUUUUAACCAAAGCUAAACUCUGUUUGUGGUUGGGUUAACCUGAGAUCCCAUAUGGCGAUCUCCUUUAACCACAACCAAUACAAAAAAGUGUGUGUGGUCUCAUUAUAACGGGUCACCUACUCAAAUUAAAAUUCUUAGAAAACUCCACGCUUUCCUAAGAAAUGGUCUCAAUAUCGGGUGAUAGGCCCCUCCUAAAAUUCUUAUAAAACUCCACGCUUUUCUAAGGGAUGGUUUCAAUUUCGAGUGACCUGCCCACCUCAAAAUUUUUUUUAGAAAACUCCAUGCUUUUCUAAAAAAUGGUCUCAAUAUCGGGUGACCGGCCCCUCUUAAAAUUCUUAGAAAACUCCACGCUUUUCUAAGAAACGGUUUCAAUAUCAGGUGACCGGCCCCUCUUAAAAUUCUUAGAAAACUCCACACUUUUCUAAGAAAUGGUCUCAAUAUCGAGUGACCGGCCCAACUUAAAAUUCUUAGAAAACUCCACGCUUUUCUAAGAAACGGUUUCAAUAUCAGGGAACCGGCCCCUCUUAAGAUUCUUAGAAAACUACACGCUUUUCUAAGAAAUGAUCUCAAUAUCGAGUGAUCGGCCCAACUUAAAAAUUCUUAGAAAACUCCACGCUUUUCUAAGGAAUGGUCUCAAUAUCGGGUGACCUGCCCAUCUUAAGAUUCUUAGAAAACUCCACGCUUUUCUUAAGAAAUGAUCUCAAUAUCAGGUGACCGGCCCAUCUUAAAAUUCUUAGAAAACUCCACGCUUUUUUAAGAAACGGUUUCAAUAUUAGGUAACCGGCCCCUCUUAAAAUUCUUAGAAAACUCCACGAUUUUCUAAGGAAUGGUCUCAAUAUCGGGUGACCUGCCCAUCCUAAAACUUCUUAGAAAAACUCCACGCUUUUCUAAGAAAUGGUCUCAGUAUCGGGUGACCUGCCCAUCUCAAACUUCAAAAGAAAACAUCUUACCUCGAGGAAAUGAAGCAGUGCUGGUUCACAAUUCCUAUCCUUUUCCAUAGUUCCGUUGACCAGAGAUUUUGGACCUCAGCAGUUUUCCCAAAAACUUGGAACUAUUUUGGCCUUCGUCACACCUUCUCCUGCCAGGUUAGUGUUAUGACAAUAUAGCAUGCAUGUUUUUUUGUUACCUAUUUUGGAAACAUAGGUCCCCCUUUCUGUUGUAGACUUAUUGAGCUCUUGUUUCCAUUUGCUUGUCCGAUUCGUCCUCUUGAAACAAAAUAUGCUCCAUACGCUAUACUUCUUAUCCUCUUGGUGAAGAGAUCUUUGGUUCUUUAUGGGGCCCUUUUUUUCUCCAUCGAGUAUUGUCUUUUAUUAUUAUUUUAAAAGGAAAACUCAAAAGAUUUAGUUUUGUUCAUGAAAACUAAAACUUUCAAUGCAAUUAGCAAUUCUCAUAAAAUAUGCUUUUUAGAAGUUUUUAUGAUGAUACCCCUUUGGGCUUUGGUUCACUAUGGACCCCUAUGUGCACUUCGUACACUUCUUGCCCCCAGUAUGGUGUGCAAAAAUAUGUCAAGUUUAGAUUUGAUUUGGUUCUCUCCAAUUGAUGGAGUUAUCUCCUUAGUCAUGCGUAAAAAACAGUUCUUUUAAGUAAAAGAUUUCAAAUGCUAUGAGAUCAUACGUUUUAUGAAAAAAAGGUUCUUUACAAAGAGAAUUCAUGGCCGAACUUUAUUUUAUUGACUGGGAAGCAUAGUAUUUAGAGUCAGCAUUCAUAGGUUUAACUAUAUCUUCUCCAUCCAUUCUAGAUAACAAUAAAGCUUCUCUCGAGAACGCUUUCUUUACCACCAAAAGGCCCUCAUUGUUUGGCGCCCAUUUACUCUGAUCUUCUCCUGGUAAAAGGCAACAUUUUCUUCAUUACAAGAUCUCUUUCGUGGAAUCCUCAAGGUCAAAUCUUCUUGUCGUAUGAUUUGGCCAUCCUUCUUUGAUAGAGUUGAUGAUGACAGAUUGCGGCUAUCCUCUUUUCACUGAUCAGAUUCAGCUGUUCAUAUCUAACCUUUGCCCAUUCUACCUCUUCUAGCUCAAAGUCUAUCAAUACUCUUAAUGAGGGGAUUUCCACUUCUAAAGGCAUCACCGCCUCCAUUCCAUAUACCAACGUAUACGGGGUGGCUCCUAUUGAGGUAUGGACUGCGGUGCAGUACGUGUGAAGGGCAAAUGACAACAUCUCAUGCCAAUCUUUGUAGGUGACUACCAUCUUCUUGACAUUUUCGUUAGCAGUUUCUAUAACACCAUUCAUCUUUGGACUAUAUGGCGAGGAAUUGGAAUGCUUGAUUAUUUAGCGAAGAGUUCUAUUAUCAUCUUGCCAUUGAAGUUAUGGGCAUUAUUAGUCAUAAUCUUUUCUAGUGGACCAUAUCGACAGAUCAAAUCUCUUUCCAUAAAUUUCUUCACCACUUUUCACCUCCAUGUCAUCUAAACAUCUCAACAAAGUUCCGUCAGAUGAUUUCUUAUACAAAGUUUCCCCAUCAAGAUAGAUAUUCAUUGCCAACCUCCUCAAAGUCUUUUUGUCGAUUUUGGAUGCCCCCAUGGGAUAUGUCUGGUUUUUGGAUGAAAUUCUUGAUAUCAUAGUACCAAGGGUUUCCAUCUAUUUCUCUCUCAACUGAGCAACAAUGAGCUGGGUUAUUUCUGAUAUCAAUGUGUACCGACCGUACCUUGUGCCCAAAGUUUAUUCUAGCCAUAGAAGCUAACGUGACCAAAACGUCAGCAAAAUGGUUUCCUUCCCUUCCUAGAUGGGUGGACUUUAUUUCCUCAAAUUCUCUAGCCAAUUUAGACAGUUAUUCUUGGUAAGGUCUCAACUUCUCGUCCUUGAUUUGCCAUUUUCCUUUCACUAAUCAAAAUCGAGUCUCCAUACAUAUCUAUCUUUCUAAUAUUCAACUCCAAUGCCACCUCUAAAAUGAGAAUGCAAGCUUCAUACUCCUAUGUUGUUAUUGCACCCAAACUUCAACUUAACUAAAAUCGAAUACUACUUUUUAUUAGGAGAGAUUAUCAUUGCAUCAACUCUAUUACCACAUUCGUUUACAACACCAUCAAAGUACAUAGUCCACCAAUCUAAUUUUCCUUCCUCAACUGAAAACACAUCUUCAUCAGGAGGUACUGCUUGAUUUUCUCGAAAGCUUCUUCACACUCUUAUUACAAAUUCCGAGAUUCUUCUUGCUUAACAAUCGAAGAUUGGGUCACAAGUCAUGGUUAAUUGGGAUAUAAACCGAGCAAUGUAAUUCAACCUUUCUAAGAACUUUCUUACAUCCUUAGGAGUUGGCAUAGAUUGAAUAGCCUUUACUUAACCAAGGUCCACUUCUAUCCUUUUGUCACUCAUCAUAAAUCCUAACAACUUCCCAGAUUUCACCCCGAAUGAACACCUUGCAUGGUUAAGCCUCAACUUGUACUUCCUUGGUCUUUCAAACAAUUCCUUCAAUAUUUGGACAUGAUUCUCUCCCUCUCUAGAUUUAGCAAUCAUGUCAUCCAUGUAUACUUUACUAUUUGUGCAUCAUGUCGUGAAAUAGAGUUACCAUGGCCCUUUGGUAGGUGGCCCCAACAUUCUUCGACCAAAAUGGCAUGACCUUGUAACAAAAGGUUCCCCAUGGUGUUACAAAUGUUGUCUUCUUCUUAUCCUCUUACGCUAUUUUUAUCUGAUUAUAGCCCGAAAAUCCAUCCAUAAAGGAAUAUAUGGAGAUACGUGAUGCAUUUGUCAAACAUAUCUAUGUGUGGUAGACAAACUCUGAUUUUAUCUUCCUUUUUUUGGUACAACCAUUAUGUUGGACACCCAUUGUGGAUAUUUGACUACUUCUAGAAAAUCGAUGUUCCACUGCUUUUCAAUUUCUACCUUUACUUUGAUCAAUACAUCCGAAUGGAUUCUUCUCAACUUUUCCUUAACCGAUUUGCAUCCUUCUACCAGCAGUACCCUUUGUACUACAAUAUCGGUAUCUAAGCCAGACAUAUCCUCAUAGGACCAAGCAAAAACAUCUAUAUAAUCUCGAAGUAACCAACUCUUCUCUUUCUUUAGGAGUGAUCAAAAAUCCCUAUCUUCAGCUCUCUCUUGAUUUCUUCAUUACCCACAUUUAUGGUUUCAAGUUCCUCUUUAGCGGGUCUCCAAGCUUGUUCUUGUUGUCCUAUUUUUAUCCCAUUCUUCCUCUUCUACAGCUACUAUGUAUUCUUUAAAGUUUGGCCAUUCAUUCUUAGUGUAAAGUGCAGGUGUUUGUUUUGGAAGAUCCACUUUGGAAACGGAAAGUGAUGUGUAAAAACAUCAAGAUGAACUUUUGAAAAUGCAUGAUCUCAUUAAAGGGAAAACGUUGUCUCAAAACAUUUGCUCGAGCAAACCGAUUAGGUGUGCAUCAUCAUUCCAAAUUCCUUCAAGCUCUUUUUGGUACUAGGUGUGACCUUUCAUCAUUUUCCUUAGUCAAGUGUUGUGGAUUCUAGAAGGGGGACCUAUGUUUCUAGGUCUGCAGAUGCGUGCAUAGAUGUAUAAGAAAAUGUAUGAUAUAAUGCAUGAUUAUGAUAAGAACGUAUUUGUAUAUUGGGUAUGGAUGCAGCCUUCUUGUGAACGAAUAAUAGCCACCACCUUAUAAACAUAGAUUCUCUUGUCACAUUGCUUUGCUAGGAGUACUGCCUUUCGAGUCAUUUGCUUGAAUCAUAUUCACCAAGAGACAGAUUUUACAUAAGAAGAUGGGUCAACGCCCUUUUCAUUAAUGCUUCAUAAGUUUAUUACAUUUAGAAAUAAAAAGGAAAUACAACAUAUUAAUCCCUUUCCUCCACAAACUCUCUAGCCAAAAGUAAGAAGGCAAACCCGCGGUUCUCAAUCUUCCCUAGAAAGGCAUCGGUUUCAGCUAGGCUUCGGCAAUAGCGAAUGAUGUCCGCUCCCACAUUUCACGCAUUGAUUCUAAUAAUUCGAGCAUGUGCAACAGCUUCAUCCAUUUGCUCAUCUAUCUUGGUCAUCUUUUCUAUGAGCAACAUAUUGGUUCUGUUCAAAGCAGUGUUAUUGGCAUCGAUUUGAUCCUUGUGUUUUUCCAUUGCUGCUAGCUUCUCGUCUAAAUACUUCACCUUUUCACGUUCCUUGUCAAGUUUUAUCCUCAUAACUUUUAUCUCAUUCUUCUUAACCCCUAAUUCUGUUUCAACAGCCUCAAAACGUUUCCUUUUACUUUCUUCUUUUGCAAUCCCCAUCGAACGGGUUUCCAACUCCAUAUAUUUCUUAUUCAAAUCCUCAUACUUCCCAAUCCUAUCCAUCAGUUCGAACUAGACUUGUGCAAAUUUUUCUUGGAAAUAUUCUGCACUUCCUUGGCAAUCGUUAAAGUCAAUCUCCAUUGCUUCAAGUUCAGAGCAACUUUGCAUCCAAUUCAAACUCAUCCCUCUUAGCUCCUUCUCACUUCUUUCCCUAGCAAUCUUCUCCUCACCUAGCUUUAACUCAAGCUUUGUUAUUCGCGCAUCUCUAGAUUGUAUUUGCUCAUCUAGAAAUGCUCUCCUUUUAUCUUCUUUUAGCAUCAUUUCUUCCAACAUUACCUUGUCUUUUCUGCUUUUUGCUCAACUCUGUCCGAAGUUUUUCCACUUGUCUUCUCAACUCCUCUUCAUUAUUGACCCUUUUCCUUUUAAUAGGCUCUUCUACAGUUUGGGGAGAUUUGACUCCUACACAAGGCAUGGCUGAAGCUGCUAAGUCUCUCCAUCUUGCAUAUCCUUCACUUGCACUUGGAUCUUUUAAACCUUCUAUCUCAACCAAAACCAGAUGCUUCCAAUCUUGUUUGAUGAUCUGCAAAACUUCUUGUGCAAUGGGAUCUUUGAACAAACCAAAGAACUGAGCAAUUCCCAUAGUCCUUGGAACAAACUACAUGCCCCCAAGUUGCCUUACCACUAGGGCAGGAGCAUAACUCACAUAACCUGUAAUCCCUACCAAUGGCACCCAACAUCUUUGUCCACAACUCAUUAGGACUUCCACUGUCGUUACCCAUGGGGCUCUCCACUUAAAAUCACUAUUAGGCAAACCUUCUAAUUUGUCAAACCAACCUUGGUUGUCUAGAUCUCCCCAUUCUUUUUCUUCUACUAACUUCAGGGGUCUUUAGGUGAACCACCAAAAAUUAUUGAAGACAGGCUUUUUUGUUUCGAUAUGGCUAACCAUCCAGAUAUACAACAACUGCGUGUAGCAUCUCAUUGCUCCAUUUCUGGUCCUCCUACAAUGAUUAAGUGUCAAGAUGGUUUCAGCUAAAAUAGCAGCCACUGGAUUGAUUUGUGUAUUCUCAUACUUUACAUAAGCAGCAGCGACCUCCAAACUCACUACACCCGUCUGACUUUGGAACAACAUAAGGCCAAAUAUGCCCAAGGCAAUCAAUCUCUCUUUUUCUAAUCCGGACUUCUUUUCCAGUUCAAUUUCUAGCAUCCUCCAUUUCAGACCAGUAGCAUUCUUUUCCAAAAACUUUUCCAAGUUGGAGAUUCUGAGCAGUUUUGACAGUUCGGGGAUGAUCUUGUCAGAUCUCAAAGGCAAAUAUAUCCGAUACAGAUUGUUUGGAAACUCAGUCAACAUCCCAUAUUCCUCCAUAGUGGGACAUAGAUCUAUGCUUCCAAAAGAAAAACACUGGUAGUCUGGAUCCCAAAAAUGAACUAAGGCUCGCACAGCUGGGCUUAAAACUUCUACCCUUGCGAUUUCCACCAAACAUCCAUAUUUCCUAAAAAAUGCAUCUUUAUCCACAUUCUGAAAAUGAGUCGUUAACUUGUUGACCUCAUUCAUAAUGCAAUUCAGGUUCUUGAUUGGUGACAUCUUCUUAGCAUCGCUUCUAAGGCAGUCUCCUUCAGUCAAUUGUGACAGUUCAGAAUUUUUCCCAUACUCUAUGAUGGAAGAUUUAGUGAUGGUGGCCAUUUCGUUCACAAGUCCUGCAAUUCAAGAUGCUUUAGGGUUAGACUUGUUUUGAUGCAAAAGAUAUUAUGGAGCAUACAACCUAAGGAUAGGUUCUAGUUCCUUUACGUGAGACAUACGGUAGGUUUACUACUUGGUCUCUAAAAAAAGGUCUCUUGUUGUCCUAGUGAUCGCCCUCGUAAAGGCAAUAUGGGGGUUCAACAGAUAAUGAGAUGGCACAUGUACCCAUUACUAUCAGUCUAAACACUCAGCAAAGAGUUGGGGUUUACACAAACUUAAACCUUGACUCAAGUCAUAAGGCAAGCUGCUAGUUCCCCACUUAACUUAAAGUUAAAUGUGUGUGCCCUCAAAAAGAUAAUAAUAAUAAAGUGAUGCAUGAUUAUACCAUGUAUGACAGAAUGUAAAGAUCCAUGCUAAAGCUUUUAAACAAAGUAUCAUUCAUGUAAGAAAACAAAAACCAAUAACACAUAGCAUAAACAAAAAAAUUACCAAGCCUAGUCCUAAGUCCCUAGUGGAGUCGCCAUCCUGUCGCACGAUCGCAGCGGAGUGCCGCGUCGCGGCGAACCCUCGAUUGAUUUUGGGGUCUUUGUUGUUGUUUGUGUAAAGGAGUCGCCACCUAGUAUUUUGGUCACUAGGAACCCUUACUGGUCUUUCAGAUAUUCUAAGGCAAGGGACUGGUUGUGUAAAGGAAAGGUAUUAGCACCCCUAGUACGCCCUACCUAAGGUAAGCUGCUUGGUGUUUGGUUUGCUUUAUAAUUGCUAUGGUGUUGGUGUUUUCUAAUCACAUCAGUUUUCCUAGGUUUGAUUCAAACUAAAUUUAUUAAGAUAGAAAUCCAAGGAGAUUCCAUGUGCUUUAAAAGCUUAUUUUUCCCUUAGUAUUUCAAGAGUUUGCGACUCGUAAAUCGCAAGGAGGAGGGACAAAAAUCUAAGGAAAUUCAUGACGCUUUAAAAGCAUAUUUUUGCCUUAGUGUUUCAUACUCUCACGGCUCGUAAACCGUGGAGUAAAAAAAUUGAAAUGUCCUCGAUUAUAAUCAAGGCUUCUUUCAAGGAUGUGUGGUGACUUAUUAUUCCUAGAAAAAUAUUUUGGAUAUUAACCACUUGGGGUUUCUUUAUCCAAAUAUUAACAGCGAAUAAUAACAAGUUAUUCCCAAUAAUAGAUGACUUCCCCCCAAAAAAUAAGAUUUUUGUAUUUUUUGGAAUAUUGGCCAAUACCCUUUGGAGUUUUACAAACAUGUUGUAAAAUCCAGAAAUGCAAGAGAAAUAAUUUUUUAUUGUGUUUAAGAAAUCCAUGCGAAAACACAUUUUCAAAACUUCAAAUAUUUAUUUUUUAUAUAUAAAAAAAAACGUUCAAAACAUGUUAGGGUAUUGGCCGUAUGCAUGAAAACAUUAUAUAUAUAUAUAUAUAUAUAUAUAUAUAUAUAUAUAUAUAUAUAUAUAUAUAUAUAUAUAUUUGCCAUCUUUGUGUUGAAAACCGGGUAUUCUAAAUGCGAGAUUGAUAUUUUUUUUAUAAUAAAAAAAAAUACAAACCUUAAAAUAAAUAUGCUAGAAAAUUAUCAAUCUCUCUCCCUUUCUUUUUUUGGAGAAAAAAAAAAGGAUGAAACCAGUAGAUCCAGUCGGGUCACUUGCCAAAGCAAGUGACCUUGGCAAGUGACCCGGCUGGACAAAAAAAAAAAACUCAGCUACUGUUCAAGUGAAUUAUAAUUCACUUGAACAGUAAACAUAAAAGGCAUGCACAGUAGCUAUGUAAUUAAAAUGCAAAGUGAAGAGAAUGCAUGGAAACUUACCUUGCGCUGAAACGGGCAAAGGCGAUGGCGCUGAGACGACUGGACGCUGCUCAUGAAGGAAGAUCCGGCCUGCUGCUCUUGCUUAUUGCUUCUCAAAGUGGCUGAGGAAUUGCAACUGGUGAUGACCGCGCCCAUGCUGGUUCUUGCUCCCAGUGCAGAGAAGAAAACACAGCUACUGCUGGCGAUAGGGAAGAGAUAUGGACGACUGGGAUCAGCUGCUGGUGCAGAGACGAGACUGGUCGCCAUCCUGGAUUGCUGCUGCGGCUAGUACCUGCUCCUGGUGAUUGAGGGGCUGCGAGUCAGCGAUGGCUUCCGGAGCUGAAGACGACACCGCUGUUGAAGCUGGAGACGGCUGCGUACUGGUGCAGGACUCAGAGAAGAGCUGUCUGUUUGGAAUGUUAAGCAAAGCUCCUGACGUACGCUGCUUGUGGCUCACGGUUUUGGCUGGUCUUAAGAGAAGUUGCCGGAUCGUGGGGGAGAAUCUGGUGGUGAUGGGGAGAAGCCAAAAAGAAAAGAAGGAGAGGACGAGGCUUUGGUUUUCUUGUUGUUCGGGUGAUAGAGGGAAGAUGUGUUUCGGUUUUGAGAAUGGAGAUGGAAAGGGCAGUGUGCAGCUGAAGGUGGGUGGUCGAGAGAGAGUCUGAAAGUUUGUGUUGAUGAGCGACUAUGGGCUGUUUUUUAGACUGACGGGAAGGGAAAACUUUGCUGAGGGAAGGGGAAGGUCUGUGAAAAGAGAGAUGGGGCUGUGAAUUUAAUGGGGUUCUUUGGUUUUGCAAGGGAAGAAUGGAGAUGGGGAACUAACAGAGAGGGGAGCUGCUGCGUUUUGGAGGAGAGAUGGCGAUGGUGGAACGACUGAGAGGGGAAUGGGGGUUCUGGUGAAAGGGAGAGGGGACAGUGUAUGGCCAGAGAGAGAUCCUUCGUUUCCUCAAAGGGAGUGGCUGCUUCGUUGUUUUUAUUUUUAAAAGAUGAGCAGGGGCUACGACUUCUUUGCUAGAGAAAUAGGGUUAGGGUUUUUCUGUGUUUCUCUCAAUUUUUGUUUGUCUCUUUGCCCCUUGUAAAUUUUUCUUCCCCUUAUGCAUAUGGCUGGAUAUUUAUUUAUAUAGAAAAUCUCUAUACGUUCUAUUUAAAGAAAUAUUACAAUAAUUAUUGCAGAGAUUGUCUUCUAUAACUAGUACCAACAAAUCCUAUAUAUAUAGUAUUUUUUAUUGUAGUGAUUAUUUUCCAUAACCAGCACGAAUCAAAUCAUAUAUCUAUGAUAUUGCAGUAAUUAUAUAUGAUUCAGUAAUUAUCUCCUUGACAUAUUGCUUCCUUAACCCUGAUGCUCUAUGUUCUCGCCACAUGUAAAUCUUUAUUUUUUUUUUUUAUUUUAUUUUUAUUUUUUUAUUUUUUUAAAAAAUUAUCAAAACAUGGGUCAAAUUUUGGGUAGCAACAAGUAUCAUCAUCCUCUAUAGCAUCCAGUUCAAUUUGAUGCUCCUAUUUUGUCCCUACAAUUGAUGCAGCUUCCCAGUUCCAUGUACCAUUCUCUGCAACUUUUACAUCUCUAGCAAUCACAACUUUGUUAGAUUUCAAAUCAUAGAUUUUACAAGCCUUAGAUUUUGUGCUAUAGUCUAUAAGAAUUCCCAUAGUAGCCUUUUGAUCAAGUUUUCUUCUCUUAACUUCAGGUUGCAAGACAUAGCAAGGGCUGCCAAAAACUUUUAAAUGAUCAACAUUGGGUUUAAAGCCAUAACAGAUUUUAUAAGGAGUCUUAUCUCCUAACACUCUUAUGGGCAUACGAUUUAGAAGGUAGGAUGAUGUGUUUAUUGUCUCUGCCCAGAAUUUUAAUGGCAUUUUCUUCUCAUAUAGCAAGCAUCUUGCCAUUUCCAUCAAUGUUCAGUUUCUCCUCUCACUGACUCCAUUCUGUUGUGGAGUGUAAGGCAUUGUUAGCUGAUGUUUGAUCCCUUCUUUUGCCAAAUACCCUUUAAAUUUUCGAGAGGUAAACUCACCCCCAUUAUCAAAUCUCAACAUCUUCAGUUUGUUUCCUGUUUCUAGUUCAACUGUUGUCUUAAAUCUUACAAACUCAGCAAACACAUUAGCCUUAGAUUUAAGAAAAUAAACCCAGCAAAAUGUACUAUAGUCAUUAACAAAUAAUAUAAAGUACUUUGAACCAUUCAAAGAUUCCUUGUGCAUCGGAUCACACACAUCUGUGUGUACCAGCUGGUGCUUUGAUGAUGCUCUAAAUGCAUUUAUCAGGAAAAACAAUUCUAGUCUGCUUUCCUAAUUGACAAGCUUCACAAAUAUCAUGUUGUUCUUGUAUUUUGGUAAACCAGAAGCCAUCUACAGAUCAGCCAUCCUUUUUAAGGUAGCAUAAUUGAAAUGCCCCAAUCUUUUAUGCCAUAAAACAGAAUCGGUUCUAUUAAAACUUCUUUUAUGACACAAGUGUUAACACUCAAACAAGCUUCUUUCCAAUCAAUAUUAAAACUUCUAUUCAUCAUCUUAGCAGAGAGCAAUAGUAUUCCCAUCUUGUCUCUAAUAUUGCACAUUCCAUCAUUAAAAGAUAAUGAGUAGCCAGAUUCCAGUAAUUGUCCCACACUUACUAGAUUCUGAUUAAUCUUAGGUACAUAAAGCAUAUUUUUUAGAGUUUUUGUACCUGACAUUGUUUCAACUUCAAUCACCCCUUUGCCUUCAACCUUCACAUACUCUUCAUUGCCAGUUCUGACUUUGGACAUGUAGCUUUUAUCCAAAUCCUUGAAUAAACUCAAAUCCGUAGUCAUAUGAUUAGUGCAGCCACUAUCAAUAAGCCAUGAUGAAUUGUUUACCACUGCUGUGUUGCACAUCUGUUCUAAUGUAGCCAUGAAUAAAUGAUCUUCCUUGGCUUUUGAAUUUUCUGCAAUAUAAGCUUGUUUCACUGCUUCUGAUUUGUUUUUACAGAACCUUUGGAUAUGACCAAAUUGUUUGCAACUUCUGCAUUGUGCAUUCUUAAGUCAACACCAAGCUUCUAGAUGAUUUGUUUUCUGAAAGAAUUUGCAAGGAGGGAAAUGUUCUCUCUUUUCUUUCCCUCGAGUGAUAAUGUUUUUGCUGAUCUGAUGCUAAUUAUUUGAUUGUCAACUUCUCCCUCUUUGUCUUUUUCCUUCUUGAUUGUUCCUGUACAAAUUCUUAGCUCGACUCUCCUUGGAAACUGCAACAAGAGCUCCUUCACUUGUUUCUUCUUAUCUGUAAGCUUGCCUAUGCUCUACCACUUGUAAUGCAUUAACCAAUUCUUGAAGACUCAUUUCUGAAAAAUCUUUGAAUCUUUCAAAGAGCAAAUCUUAUGCUCAAAUUUCUUUGGUAGACUUACCAGAACCUUCUCCACUAUUCUUGAAUCCAGAAAAUCUUCCCCCAAAAGUCUCACUUGAUUCACAAGUUUUAAAAUUUGAGAUGAGAAGUCUUUGAUGGUUUCAGUUUCCUUCAUCUUUAAACCUUCAAACUGUCUUCUAAGGUUUAAAACCUGUAUCUUUAUUGACUUCUCCUCACCAUGAAAUUCUGCUUUAAUUUAUCCCAUGUUUCUUUGGCAGAUUUACACGCCAUAAUCCUUAUGAAGAUUUCUUCACUCACAGCAUUAUGAACACAGGUAAGAGCUUUGAAUCGUUUUGCCUUUUCUUCAUUAAAAAACUUCAUUUGUGCAAUCGUAGGAUUGUUUCCUAGUGGAAUUGGUUGUUUAUCGCUCUCCACUAUCUCCCAUAAGUCAAAAGCUUUGAGAUAAGUUUCCAUUUUCACAGCCCACACACCGAAAUUUUGCCUUGUGAACACUGGUGUCUUUGCUGGAAAAUUUACAGAAUCCAUUUCUUAACAAAAAAAAAACUCACUUAAUCUCUUGUGUUUCACUCACAAUCCCUUCAAAGAAAACUGCUUUGAUUUAACCUCACUAAUCUCUCGUGUUUCACUCACAAUCCCAUCUAAGAUCAAUAAAUUUCUCUGAUACCAAAUGUUGAUAAUAGGUAUAUAAAGAACUGAAUGUUGAUGAUAACCAAAAAAACAAAGAACAAAGAACUUGCAGCAAAGAACAAAGAGCAGAAUGUUUUCAUACGUUACUUCCAUCCCUUAGCUUUUAUUUAUAGAUGAAAUCAAUCACAACAAAAUUAAGAAACGUAACUAACAUAAACUUCUUCAUUUAAAGAGCUAUGUAACUUAUUCUAAAUAAGUUUCAAAUCUAAAGAAGUAAAAACUGACUAAACAACAUCAAGAUAAUGAUGUUACUAAUGGAUAGACAUUGAUGAAAGAUAACCUCCAGCUAAUAUAUUAAUUUCAGCUUUGGUGCCAUAACUUCAACAUCAAUAAUAGCCGCUCAAACAUCAUCUUAGAUCUCAUACAUUGUGAUUUAUGGGGACCAACACCUAUAGCUUCCAUUUCAGGAUAUCGAUAUUACAUCAUUUUUAUCAAUGAUCACUCGCGCUUCACUUGGUUUUAUCCAUUGAAGAACAAAGCUGAUUUUUAUCCCACUUUCAUCCAAUUUCAAACCUUGGUUGAAAAUCAGUUCUCAUCAAAAAUAAAAAUAUUUCAAAGUGAUGGGGGGGUGAAUUCACGAGUGCAAUCUUUAAGUCUCAUCUCGUUAAAUGUGGCAUUCAUCAUCAAAUUUCUUGUCCUUAUACACCAUCUCAAAAUGGCAGAGCCGACAGGAAACAUAGACACCUCACUGAAACAGGUCUCACAAUGCUUUUUCAUGCUAAUUCUCCUUUUCAUUUUUGUUUUUAGGUUGAAGCCUUUAGUACAGCCGUAUACAUCAUAAAUCGCUUGCCUAAACCUGUCAUAAAUGAACUAUCUCCAUUUGAAAUUCUGUAUGGUAAGACUCCUUCUUAUGCUAUGUUUCACACAUUUGGCUGCUUGUGCUUUCCAUAUUUACAUGAUUAUGCUAAACAUAAAUUUGAACCACGCAGUCUUCCUUGUAUCUUUCUUGGAUACAAUACUUCCUAUAAAGGAUUCCAAUGUUUAGAUCCUAUAUCACAUCGAGUUUUUGUCACCAUGUAUGCACGAUUUAAUGAAACAGUAUUUCCAUUUUUAUCUUCUAAUAUGCAGCCUUCUUCAGCUCUUUCAGAUUUCAUUUUCUUUCAUGAUCCCUGUGUAUCGAACUCUUCCUUGUCUGGCUUUAAUUCUUCUGCAGAUUCUCAAUCCUCACAACACACAUCUGAGUCUCUGCCAUGUAAAUCUUGUGCCUUAGAGUUGGACAAUUCUCAUGUGUCAGCACUGCCUCUACCUUCUCCAAAUACUUCCUCAAUUGAAGUUAUAUCAGAUAUGCCGCCUCCAUCAAAUCUGCGCUCCUCAACUCAGAACUCUCAUUCUAUGAUCACUCGUGAGAAAGCUGGUAUCUCCAAAACUAAGCAUUCCAAUUAUGUUUGUUAAGUUCCGUCCUAUCCUUUGCUAUACUCUCUUAUAGUAACGAAGGAACCAAAGGGAUUCAAAAAUGCUGCUAAAAUUCCAGAAUGGCUUGCUGCCAUGAAUGAAGAAAUUCAUGCUCUCCAACUCAAUCAAACAUGGGAUUUAGUUCAAAGACCAUCUGCCAAAAAUGUUGCUGGCUCCAAAUAGGUCUUUCGUACUAUUUAUCAUUUGGAUGGAAUUGUUGACAAGCUCAAUGCUCGCCUUAUUGCUAAAGGCUAAACACAACUCUAUGGUCUUCAUUUUAAUGAUACAUUCAGCCUAAUAGUUCGCACAUCCACAGUCAGACUCGUCCUCUCUAUCUCAGUUUCUUGUGGUUGGAUCAUACAUCAACUAGAUGUUAAAAAUGCUUUCUUACAUGGUAUACUACGAGAAAAGGUUUAUAUAGAGCAACCACUAGAAUAUAUUGAUGCCUUUUACUAUUGACCAAGAAUGACUCUAGAAGUAAAAUAAAAUCUCAGGAGAGUCUGAGUUUGUUUAUAGUAUCAGAGUUUGUUUACUGUUACUAUUUUAAUGGCUAUCUUUUAUUCUAUGUAACAGAAAAUUAGAUAUGCUUGGAGAAUAUCUUGCAAUUUUGUUUUUCCUUAUUGUAUAAAUAAUCGUGUUGAAUUCAAUAAAGUAAUUGUUCUGCUGCAGCUACAAUAAGAAAGUUUUGUUUUCUCUUCAAUAUAUAUAACAAAUUGGUAUCAGAGCUUAUUUUCUUGAGGGACUUAUGAGAUUGAGAGAUCCUAAACACAACCUUCAAACACUUGUGAGAUUGAGAGAGCCUAAACACAACCUUCAAAUACUUUUCAUCUAAACACAACAUAACCAAUAUGAACUCAAAAAUGCCAUUUAUUGCAGUGGCACCUCCAGUAUUUGAUGGGAUCAAUUAUCAAGUAUGGGCUAUUAGAAUGGAAGCCCAUCUUGAUGCUAAUGAUCUAUGGGAAGCAGUUGAACAAGUAUAUGAAGUGCCAACUCUAUCAGACAAUCCAACUGUCGCAUAAAUAAAAAAUCACAGAGAGAAGAAGCAGAGAACAUCGAAAGCAAAAGCAACUCUGUUUGCAGCAGUCUCACCCACCAUUUUUUACAUAAUAAUGACUCUAAAAACAGCAAAGGAAAUUUGGGAUUUUCUGAAAGGAGAAUACAAAGGAAAAGAGAGAAUUAAAGGGAUGUAGGUGCUCAACUUAAUCCGAGAAUUUGAGUUACAAAAGAUGAAAGAAUAAAAAACAAUCAAGGAAUAUUCUAUCUUAGUAUUAUUAACAAUAUAAAACUCCUUAGCACUGAUUUUUCUGAUUCUAGAAUUGUUCAAAAAAUUCUAGUAACAAUUCCAAAGAAGUUUGAGACGACAAUCUCAUCUUUAGAAAAUUCUAAAGAUUUGUCAAGCAUUACCUUGGUAGAGUUGUUGAAUGCACUACAAGCACAAGAGCAAAGGAGGCUGAUGAGGCAAGAAAAAACUGUAGAGGAUGCAUUCUUUGUCAAAUCCCAAAAUAACAAUGAUGGUAAGAAUAGAAAAAAACAGAACAACAAGUUUGGAGGCUCUGCAUUCAACACCAGAAACAAUAAGACCAGCAAUACUCAAAGCUUUCCACCCUGCCCUCACUGGAAAAAAAACAAUCAUCCUCAGAAUAAAUGUUGGUAGAGACCUGAUGCACGUUGUUUUAAGUGUGGUCAGUUAGGGCACAUGGAAAAGAUAUGCAAGACUCAACAACAACAAACUGAAGCCAAGGUUGCCGAUGAUCAACAUCAGGAGGAGCAUAUAUUUGUGGUAUCAUGUUUAGCCACAAAUAAAUUCACAGAAAACUGGCUCAUCAACAACAAUUGUACAAAUCAUAUGACUCAUGAUGGAAAGCUCUUCACAGAGCUUGAUAGAAAUGUUAUUUCCAAAGUUAAGAUUGGAAAUGGAACUCACCUGAAAGUCGAAGGCAAAGGAACAGUAACUAUUGAAACACACUCACGUUUUAAAUUAAUUUCAAAUGUACUAUAUGUUUAUGAAAUUCAUCAAAACUUGUUAAGUGUUUCUCAACUGCUAGACAUAGGUUAUAAAGUGUUGUUUGAAGAUAAAAGUUGUGUGAUUGAAGAUGUUGAGGGCAUAAAAUUCUUCAAUAUUCAAAUGAAAGGCAAAAGUUUUGUACUGGAUUUUAAAGAAGAGCUGGUUGUUGUACACAAAGAAGUCAAUAAUUCAAUGCUUUGGCAUAAGAGAAUGGGGCAUUAUUGUUAUGAAGCAUUAUUUUUCAUGGAAAAGAACAACAUGGUGAAAGGCUUGCCUAAAUUAGGAAAAGAUUUUCCUAUAUGUGCUGCCUGUCAAUAUGGAAAGCUGUCAAGACUUCCAUUUCAACAAAGCAAAGCCUGGAGAUCUACACAGAAGUUGCAAUUAAUUCACAUAGAUGUUGGAGGACCAAUGAACCCAUCAUCUCUAAAUGGAAGUAAGUACUAUGUUUCCUUCAUUGAUGAUUAUUCCUGAAUGUGUUGGAUUUACUUUAUGAAAUUCAAAGCGGAAGUUGCUAAUAUAUUUGGAAAAUUCAAAGCUUGGAUUGAAACUCAAAGCAACUACAAAAUUCAGGUAAUCAGAUCCGAUAAUGGAAGUGAAUACACUUCUGAAAAAUUUAACAGAUUUUGUGAAGAUGCAGGCAUUGAACACCAGCUAACAGCACCAUAUUCUCCACAACAAAACGGUGUUGUGGAAAGAAAAAACAGGACAGUGAUGGAGAUGACUAGAUGUUUGCUUUAUGAUAAAGGACUAUCCAAGAAAUUCUGGGAUGAGGCAACUAAUACAUUAGUAUUCUUGUUGAAUAGAUUGUCAACAAAAGCCUUGCAGACAAGGACUCCAUUUGAAGCCUAGUUUGGCUACAAACCAAAGCUAAUUAAUCUAAAGAUAUUUGGUUGUUUAUGUUUCUCUUAUAUUCCUCAAAAUAAAAGAGACAAACUGGACAAGAAGGCUGAAGCUGGGAUUUUUGUAGGCUACAGUGCUGUUGCAAAAGCCUACAGAAUCUACAUACCUCAAAGAAACAAAGUAAUCAUCAGCAAGGAUGUUCAGUUUUUAAAAUCUAACAGCUGGGAUUGGAAGGAUGAAAAGCAGAUUGAAGAUCAAAAUCAGAAGAAUGAAAUAGAUGAUGAACUUGUGAAAGGAACUAGAACUCUUGCUUACAUCUAUCAAAGAUGCAAUGUUGCUGCAAUAGAACCUGCAAAUUAUGAAGAAGCUGCAACUGAGCAAAAAUGGUUAGAUGCAAUGGAGGAGCUAAAGACGAUUGAAAAGAGUCAAACGUGGGAAUUGGUGGACAGAGCUCAACAAAAAAAAAGCCAUAGAAGUCAAAUGGAUUUUUAGAAUCAAAUUGAAUUCUAAUGGUUCUGUGAAAUAAAUGCAAGGCAAGGCAGGUUGUCAAGGGAUAUGCUCAGAUGUUUGGGGUGGAAUUUUCUGAAACAUUCGCUCCAGUUGCAAGGAUAGAUAUAAUAAGAAUGUUGUUGGCACUUGCUGCACAAAAAGGCUGGACUUUACAUCAAAUGGAUGUCAAGUCAACUUUUUUGAAUGGUUACUUAGAGGAAGAAAUCUUUGUUGAAUGACCUGAAGGUAUUUCUAUUGCAGGACAAGAGAAUCAGGUAUAUCAACUAAAAAAAGCCUUAUAUGGCUUAAAGUAGGCUCCAAAAAGUUGGUACAGCAGGAUUGAUGCUUACUUGCAGAACUUAGGCUUUAUAAGAAGUCUAAGUGAAUCUAUUCUUUACAUUAAAGGAGCUGAAGGACAGAUACUUGUUGUAUCUCUUUAUGUUGAUGAUUUACUAAUAAUAGAAAGCUGUAGAGAGCAAAUUGACAAGUUCAAAUAAGAGAUGAAGUCUGUUUUUUAAAUGACAGACCUUGGAGGGAUGACAUUCUUUCUUGGCAUGCAAAUAUUUCAAAAAAAAAUGAAAUAUUCUUGUGUUAGCACAAAUAUGCAAAGGAAAUUCUCAAGAAGUUCAACAUGGAACAAUGCAAGCCUACUACAACACCAAUUAAUCAAAAGGAGAAGUUCUACAAGGAGAUGGAGCUGGAAAAGUGGAUGAAAAGCUAUACAAAAGCCUAAUAGGUUGCCUAAUGUAUUUGACAAUAACAAAACCAGACAUCAUACAUGUUGUAAGUCUAUUAUCUAGAUAUAUGCAUUGUGCAAGUGAAAUUCAUUUUGAAGCAGCAAAGAGAAUCCUCAGGUACAUAAAAGGCAUAGCUAAUUAUGGGAUCAAAUUCAGUCAAGUUGAAAAAUUCAAUCUUCAUGGCUACUCUAACAGUGACUGGGCAGGAAACAUUAAUGACAUGAGAAGCACCUCUGGUUAUUACUUUAGCUUCAAUUCAGGUGUUUUUUCAUGGAGCUCAAAGAAACAAGAAAUUGUUGCUCAAUCUACAGCAGAAGCUGAAUACGUUGUUGUUACUGCCUCCGCAAACCAAGCAGUUUGGAUUAGGAAACUACUAAAAGAUUUGAAUCUGAAGCAAAAUGAAAGCACACAACUGUUUGUGGACAACCAAGCUGCAAUAUCAAUCUCAAAUAAUCCAGUAUUUCAUGGUAGAACAAAACAUUUCAAGAUUAAAAUUUUCUUUCUAAGAGAAGUUCAACAAGAAGGGGAACUGAAGCUGCUUUACUGCAAAACGGAGGAACAACAUGCAGACAUCUUAACAAAAGCACUUCCCAAGCUCAAGUUUGAGUAUUUGAGACAGAAGUUAGGAGUUUACAGCUUCAGAGUCAAUGAGGAGAAUUGUUGAUCAAGAAUGACUCUAGAAGCAAAAUAAAAUAUCAGUAGAAUUGAGUUUGUUUACAGUAUCAGAGUUUGUUGCUAUUUUAAUGGCUAUCUUUUAUUCUAUGUAACAGAAAAUCAGAUAUGUUUUGAGAAUAUCUUGCAAUUCUGUUUUUCCUUAUUAUAUAAAUAAUCAUAUUGAAUUCAAUAACAUAUGUGUUCUUUUGCAACUACAAUAAGAAAGUUUUGUUCUCUCUUCAAUAUAUACAACACUUACCCACAUCAUGUUUGUUGUCUCAAAAAGGCAAUCUAUGGCUUGAAACAAGCCCCAAUAGCAUGGUUUCAUCGAUUCACCACAUUCUUACUCACUAUUGGUUUUAGUUGUUGCAAAUCAGAUUCUGGCCUAUUUGUUCAUUCAUCGGCCAAUGAUAUUCUUUAUGUGAUGUUUUGUAUUAAAAAGAUAGGAAAUGGCAACAAAACCCUUGGAGGCUUAAAGAGUAAGUAUAAUUAAAUGAGGGGUAGUGUGGUAAUUGAACAAUAGUUGAUAAAUAUAAAUAGAAAGAAAAAAAAGAUCUGAAUAUUUUGAGAGAGAACCGGCAGGAGUGAAGGGAGAAGAAAAGGGGAUGAAGAAGAAGAGAAAAGAGGGAAAUUAGAAGAGAAAUAGAAAGGAAUUGAAGAAAUAAGUAGUAAGAUUUAGGUUGUUAAAUGUAUAAAUGUAUGUUAAUUGAACUUUAAUUUCAGUUUUGAUGAAUGUUAGGGUUUUGAAAAUUUAUGUUUUUGGGUUUAUUGAUGAAUUAAAUUGAAUGUUAUGGGUUGAUUAUUAUGGGUAAUUGAUUAUUUAGUUGAUUAUGGAAGAUUGUAGAUAAAAAUGAUGAUUUUGAGUUAUGAUUUUGUUUGAAAGGUGAAUUUGUGUUAGAAAUCAGGAAAGAACAGUGGGUUUUCUGUUGAAAUUCUGGGUUGGAGGUUGAAGAUGACAAAAUUUCGGUUUGGUCCCUCAAUUUUGGAAAAUUACAGUUUAGUCCCCAAACUUUGGAAAAUUAUAGAUUGGUCCCUGGAGUAUAUUCCGAGAUUCUGGACAGAAUAAAAGAUGAAUUAUGGACAGAAUUCCAGUAUAGUUAUGAAUUUUUAACACUUUCAAUUUGGUCCUCCAAUUUGACAAAAAUUACCAUUUGACCCUAAAAAUUUGGAAAAAUUCUAGAAUGGUCCCUGGAGUAUAAUGAGAUAUUCUGGACAGAAUUGAAAAUUAAUUAUGGUAAUAAUUUCAGUAUAGUCAUGGAUUUAUGAUAUUUUUAGUUUGGUCCUUCAAUUUGACAAAAAUUACAAUUUGACACUAAAAAAUUGAAAAAAUUCUAGAAUGGUCCCUGGAGCAUAAUGAGAUAUUUUGGACAGAAUUGAGGAUUAAUUAUGGUCAUAAUUUCAGUAUAGUCAUGGAUUUAUGAUAUUUUUAGUUUGGUCCUUCAAUUGGACAAAGUUACAAUUUGACCCUUAAAAAUAUGAUAAAUUCAGAUUGGUCCCUAACUAUAAUAUUACCUUUUGCAUAUUGGUUUGAUGAAUAAUUGAGGGUUAUUUAGUGAAUUAUUACUAAUUUUAUUAUUUAUUUUUAUUAUGGAAUAGAUUUCGGGAAAACCGUUAAAUUUUGGGUUUUUGGGAAAAUUGACUAGUUAGUUUAAAAACAUAUAGGGUUAUGGAAUACACUCUUAGAUAAGUGUAUUAAAUAGGUUAUAUGUUCUUUUGGGUCAUUCUUGAAUAUGUCUCAUUUGUAUUCAGAUAAUCCUGAUAUUCUACCGGCGGGUCAUUAGUAGGAUUUCCAUCGGUAUCUGCUUUUGAGUGUGACACAAUCAAAGAGUUGAUGUCUUAUCUCAAGUGCAGGAGUGUCGAAGUAAUAAAUAACUCGACAAGACCAGGGUCGAACCACAGGGAGGUCAAUUAUAUAAAUUACAAAUAAAGAGAAAGAUUUGAAGAGAAUAAUAACAGAAAAGGAGUUGAAGAGAGUUUUGGGAAGUUUUAUUAGUGUAAGGAUUAAACAAUGAUAAAACAGAUGUCAAAAUUAGAGGAUUCACUAAUGGUAUUUCAAAUAAAUAUAAUCCAGCUAAUAACAGAUGUUUUAUAAAUAACUCUUUUUAUUACUCAAUUGGAAACCACACACAAAAGAGGUUCCAAUCGGAUGAUUUAUCGUUAUUAGCUCAUUAUAAAUUAUUAACAUGAUCAUAUUAAUCAUCUUAUCUAAAUAACACCAUACUUAUAAAUAUCAUCAGGCAUUCAUGUUGCUAGCUUAUGUUAACAACAAAUCAAGUUCCUAUCAUAACAACGAUGUCGGCCGAAAACUAUGAAGGAUCAAGCAUUUGAUGUACCAAGUGUUAUACAACACAAAUCUAGAUUAACCAUUUAACAAGCAAGGUGUUAAGAAUUAGUAAGAUAAAAAGAUAAGACAUGCUAAUAACAAUUUUUCUUGGAUAUAAACAUUAAAGUCCAUGUUGAGUUUAUAUUAUACCUAUUCUAACACCAUUAGUGAAACCUUUUCACCUUGACAUAAUUAACUUAGCUAAACAUAAUGAAGAAGAAAAACAUAAAUAAACAAUACAAGAACAUAAACAUGAUAUAAGUUAACUAAGUAUAGGAAAGGAAAUGAAAAAGCAUAAACAAGAGAUUAAUAUAGCAUGAAAGAAAACUUGAACAUUACAAAGAUAUAAAGAGAGAAAGCAAGAACAUGAUUUUGAUCUGAAAAAUAAUAUGACUAAAUACAUGGCAAAUGCCUCCUUUUAUAGGCUAAGAUUCAGAACUAUUGAUUGGCAGGCAACUAUUGAUUUGGUGGCUGGUUCUUGACAUUGUUGGCUGCUGGUUCUUGAUAUUGUUGGCAGAUUUUUGAUAUUGUUGGCUGGCCAAAAUGUCAUUGCUAACAUCAUAAUUUGAGCCCUUUGUUCCAUGAAAGCUGUGGGAAAUUGUCUCAGCUUUCCAACAAAAAAAACCAGAGCUCAUUUGGACUUCUAGAACUCAAGAUAUGAGCUGAAAACCGAACAGUGUUUGAGCUGCAAGACAGGUUCCAACUUCUCCGUUGUUGCUAAGAUUUGAACUUUUAAAUGGCAGAAUUGAGUCUUGAACUCUUCAUGAAAGUUUUAGGUCUAUGUCUUAUCUUUCCAUCCAUAUAAAGUGGACCUAAAUCCGAGUUCUACAACUCCAGUUAUGAUCAAAUAACCGAAUGGUGUUCCAGUUUGAAAUUGAACCAGCAUCUCUUCUCUUAGCCUAGUCCUCUUUUUGUCUCUUCACUUUCAAUAGUUAAUCACAUCAAUCAAUCCUUUGAAUUGUGAGAUAUACCUGCAUUCAAAACAAGCAUUUACCAUAAAUUAAAGAUAUAUUAUAUUAUUAGACUUGUUAUUAUAAAACAUGCUUUAGUUAGGGAAUUUAACGAUACUUUAGUGCAAUAUGAUGAUAUAAAGCCUUAAUGAGAAUGCACUUUUAAGUACUAAUCACACCCCCCCCCAACCAGCUUAUUACUAGUCCCUAGUAAUCAAAGCGUUAAAAUAUAAAAACAAUUUGCAAGUUCCACAAAGCAAGGUAUUCAUCAUUUAACUUCCAUUAAUCUAUCCAAAUAAAUAAACUCUCAUUAAAUUUAUAUAUCUGCUUCAUGCUUCUUAAACAAGAUAUUAAUAAACCUUCUUUUUGUGCUCAAUAAAUCAAAACAUAGCUAUGGAGCUUUUCAUGGAAGAAAACAAAAUUUUGUUCCAAUGUUUAAGGUUAACUUCCUUGGGUUGGGAUUAUUAUCUCUUUUUUUUUUAAAAAAAAGCAAGAAUUUAUAACACAAUGUAUCUUGAACCCAUGUAACGAGCUUUUAGCUAAUAACUCCCAGACCAGUUGGUCUUAGGGCAUCAGGUGUUGAGACACCCCUACGAGCUUAGUAACUCGGGUUGCAGAUACUGAUACGUAGAUAGUGCAAUGUUUGAUUCCCUUAAAAUUUUCUCCGUAACCCAUGUAACAAGCACUGGGCCAAUAGCUCCCAAGUCAGUUGACUUUAGGGUACUAGGUGUUAAAACACCCCUUCGGGCUUAAUUGCUUAAGUCAAGGAGGCUACAAAACCAAACUUAUCUACUUUUUUAUUUAUUCAAUUUGUUUUUGUUUUUUUUUUUGUUUUGUUUUUUUUUGCAAAUUAUAUACUAUCCAUUUCCCUUAGUUGUUACCUUUAACAAAAGAACAUGAAUAAUGUAAUAAUCCAAUAUGCAACCCACAAUCAUAUGUUAAAGUGUGUGUGUGAAAAUGAAGGUUUAGGAAUACUUGUUAACUGAGUAUAUCAGCAGAAUCAAGUGAUAGCAAUGCGAGAGUUUGUGAACCUGAAUAUUUCAAGAAGUAUUAUGAUAGACCUUGUUAAGAAUGUUUACUAAGAUGCGUCUCAAGAGUCACUAAAGUUCAUCCUUUACUCUGCCAUCCUAGUAACAACAGGUUUGCAAAUGGUUGUAAUAAUAGAAAACACAGUUAGUUAAUUUUUUUUUUAAUAUCAACUACUACCCUCUCCCCCCAACCAAAACGAGACAUUGUCCUCAAUGUUCUAAGGCAGAAAGAUAGAGUAUAGAAGACAUCACCUGAAACAACGACUAUUGACAAACCUGAAACACACUUAAACAAAUAUAAGAAAGAACAAAACACAAAUAUUAUGUGAUUAAUAAAACCAAAAGACACAAGUUUUCACAAACUAAGGCUCAAAUCCAAUCUAAGCUUUUUACGACGUUCCGUGAUUGACCAAUUGAGUCGACUCAUAAAGGAAUCAACUACAGGGAUGAAAGAUUGAAGUUCAUCAAUCAAUUGUUCAGCAGUAGCAGUAGAGAUGAGGAUUUGUCAUGCUAAAAAUGUUAGAAAUUGUUGUUCCACAGCAUGAUCAAGAAAAGACAGUAAAGUAUUAUAAAAACCAUUAACAUUUAGCAAACCUAUAGGUUUCUGGUGAAUGUUCAGCUGAGCCCAAGAGGAAAUAUGAAAUAUCUCUUCUAAAGUGCCCAGACCACCUGGUAAAGCAAUAAAGGCGUCAGCAUAGUUAAACAUUACAGACAGUCGUUCAGACAUUGUGGAGACCUGUAGUUCCUCUUCGAUUGUUUUUCCAAUGAUGUCCCCUUCGGCUAAAGCUGUGGGGAUGACCCCCAAAACUUGAUUGCCUCCUAAAAAUGCAGCAAUUGAAACACCCCUCAUUAACCCAAGGUUGCCUCCCCCAUACACUAAAUGAAUCUUUUGCUCAGCUAGUACCCGACCAAGAUGAUAUGCUGAUUCUAAAAACUCUUUUUCUUUCCCAGGACUGGAUCCACCAAAAACACAAAUAUUUUUUUAUUUUAGGAACAUAGGAACCUGCCAUGUCUACACACUUCUAUAUUUGUUGAAUGAAUGGGUUGAGUAGAAAUGAUGGGAAGGAAGAGAAGAUUUUAUAGAUGAGAAAUUAAAAAUGCAAUCAUACCACCUAUAUGUAGGCUAGCUGGAGUCUCACUCUCUCUCUCUCUCUCUCUCUCUCUCUUGUUUUUUUUUGUUUUUUAAAACAUGUGUAUGUACAAGCAGUUGUGAUUGUGGCUCACAUCUUCCCUUGGUUUUGCGUCCAAGAAUGACUUAAACGCCCUCUAUGGGUCGGGGAUAGGCUUCCCAUCCAGUUUUCUUAAAAACUGACAAACAGGGUCUUUUUUAGUCAAAUUCCCAAGACUAAGUCGAUCAUGUUCUUUAUGAAAAUGAGGCCAUAAAUCAUGAAUUACACGAUGCACAUCUCCACUAGGAUGCGUCUCAAGAGUUAAUAAAAGAUUAUCUAAAGACUCCUUACUCAGACCAUCCUUAAUGAAUUGUAUUUUAUCUUCACGGUUUAUAGAUACCAUUCCUGAAGAACGACAUUUUGCAUUACAAGUCCAUCUGGCACAUCGGUGACAGACUUUCAGUCGUUUUGCACGAUGUUUCCUUGCAAAAGUGCUUUUACCUGUCCCAGGCAUGUAUGAAAUAAAAGUAUUGGAAGACUCACCAGAUAAUCGGACCUUUGCUUCAAUUAGCCAGCGAAUAUCUUCAGGAAUUCCAUGGUUCAUUAACAACCUCAAUCUUUCACACCUAGCAUGGUAAAUUUUUGUAAUCGCAUUUUGAGGCAGAGCGGGAAAAUACUUUUUUAAUGUUUCAAGAGUGGUGUCCAUUUUUCAAAAGAGAAGUGUAGAAGAGAUGCAAAGAAAAGAGAAGGAACAAGGAAUUGAACAAAUAUAUACAUAGAUAUCAGUUAUCAUGGGAAACUGAAAGAACCGACUUAAGAGUCACGGAGUACCGUUAUCCGCAAUUUGACCAGGGUUGGAGAAAGACUAGCAAAACAAGAGUCACACCAAAAAGAAACACAAAAACAAUGUGAGAAAAACAAAAUAAUCAACCUUUAUAUACAGGAUCAUUCAAACCAAUGGAUUCAUUUUCACUAGGAAAAUUAUCAAAGUAAGCUUUCAAGCGAUGUCCAUUUACCUUAAAAACAUUUUCAUUCUUUGGAUUCUCAAUAUCAAGGGCCCCACAAGGAUACACAUGUUUCACAAUAAAUGGACCGCUCCAUCUUGAUCUUAGCUUUCCAGGAAAUAAAUGGAGUCGAGAAUUAUAAAGCAAAACUUUUUGACCAACAUCAAAUGUUUUUCUCAAGAUUCUCUUAUCAUGAAACUCUUUGAUUCUUGCUUUAUGAAUUUUUGAAUUUUCAUAUGCAUCAUUUCUUAUUUCCUCAAGCUCAUUUAUUUGCAACUUACGCAGAUGGCUAGCAUCAUCCAGGUUUGAAUUGAAAGCUUUAAUAGCCCAAUAAGCUUUGUGUUCAAGUUCCACAGGCAAAUGACAAGGUUUUCCAUAAACCAACCUAUAAGGUGACAUACCUAAUGAUGUUUUCAAAGCAGUGCGAUAAGCCCAAAGUGCAUCAUUAAGUCUUAAAGACCAGUCCUUCCGAUUAGGGUUCAUUGUUUUUUCCAAGAUUUGUUUGAUCUCCCUAUUAGCAAGUUCUACUUGUCCAUUUGUUUGAGGGUGAUAAGGGGUGGCAACUUUGUGUGUGAUUCCAUAUUUCUUCAUUAAAAACUCAAAUGGCUUGUUACAGAAAUGUGUUCCACCAUCACUUAUCAUGACCCGAGGGAUUCCAAAUUGACUCAAAAUAUUUUCUUUCAAAAACUUGAUCACUGUUUUAUGAUCAUUGUUACGACUUGGAAUUGCCUCUAUCCAUUUUGAAACAUAGUCUAUUGCGACUAAUAUGUACACAAAACCAAAUGAUGGAGGAAAUGGACCCAUAAAAUCUAUACCCCAACAGUCAAAGAUUUCAAUGACAAGAAUAGUAUUUAAAGGCAUCAUGUGACGUUUUGAAAUAGAUCCUAGCUUUUGACAAUUUUCACAAGUUUUGCAGAAUGCAUGCGUGUCUUUGAACAUGGUGGGCCAAUAAAAUCCACAUUGUAAGAUUUUUGCAGUUGUCUUUCUUGAUGAGAAAUGACCCCCACAUGCCUCAGAAUGACAAAAUUUAAUGACACUACUUACCUCAUUGUCGGGAAUGCAUCUUUGAAAUAUUUGAUCAGGACAAUAUUUGAAUAAGUAAGGGUCAUCCCAAUAAAAGUUCUUCACUUCGUUCAAGAACUUUCUUUUAUCUUGGGUACUCCAAUGAGCUGGCAAAUAUCCUGAAACAAGAAAAUUAACAAUAUUAGCAAACCAAGGCAUCGUAGAGACAGAAAGUAAAGAUUCAUCAGGAAAGUAGUCAUUGAUUGGUGUGAUGUCAGAUCUCGAAUCAGUUCUCAAUCUUGACAAAUGAUCCGCGAUAAUAUUUUCGAUGCCUUUCUUAUCCUUGAUUGGGAUAUCGAAUUCUUGAAGUAACAAAAUCCACCGUACCAAUCUAGCCUUAGAAUCCUUCUUAGAAAGAAGAUAUUUCAACGUUGUAUGAUCGCUAAAAACAAUAACAGGUGAGCCAACAAGAUAAGAUCUGAAUUUUUCACAUGCAAAUUCUACUGCAAGUAAUUCCUUUUCAGUGGUAGUGUAAUUCAUUUGAGCACUACUUAAAGUUUUACUUGCAUAGUAAAUCACAUAGGGUUUCUUAUCUUUUCUUUGUCCUAAAAUAGCACCCACGGCAUAAUCACUAGCAUCACACAUUAUUUCAAAAGGUAAUGACCAAUCAGGAGGUUGAAUGACAGGAGCAGAAGUAAGCAAGUUUUUAAGUUUAACAAAGGCUUCUUCACAAUGUUCAGUCCAUUUAAAAACAUUAUCCUUUGUUAAAAGGUUACACAAUGGCUUAGAUAUUACACUAAAAUCUUUGAUGAACCUUCUAUAAAAACCAGCAUGUCCUAAGAAUGAUCUAACAUUUUUAACAGAUUUUGGUGUUGGCAAGUUGGCAAUUAACUCGAUUUUAGAUUUGUCAACCUCAAUUCCUAUUGAUGAAACAAUGUGACCAAGUACAAUGUCAUUUGUUACCAUAAAAUGACAUUUUUCCCAAUUCAGCACAAGAUUCUUCUCUUCACACCUGUUCAAAACCUUUUCCAAGUUAGUUAAACAAUCAUCAAAUGAAUCACCAAAAACAGAAAAAUCAUCCAUAAAAAUCUCAAGAAAACGUUCAACCAUAUCACUGAAUAUGCUGAGCAUGCAUCUUUGAAAUGUGGUUGGUGCAUUACAUAAUCCAAACGGCAUCCUACGGUAUACAAAUGUACCAAAUGGACAUGUGAAAGUAGUUUUCUUUUGAUCUUCAAAUGCAAUUUCAAUUUGGUUAUUACCUGAAUAGCCAUAUAGAAAACAAUAAAAUUCAUGACCUGCAACUCUUUCUAGAAUUUGAUCCAUGAAAGGUAAAGGAAAAUGAUCUUUUCUAGUCAUUGAAUUAAGUUUCCUAUAGUCAAUGCACAUGCGCCAACCAGUAAUAGUCCUAGUUGGAAUUAACUCAUUCUUCUCAUUUGUUAUCACAGUAACUCCAGACUUUUUAGGUACAACUUGGGUAGGACUUACCCAUUUGCUGUCAGAAAUAGGAUAAAUGAUUCCAUUAUCUAGAAGCUUAAUGACUUCAUUCCUCACUACUUCUUUCAUGUUAGGAUUAAGCCUUCGUUGCAUUUCUCUAGAGGGUUUAGCAUUUUCCUCCAAAUAAAUCUUGUGUGUGCAAAUCAAAGGACUAAUUCCUUUUAUGUCAGCUAUGGUCCAUCCUAAUGCAUUUUUCUGCAUUUUCAGAGUUUGUAAUAACUUACCUUCUUGAUGAACAUUAAGUUUGGAAGAAAUUAUUACUGGAAAAGUUUUAUUUUCUCCUAAAAAUGAGUAUUUGAGAUUAAAUGGUAAUGGCUUCAAAUCGGGUUUUGGUGGAUGAACACUUGAAGGUAUGGACUCAAUUGAUCGUGGUGGCAAUUCCUUAAUUUUUGGUCUCCAACUAUUUGCCUUUGAUUCUUCCUGAAAAUAAACCAUUUGCAAAUCUUCAAAUUCAUUAAACUCAGUUUCACUGGAAGAAUUUUCAAAUUGAUCAUAAAUUAAAUUUUCAAUAAAAUCUACUUCCUAUAAAUCAUUAUCAUCUCCAGGUUGCUUGCAAAUGUUAAAAACAUUCAUCUCCAAUGUCAUGUUUCCAAAAGAUAACUUCAUCACUCCAUUCCUACAAUUAAUCAAUGCAUUAGAAGUUGCAAGAAAUGGACGUCCUAAAAUAACAGGAAUUGAAUUGCAUGCUUCAACAGGUUGUGUAUCCAAGACAAUAAAAUCCACAGGAAAGAUGAAUUUAUCAACUUGUACUAACACAUCUUCAACUAUUCCUCUAGGCACUUUUAUAGAUCUAUCAGCAAGUAAAAGAGUUACAGAAGUAGGUUUUAACUCACCUAAAUUGAGACUGAAAAACCGAAUAUAGAAGUAAAUUCACACUAGCUCCAAGAUCAAGUAAAGCUCUAUCAAUUUUAUGUUCUCCAAUAAAGCAAGAAAUUGUAGGACAACCAGGGUCUUUAUAUUUCAAAGCAUUAUCGUUCUGAAGAAUGGCACUUACUUGUUCGGCUAAAAAGGCUUUCUUUUUCACAUUCAGUUUUCUCUUCACAGUGCACAGAUCUUUCAAAAAUUUAGCAUAAAACGGUACCUGUUUAAUAGCAUCUAACAAAGGUAUAUUGAUCCUUACCUGUUUGAAAGUUUCAAAGAUUUCAGAAUUGUGAUUGACUUUUCUUUGUUUGGUCAUGGCAUGAGGAAAUGGAAGUGCUGGUGGGGAAUCAGUCUCCUCCUUGCAAUGUUCAAGUUCAACCAUUUCCUUACCCUCAGAGACUAACUUAUCUUCUUUCUCACAAGGUUCAAGAACGAGUUUUUCAAUAACUUUACCACUGCAGAGAGUAGUGACUGAUUUGACUUGAUCCAUAUGUUGGCUUCCGGAACUGCUUGCACUUGAAUUGUAUUGCCCUUUGGGAUUUUGCUGGGGUUGAGAUGGAAACUUACCUUUCUCCUGAAAACUAAGAGCAGAUGUGAACUUUGCAAGAGUAUCUUUUAGAUCUGCCAUGGUUUGAGCAUUUUGAGUGUUAAUUGUCUCUUGAUUUUCAAUGAAUGCAUGCAGUGUUUCCUCAAGAUUUCUUCUAGGAGGGGGAACAUAAAGAGGUGCAUAUCCAUGAGAAUUUUGAAAAUUAUGUUGUGCUUGAAAUGGUGGCUGUGAAGUUUGUGCAUUAUUGUUACCACUCUUCCAACUGAAAUUUGGGUGAUUUCUCCAACCAGGGUUAUACGUUUGCGAGUAUGGGUUAUGACUUGGCCUUUGGAAACUAUUUAAAGCAUUGGCUUGUUCAUGGAGACAUUCCUUAAAAGAAGGCAAAGUUGGACAAUCAUUGGUUGAGUGUUUAUUAGUUUCACAAAUUUGACACACAAUUUCUUGAACAGAUUUUAAUUGUCCACUCUUUUUUAAUUCUAGUGCCUCAACUUUUCUAGCUAAAGAUGCAAAUUUAGCUUGGAGGUCAUGAUCUUCCCUAAGGUUGUACAUGCCUCCAUUAGAUGUAUGAGGUUGAGUUUUACCUGGUGCCUCACACGUACCUGUGGUGUCCUAAUUUUGAGCAUUUUCAGCUAGCAAGUCUAGGUACUCCAUUGCUUCAUCAGGGUCUUUAUCUUCAAAAGUUCCAUUGCACAUCAAUUCCACCAUUUGCCUAUCUUUAGGUGUUAACCCUUCAUAAAAUUGUGAGACCAAUCUCCAUGUUUCAAAACCAUGAAGAGGACAGGUAUUAAGCAAGUCUUUAUAUCUAUCCCAACACUUGUAAAAUGUUUCUCCUGGUUUUUGAGUGAAAGUGGUGAUUUGUCUUUUGAAAGAAUUUGUUCUGUGAGACGGAACAAACUUCUUUAAAAACUGUUGUUGCAUUUCAUCCCAAGCACGAAUGGAUCCUGACCUAAUAUUUUGUAGCCAUGUUUUAGCUUUAUCUUUUAAUGAAAAAGGAAAAAGCUUUAAUCUGAUGGUGUUCAUGCUACAAUUUUAAGUCAUUAUAGGUGUUACAAACUUCUUCAAAUUCUCUUAAAUACAAGUAUGGAUUUUCUAAUUCUAAGCUAUGAAAAGUGGGUAAAAGUUGAAUAAUACCUGGCUUAAAAUUAAAAUGAGAAGCAUCAGGAGGAAAAACUAUACAUGAUGGUGCACUUGUUCUUGUUGGAUUCAUGUGAUCUUUAAGUGUUCUCACACGAUUAUUCUCAUUAUUCUCAUUAUGAAUUGACUGGUUAUCUUCUUCGGCCAUGUUUUCUAAAGAAAAUGAGGAUUUCCUAGAAAGUCUACCACUUAAUGUACGUGUCCAAACUCUCAUGCAAGUGCAAAAGAAAAGAAAAGAAAAAGAAAAAGAAAAAGAAAAAGAACAAAAAUUAGAAAAACAAAUAAAAGUAAAAAACAAAAGAAAAUAAAAGAAAUAUAAAAUUUAUACAAUACUUACCUCCCCGGCAACGGCGCCAAAAACUUAACACGAUCAAAGAGUUGAUGUCUUAUCCCAAGUGCAGGAGUGUCGAAGUAAUAAAUAACUCGGCAAGACCGGGGUCGAACCACAGGGAGGUCAAUUAUAUAAAUUACAAAUAAAGAGAAAGAUUUGAAGAGAAUAAUAACAGAAAAGGAGUUGAAGAGAGUUUUGGGAUGUGAUAUUGGUGUAAGGAUUAAACAAUGAUAAAACAGAUGUCAAAGUUAGAGGAUUCACUAAUGGUAUUUCAAAUAAAUAUAAUAUAAACUCUGUUUAUUACUCAAUUGGAAACCACACACAAAGGAGGUUCCAAUCGGAUGAUUUAUCGUUAUUAGCUCAUUAUAAAUUAUUAACAUGAUCAUAUUAAUCAUCUUAUCUAAAUAACAUCAUACUUAUAAUUAUCAUCAGACAUUCAUGUUGCUAGCUUAUGUUAACAACAAAUCAAGUUCCUAUCAUAACAACGAUGUCGGCCGAAAACUAUGAAGGAUCAAGCAUUUGAUGUACCAAGUGUUAUACAACAAAAAUCUAGAUUAACCAUUUAACAAGCAAGGUAUUAAGAAUUAGUAAGAUAAAAAGAUAAGACAUGCUAAUAACAAUUUUUCUUGGAUAUAAACAUUAAAGUCCAUGUUGAGUUUAUAUUAUACCUAUUCUAACACCAUUAGUGAAACCUUUUCACCUUGACAUAAUUAACUUAGCUAAACAUAAUGAAAAAGCAAAACAUAAAUAAACAAUACAAGAACAUAAACAUGAUAUAAGUUAACUAAGUAUAGGAAAGGAAAUGAAAAGGCAUAAACAAGAGAUUAAUAUAGCAUGAAAGAAAACUUGAACAUUACAAAGAUAUAAAGAGAGAAAGCAAGAACAUGAUUUUGAUCUGAAAAAUAAUAUGACUAAAUACAUGGCAAAUGCCUCUUUUAUAGGCUAAGAUUCAGAACUAUUGAUUGGCAGGCAAAUAUUGAUUUGGUGGCUGGUUUUUGACAAUGUUGGCUGCUGGUUCUUAACAUUGUUGGCUGCUGGUUCUUGAUAUUGUUGGUAGAUUUUUGAUAUUGUUGGCUGCUGGUUCUUGAUAUUGUUGGCAGAUUUUUGAUAUUGUUGGCUGGCCAAAACAUCAUUGCUAACAUCAGAAUUUGAGCCCUUUGUUCCAUGAAAGUUGUGGAAAAUUGUCUCAGCUUUCCAACAAAAAAAACCAGAGCUCAUUUGGACUUCUAGAACUCAAGAUAUGAGCUGAAAACCGAACAGUGUUUGAGCUGCAAGACAGGUUCCAACUUCUCCGUUGUUGCUAAGAUUUGAACUUGCAAAUGGCAGAAUUGAGUCUUGAGCUCUUCAUGAAAUUUUUAGGUCUAUGUCUUAUCUUUCCAUCCAUAUAAAGUAGACCUAAAUCCGAGUUCUACAACUCCAGUUAUGAUCAAAUAACCGAAUUGUGUUCCAGUUUGGAAUUGAACCAACAUCUCUUCUCUUAGCCUAGUCCUCUUUUUCUCUCUUCACUUUCAAUAGUUAAUCACAUCAAUCAAUCCUUUGAAUUGUGAGAUAUACCUGCAUUCAAAACAAGCAUUUACCAUAAAUUAAAGAUAUAUUAUAUUAUUAGACUUGUUAUUAUAAAACAUGCUUUAGUUAGGGAAUUUAACGAUACUUUAGUGCAAUAUGAUGAUAUAAAGCCUUAAUGAGAAUGCACUUUUAAGUACUAAUCAGAGUGCUGUUUGCUUUUAAGUCAAGUGAGUGGAUAAUUUUCCAUAUGCAUGAGAAAUAUUAUAAAUAGUUGAUUUGUUAAUAUGAAUUGGAUCAUGCUUCUUGAUAAUAUAUAUGUUGAUUAUUAUUCUUAUUAUGAUAAAGCAUGAUCAAUUGUUGAAUCUGGAUUCUUGAUAUGAACCAGUAUAUAUUUUGAAUUGACUUCUGGAUUGAUAGCUCCUCAUUUGAUUGAUGUCAUGAAUUGAGCCUUGAGAUAUGAAUAUGUCUGUUUGAUUAUGAUUAUGAACCUAUGGUAUGUCAGUCAGAAUACCCAUGCUAACAGGGUAGUGUUAGUCUUUGUGCACAUUGUAUCUGAACCCUAGUUGGUCGGGGGAGUCACCAACCUGUGUGGACUGAUCAUCCCACAGUACGGAGCCUCAUGCUCAUUGCAUUUUGAUUUUCUAACGAGCUUUACCUUCUGAUAUUCUUGUUAUGGCCUAUUUGAGAAACUUUCCUAUAAGAACCUAGAGCCAUACUUGUAUAUAUAUUUCUCAUUGUUUUAUUACCUCGUGUGUGUAUAUUAAACGUUAUCUACUCACUGAGUUGUUGAACUCACCCUCUCAUUAUUUAUCAUUUUCAGGCUUAUAGCUUGAUAGCAGGUUACUUUUGUUGGACCUUCAGAACUUGCUCUUUUGGUUGUAAUUUGUACAUUUUCCUUUAUGUCUAGUUAGUGCUCCUAAACUAUGAAAUUAUAUUAACUCUUGUAUUAAGACAAUUAAAUUAUUUUAUGAAGUUAGUUUGUUGUUAAUGCUGCGUUGAACUCUGAUUGACUUAUUUAAAGGAUAAGUUUGUAUGUAAGUUUGGGUUCGCAUAGGUAUGGAAACUUGGAGGGGAACCUUGCCUAUGUGCCGGUCAUGGAUCCAGGAAUCGGGUCAUGACAAACUUGGUAUCAGAGCUUUAGGUUAAAGAAACAUUAGUAUAGUUAAUUUCAUAAUAAGUGGAGCAUUAGGAUAUGUAUCGUUUUAUUUGUUGUUUUUGAUAUUUUAAAUUCUCAUCAAGCAUGUCUUCUUCCUUGUGAUUGAUAUGCUUUCCUAUAAUUCUGUGAUAAUGAUCAUGUUAUUGUUCUAGAAUGACUUAAGUGCUCUAAUUUCUUAGAGGAUAUGCCAAGGAAUAGACAUAAAAUUGAUACUAUUAGAGUAAAUGACAAUAAAGAUGUCCAUAUUGUGAAGUUUCGAAAUGCAAGGUAUAGGAGGCGGGGCAGUACAUCCGCACCUCAACAUAUUCUUAUUGUUAGCUCUUUUAAAGCAAAAAUAUUAUUUAAUACAAGUGCAACUCAUUCGUUUAUGUCUUUAUAUUUUGCCAUGAGGCUAGAUAAGCAACCAACUCUGUUAAGAUCCCCCAUUUCAAUUUCUACUCCCCUUGAUGAAUUAGUGUUGGUGAAGUAUGUGUAUCCGGAUUGUGGAAUAGAGAUUGGAGAUAGGAUCUUUAUAAGAGAUUUAAAUGUCUUAGAUAUGGUUGAUUUUGAUGUGAUUUUGGGAAUGGAUUGGUUGGCAAAGCAUAGGGCUUUGGUAAAUUGUUGGGGUAAGAAAAUAAUGUUUGAUUUAGAUGAAGAAGUUGGGUUGGUAUUUCAAGGAGAUAAGAUUGGGUCUCCAUCAAUUAUGUUGUCAGCUAUCUCGAGGAAAAUAGCCCGAAAAGGGGUACAGUGCUACCUAGCAUAUAUAGUGGAUAUAGAGAAAGAAAUUCCUCAAUUAGACCAAGUCCCUAUAGUUAGGGAGUUUAUUGAUGUCUUUCCCGAUGACUUACUUAGAUUGCCUCCAUAUAAGGAAAUUGAGUUUUGUAUUGAUUUGGUUCUGAGUACCGAACCAAUAUCAAUGGCACCAUAUAGAAUGGCGCCAGCAGAAUUGAGGGAGCUAAAGGAGCAACUGCAGGAUUUGUUGGAUAAAAAGUUCAUCCGACCGAGUGUGUCCCCUUGGGGAGCCCCGGUAUUGUUUGUGAAGAAGAAAGAUGGGUCAUUGAGGUUGUGUAUAGAUUAUAGGCAACUGAAUCGGGUGACAGUUCGAAAUAGAUACCCACUCCCUCGCAUAGAUGAUUUGUUUGACUAGUUGCAGGGAGCUCAAUUCUUUUCUAAGAUCGAUCUUCGAUCUAGGUAUCAUCAGUUGAGGAUAAGAGAGGAGCACAUUUUGAAGACAGCUUUUAGAACUCGGUAUGGUCAUUAUAAGUUCUUAGUGAUGUCUUUUAGAUUGACGAAUGCACCAGCAUCUUUUAUGGAUUUGAUGAAUAGAGUGUUUGGACAGUUUAUUGAUUGAUUUGUGAUAGUUUUUAUUGAUGAUAUUUUGGUGUAUUCGAGGUCUAGAGAGGAGCAUGAGCAGCACUUGAGAAUGGUGCUUCAAACUCUGCGAGAUCAUCAGUUGUAUGGCAAGUUCUCAAAGAGUGAGUUUUGGUUGGAGAGUGUAGCAUUUCUUGUGCAUGUAGUGUCAAGGAAUGGGAUUGAGGUUGAUCCUCAAAAGAUUGAAGUAGUUAAGCAGUGGCUUAGGCCUACUUCGGUGACAGAGAUUGGAAGUUUCUUAGGUUUGGCCGACUACUAUCGGAGGUUUGUAGAGAACUUUUCUCGGAUUUCUGCACCAUUGACUAAGUUAACGCAGAAAAAUAUUAAGUUUCAGUGGUCUGAAGCUUGUAAGAAAAGUUUCUUAGAGUUGAAAGAGAGAUUGACUACAACACCUAUUCUAGUGGUACCAUCAGGUUCUGGUGGUUACACAGUGUAUUGUGAUGCUUCGAGAGUGGGGUUAGGAUGUGUUCUAAUGCAGCAUGGCAAGGUUAUUGCCUAUGCUUCACGGCAGCUGAAGAAGCAUGAACAGAACUAUCCUACACAUGAUUUAGGGAUGGCGGCUGUAAUUUUUGCCUUGAAGAUUUGGAGACACUACUUGUAUGGUGAAACUUAUGAGAUCUUCACAGAUCACAAGAGUUUGAAAUAUAUCUUUCAGCAGAGGGAUCUAAAUCUGAGGCGGAGGAGAUGGAUGGAACUGCUGAAGGAUUAUGAUUGUACCAUACAGUACCACCCGGGUAGGGCAAAUGUAGUUGCUGAUGCUUUAAGUAGAAAAUCAUCAAGGAGCUUAGCUUAUAUUCAGGAGGUACGAAGACCUCUGAUUAGGGAGUUGCAUGAGUUAGUAGAUGAAGGAGUCAGAUUUGAUCUUAGUGAAGCUGGAGCAAUGAUUGCUCACUUUCAGGUUAAGUCAAAUUUGUUUGAUAAGAUAAAAACAGCUCAGAAGAAAGAUGAUUCACUACUCAGGAUCAAAAAUGAGGUUGAGCAGGGUAAGGCUGCAGGUUUUGUGAUAGGUGAUGAUGAUGUGCUGAGAUAUAGGGAUAGGCUUUAUGUACCUGAUGUAGAUGAUCUAAAGAUAGAAUUGAUGGUAGAGGCACAUCAGACAGUUUACACAAUGCAUUCAGGUUCCACCAAGAUGUAUAAAGACCUUAAGGUGUGUUAUUGGUGGAAUAGGAUGAAGGCUGAUAUAGCAGAUUUUGUUUCUAGGUGUUUGACCUGUCAGAGGGUAAAGGGUGAACACCAGAAACCUCCUGGAUUGUUGCAACCAUUUUUUAUUCCGGAAUGGAAGUGGGAAAGGAUCACAAUGGACUUUGUGACAGGAUUGCCUAGGAGUCAGGAGGGUUAUGAUUCAAUUUGGGUGAUUGUUGACAGGUUGACAAAAUCAGCCCAUUUUCUGCCAGUUAAGAUUAGUUAUGGAUAUGCAAAAUUAGCAGAAUUGUUUAUUAGUGAGAUUGUACGGUUGCAUGAAGUGUCAAUCUCGAUAGUGUCAGAUAGAGGUCCAUAGUUUACAUCGCGGUUUUAGGUGAAAUUCCAAAAAGCUAUGGGUACUAAAGUGCAGUUGAGUAUAGCUUUUCACCCUCAGACCGAUGGUCAGUCUGACAAGACUAUUCAGAUCUUGGAGGAUAUGUUAAGGGCUUGUGUCAUGGAUUUUGGAGUUAGUUGGAGUAAGUUCCUACCAUUAGUGGAAUUUGCUUACAACAAUAGUUAUCAGGCUAGCAUAGAGAUGGCACCUUAUGAGGCUUUGUAUGGUUGGAAGUGUAGAUCACCAGUUUGUUGGUUUGAGGUUGGUGAGAAGAGGCUAAUGGGACUAGAGUUGAUUCAGAUUACCUCAGAGAAGAUAGAGGUAAUUAGAAAUAAGCUUAAAACAGCUCAGAGCAGACAAAAGAGUUACGCGGAUAAAAGAAGGCGUGACUUAGAGUUUUCAGUGGGUGAUUGUGUGUUCUUAAAAGUAUCACCGACCAAAGGAGUAUUCAGGUUUGGGAAGAAAGGCAAGUUGAGUCCUCGAUUCAUUGGACCGUAUGAGAUUCUGGAGAGAGUUGAGGCAGUUGCUUAUAGGUUAGUAUUACCACCAAACUUGUCUACUUAUAGUUUAUUGCAGAAAACAUGAAUAUCAUGAUAAUUUUGUAUUUAAAGAUGGAAUUGGGCUUUUCAAUGACUAUGUUGUUCUGUAUAAUAGAAAACUUUUAAUGCAGUACAAUGCACAUAUAAAUGUUGAGAUAUGCUGUCAAUCACUGUUGAUCAAAUAUCUAUUCAAAUACGCCAGCAACGAGCUUGAUAGAUGUAGAAUGGUGCUUCAGAAUGAAACUAAUGAUGAAAUACAUGCAUAUCGUAAUUGUCGAUUUAUCUGCUCCUAUGAAGAUGUUUGAUGUCUUUUCCAAUUUCCAAUUUAUUCAAGAACCCCUACAAUUGAAAGGCUUCAAGGUCAUAUAUUUGCCUUCUCAGCAAAAUGUUAUCUUCUCAAGCAACAACUCUCUUUGUCCUGUUCUUAGAAGGUCAGGUAUCAAUAAAACAAUGCUUACUGAAUGGUUUGACUGCAACAAAAAAUAUGCUCAUGCACGAGAGCUUUACUAAUCACAAUUUCCAAGCAAAUAUGUAUGGGAUGGCGGGCUGAAAGAGUGGGUUGUCAUAUCAAGGAGGUUUAGCCUUGGACGUAUAACAUAUGUGCAUCCUGCUGCUGGGGAACUUUAUUUUUUAAGAAUACUUCUAAACCAUGUGAAAGGGCCUACAGGGCUUGAUGAUUUUAAAAACGUUGGCGGCAUUGUUUGUCCAACAUUUCAGCUUGUUUGCAAGGCAUUGGGUCUUUUAGAUGACGACAAAGAAUGGUCCAAAGCUUAGUGAUCUCAUUCGACGUCAGUGUUUCUCAGAGGCUUCCAUUCUUUGACAACACUCUAGACAUAGUUCAUUCGAUGCAUGUUCUGAGCAACUGGAUUCCAGAUGCGAUGUUGGAAUUCACACUCUAUGAUAUAUACAGAGUGUUGAGGCCAGGGGGACUCUUCUGGCUUGAUCGCUUCUUCUGCCUGGGAUCACAGCUGAAUCAAACAUACGUUCCAAUGUUGGAUCGUGUUGGAUUCAGGAACCUAAGGUGGAACGCUGGCAUGAAGCUUGAACGAGGGAUUGACAAAAACGAGUGGUAUUUCUCUGCCCUGUUGGAGAAACCAAUGACCUGAGCAACAAUUUUUAACACCAUCAAAUCAUGCAAUGCAAUGCACAUGCAUGCAGUUUAGGAAGUAUUUAGUUUACAAAUUUUAUUUUUUUAUUCAGUUUAUACCUAUGAUUAGUAUAAAUAAGGUUGUCUAAAUGAAAUAUUUUAGAUGUUUCCCCAUAGCUAUGAUAUUCAUGGUUUUUAAGGGUUUCGACUUUGUAAUAAAUUCUGUUAUUCAGCGUCGUGAUAAUAAUAAUUAUAAUAUUCACAACUUAAAAGAUUGGAUACAGGACACAGAAAAUGCUCAUCAUUUUACUCUCCUUUGAUUCAAGUGAGAGGUCGAAUCAAGAGAAAUAGAUCAAUAAGUUCAACUGGCAUAAGUUUAAUUUCUAACAUAAUUAAUGCAAGAGCACACAGGAUUUCUUUCACCCAACAUACAAAGGUUUUGCUAAAUAUAUAUUCACAAGUAGUUGACUCUUACAAAUCUGAUGCACCUCACGCGGCAAACAUCGCAAGAAAAUAUUGUAAAACCCAGUACCGAAGCAACUUCUCAUCUUUCCCAGCUAAACAAUGCUCAUCAUGGUUCUAGACUCAAGAUAAUGAAAGCUCUUCUUCCUUCAAGGAUGGUGGAAACUCGUCCUGGCUUGCUUCCUCAAAACUAGCUGAAGUGGAUUCUGCUUCAGCAUUGGGGUUUGAACCAGCAAGAUGCAAGAUAUUCUCAAUCUCUUUCACCACUUCACCCAUUGUUGGCCUGUCACUUCCUUUCUCUUGUACACAUUUCAUUGCCAGAUCCACUAUCUUAUCUAGACCUUUCGGCUUCGUGUCUAAACCAAUGCUUGGGUCAAGAAGUUCAUGAAGGUUAUAUAGAUCUUUUUUUCUAUCCAAUGAGCUACUUACCUCCGCUACAAGGUAUUUCCCUCGCUCUAAAGGCUUUCUUCCACUUACUAGUUCCAGCAACACAACUCCAAAGCCAUAGACAUCACUCUUCUCAGUCAAGAGCAGGGUCUUCUGAUAUUCUGGAUCUAUAUAACCCUAAGCAGAAAAUAUAGUAAUCUUGUCAAUUGUAACCCUUGAUAUAUAAUGGCUUUAAUCAUAGACCAGCCGGCGACCUGCAUUUAAUGAAACUAGAUAGUCUUAAAUUAAUGAUGUUUUGGAGGUACUGACCAUUGUCCCUUUAACUUGAGUGCUAGCAAGAAUAAGCUCACUAUUGUCCAUAGGCUUGGAAAGACCAAAAUCACCAACUUUAGCAUUUAAGCAUUCAUCCAGUAAUAUGUUAGCUGAUUUUACGUCCCUGUGGAUAAUACGAGGGUUGACAAGCUCGUGCAAGUAGGCAAGACCUCUUGCUGCACCAAGAGCCACAUUAAGUCUCCUCCUCCAAUCCAGCCAGAUCCCGCUCAAACCUGCUUACAUGAGAAGAGGAUAUAUAAUUGUGUAGACUUACUACAACUAUAGAAUGCGUGUGCUUAUUUUCGGAACAAAGGCACCAAAGGGUUGUCUCCAUUGGAUGCGAGAGUUGUCAUGAAAAACUCAAUGCUUGUAAGAUUGAAAGGUUCCAUGCGAUUCAUGAAGCAUCUUGUUGAAUCAUUUAUAGGUGCCAGUGCAAUACCUGAUAGGCUGUCCCUGAGACUACCAUUGCGAACAAACUCAUAAAUUAGCAUCUGUUCACCUCUCUCAAAGCAAAACCCAACAAGGUUUACAACAUUUUUAUGAUGAACUCUCGAUAAAACUUCUAUCUCUGCGUUGAAUUCAAGCCCACCUUGCACCGAUCCUUGACGACAUCGUUUGACGGCAAACAGUUGUCCAGUAGGAAGCAUCCCUCUAUAAACCUGUACACAAAAAUGUUGAAAGGUUACUUUCAAAUACUCAUUCUUAAGGUUUGGUAUUCCAUGCCAGCUCAGAAGUUAGAUAGUUCGAAGGCAAAUUGUAACCAGCAACACCCACAAUCAUUGUUUAUGCAAAUGAAACCACCAUGGCAGGACAGGAAAUGAGGGAGAGACUUGCCAUUCCGUAACCCCCUAACCCAAUAUGAUUGGCUUCCGAAAAAUUAUUCGUGCACUUCGUAAUCUCAUUGAAAGAGAAGCAUCUGGCUCCCUUCAACUGAGGAACGCUGUUACUGUUCCUUGAAUCCAAGUAUGCUGCAAUUUGGCAAAAUGAAGAAAAAGAAAUAAACACAAUUUUCAAUGAUGAAUGGGAAAAUAUCAGGUCUAAAAACUAGAACCUUAAAGUACCAAAAUAAUUCUUCUGUUCACUGGCUCUUUCUCUUCUGUUCUUCUGACGAUAAGCACAUACCCCUGCAAGAAGCAAUAGUAGCAGGAAAGAGGCUCCUCCAGCCGCAGCCCCAAUGAUCCUUCCAGUGCUUGAUAACUCUUUUGACAUCGUAGGUUUUCCUGCAUGACAAAGAGGGAGGGAGGGAGGGAGGGAGGAGGAUGUGUCAUCAGAAGAAAGAAAGAACAAUGCAAACCAAUCUCUCACUUGUGCAUGAAAUGUGUAAGUACCAUCGAAGUAUGGAUAUGCAGAACCCUUAAAAUAUGUAGGUCCAAAGAUAUCUGAAUUCUCAUAAGUCUGAAGGGUUAGCACAAAUCCAAUAUCAGAAAUCGUAGCUGUGUUAAAAUGAUUUUGGCCCGACGGAAACAUAGAUAAAUUUGACUCAAGAUACCCAAACGAAUCCUUCGCUGGAAAAUUUACAUCAACUGAAUCCACAGGAAGUUGAUGGAACUUGAAGGAACGCAUCAGAGACUCUUCUUCCAGAUGUACAUAAUAAGUUGAGUUUCUUGACUCUAAAAAUGGAGGUUUGAAGACUAGUACUCCCCUGUAUGGAUACGAGCAUUUGCAAUUGGGACUGGAAAUCUGGUCUGAAAUGCAGUGGAGGGGAACACAUUUCUCUGGUAGCCUCGUAUACGAAGAAUUGGCUUGAGGAACUGUGCAGUAAUUUUCUGUUGCUUCUGGAUGCUCACAAACUGGGUUACCCACAAGUCUGCAAAAUAUAACACAUCAAACACUCUUAUGCAGGCAAGUUGUAUAGCACAUCUCCUCAGGAUUUAACUUUUCCCACUACUAUCGUUGUCACAUUUUAGCAGUCAAGUGGACAAAAUUAAGGAAAAAAGAAUUACAGAGACAUCUCAAAAGUUUGAAGAUAUUAUAAAAACUUUUGUACGAAAAAUGCCGUUAACGUUUGAUAUAUAUUGAAGGGAUGAUUUUCUGUAAUAUCCGAGAGGGACUAUUGUAAUUCAUCCAAAAAACAGGAGGAGGAGAAUGCCUCUUACAUUACAUCCACGUUAUUCCUUCGUUCUGGUGUUUCUGAAUAGAAUGAAGAAAUGAGAUUGUUUCGCAUAUCAAUGACUUUCAGUUGGCUGCUAGAGCUUGUUGCAAUAUCCAAUGUGCCAUUGAGCUGGUUGUUCCUUAGAAUCCUGUAACCAUUUGUGAAUUUAGAUAUCCAUCAGUUUCCAUGAGAUGAAAGAAUCUAUCAAUAUCCAUGAAGUUGAAGAAACAAGGAGAAGGAUGCUCACAAAGUCUGUAAACUAGGAAGAUCGAAGAGUGUAGGAGGAAUCCGACCUUCAAGUCCAGUGUUUUCCAUCAUUCUGUUAUUCACAGGAAGUGAAGAAAGCUUCACUAUGUUGACAGCGUGAAAAAUCAUAAAUUGUAAACUUUUAUACACAGGAAUGCAUAGUCAAUAAGAGGUUCCAUGGACAAAAAUGUCUCUGUCAAAAAACCCAAUGACUGCUUCAUAUAACACUUGCUAAACAUGGAGACAAUUAUAAUCUAGCAUGUAAAGUCAUGAUGCCUGAGCAACAUUUUAAGGGCUAAUUUUAAAGUGGGAUGGUGGAAAGGGUUUGUGAUUCUUGAGAGAAAACAGUUUAGUUAAGGCUUCAUUGAGCUGGUCGAGUGUGUGUGACGACAGAGAGAAAAGUGUCAAGAAACCAUCUCAACCCAAUAGCUUAAGCUAUUAGAUGAGGUUCCAGGAUAUGAUUUAUAUUAUUCUCUAAUACACCCCCUCAAAUAAAAACCCUUUGGGCUUGAAACUUGCAUAGGCUCACAUUACCUUAUACUUAAUUUUUAUCAAAUAAAUGGGGAUGGUGAAAUUCGAACUCGAGACCACUUGGUCAUCAAGGCUCUGAUACUAUGUCAAGAAACCAUCUUAACUGUCACGACCCGAAUCCCGGAUCCAUGACCGGCACAUAGGCAAGGUUCCCCUCCAAGGUUCCAUACCUAUGCGAACCCAAACUUACACACAAACUUAUUCUUCAAAUAAGUCAAUCAGAGUUCAACGCAACAAUAACAACAAAAUUAACUUCAUAAUAUAAUUAAAUUGUCUUAAUACAAGAGUUAAUAUAAAUUCAGAGUUUUGGAGCACUAACUAGACAUAAAGGAAAAUGUACAAAUUACAACCAAAAAGCAGAUUCUGAAGGUCCAACAAAAUGACCUGCUAUCAAGCUAUAAGCCUGAAAAGGAUAAAUAAUGAGAGGGUGAGUUCAACAACUCAGUGAGUAGAUAACGUUCAAUAUACACACACGAGGUAAUAAAACAAUGAGAAAUAUAUAUACAAGUAUGGCUUUAGGUUCUUAUGGAAGUGUUCUCAAAUUGGCCAUAACAAGAAUGUCAUAUGGUAAAACUCGUCAGAAAAUCAAAAUGCAAUGAGCAUGAGGCUCCGUACUGUGGGAUGAUCAGUCCACACAGGUUGGUGACUCCCCCGACCAACUGGGGUUCAGAUACGAUGUGCACAAAGACUAACACUACCCUGUUAGCAUGGGUAUUCUGACUGACAUACCAUAGGUUCAUAAUCAUAUUCAAACAGACAUAUUCAUAUCUCAAGGCUCAACUCAUGACAUCAAUCAAAUGAGGAGCUAUCAAUUCAGAAGUCAAUCCCAAAUAUAUACUGGUUCAUAUCAAGAAUUCAGAUUCAACAAUUGAUCAUGCUUUAUCAAAAUAAGGAUAAUAAUCAACAUAUAUAUUAUCAAGAAGCAUGAUUCAAUUCAUAUUAACAAAUCAAAUAUUUAUACUAUUUCUCAUGCAUAUGGAAAAUUAUCCACUCACCUGACUCGAAAGCAAACAGAAGUCAAAAGCAAAUACUGAAGAAAAUCCUACUGACGUCCCGCCGGUAGAAUAUCAGGAUUAUCUGAAUACAAAGAAGGCAUAUUCAAGAAUAACUCAAAGGAAUAUAUAACCCAUUUAAUACACUUAUCUAAGGGUGCAUUCCAUAACCCUAUAUGUUUUUGAACUAACUAGUUAUUUUUCCUAAAACCCAAAAUUUAACGGUUUUCCCGAAAUCUAAUCCAUAAUAAAGCAAAUAAUAAAACUUGAUAAUAAUUCACUAAAUAACCCUCAAUUAUUCAUCAAACCAAUCUGAAAAGGCUAAUAUUACAGCUAGGGACUAAUCUGUAAUUUAUCAUAUUUUUAGGGCCAAAUUGUAAUUUUUGUCUAAUUGGAGGACCAAACUGAAAUUUAUCAUAAAUCCAUGAAUAUACUGAAAUUCUGACCAUAAUUAGUCCUCAUUUCUGUCCAGAUCAUCUCAUUAUACUCCAAGGACCAUUCUGGAAUUUUACCAAAUUUUUAGGGUCAAAUUGUAAUUUUUGUCAAAUUGAAGGACUAAAUUGAAAGUGUUAAAUUCUCUUAUCUAUACAGUAAUUCUGUCCAUAAUUCAUAUGUUAUUCUGUUCAGAAUCUCGGAAUAUGCUCCAGGGACCAAUCUGCAAAUUUUCCAAAGUUUGGGGACUAAACUGUAAUUUUCCAAAAUUGAGGGACCAAAUUGAAUUUUCGUCAUCUUCAACCUCAAACCCAGAAUUCUCACAGAUUACCUACUGUUCUUGCCAAAUUUAUAACUCAACAUUCACCAUUUACACAAUUCAUAACUCAAAAUCAUCACAAUCUUCCAUAAUCAACUCAUUAAUCAAUUACCCAUAACAAUCAACCUUAUAACAUUCAAUUUAAUUCAUCAAUUAAACCCAAAACACAAAUUUUCAAAACCCUAACAUUUAUCAAAACCAAAAUUAAAAGCUCAAUAAUACAAAUUUAUACAUUUAACAACCUAAAUCUUACCUUUUUACUUAUUUCCUCCAACUCCUUUCUAUUUCCUUUCUAAUUUCCCUCUUUUCUCUUCUUCUUCUUCUUUCUCCCUUCUCCCUUCUCUCUCACGGUUUUUCACUCAAAAAAUUCAGAUCUCUUCUUUUGUUUUUUUUUUUUUUUUUCCUUCUAUUUAUAUAUAUCAUCUCUUAUACAAUUACUACAAUACCCCUCAUUUAAUUUAUUCCUACAUCUAAGCAUUCAAGGACUUUAUUGUAUUUUCCUACUCAUUUAUUCAAAACAUCACAUUAACCCAAUAGCUUAAACUAUUAGGUGAGGUCUCAGGAUAUGAUUUAUAUUAUUCUCUAACAAAAAGAAGGGAGGAAGGGAGACAUACAGUGUUGUCAAAGCCCGUAAGUUUGAGAAUGACAACGGAAAAUCUGAAGCGUCAAAACUAUUAUUGCUCAGGUCCCUGGAGAAAAGAUUUUGGUCAAAGUAAGCAUUUGGAGAAAAGUCGAAUUGUAUUUCAUACUUAGAUACCUAACAGACUGGAAAUCUUACAAGUAGCUGAGAUAAGCCAUGCCAGUGAGAUUAGGAACAGGCCCAGUAAAUUUAUUGUUGGACAAAAUCCUGAAAUUUAUCAGCAAAAACACUCUUAACAGAGUGAGAAUUCGCACAAAAGACUUAACAAACUAGCCAAACCAUUGUGAUAUCUUUACUGGCAAUGUCGUUUUCUGUAUACUUACAACGUCUUCAGAGUGGUAAGAUUGUUGAGGUUUGGAGGGACAGGUCCAGUUAAUGAAUUCCCUUCAAAACGUCUGCAACAAAGAUAAGGCAUUCAAUACAAACUAGAUCAGUGUAGAUUAAUCACUUCAGUUUGCCAUGUAGAUGCUUACACAGCCUCCAAAGUGUGCACAAGUCCAAGGGUAGAAGGAAUGCUUCCCGUGAGAUUAUUGUCAUGCAAAAGCCUGCACAAAAGUAAUGUAUAUAGAAUUGUAAACCUUUUAAAGAAGCAUAUUAAAUUAAAAGGAAUAUUGUUUUCUUUUAAAUUAAAUUAAAAUCCCACUUCCUAUUUUCUCCCCUAUUCCAUUGGUGAAGUAGUUUGACUUCAACAUCCAAAGCAUAUACAAACUUACACAUGAAUGAGAGUCAUGUUUGAUCUGAAAAGCUCUUUCGGGAUUGUGCCUGAGAGCUGAUUCCCUCCUAGAUGACUGAAUAAUUUUCAGACCAGCAUAAACAGAUGUCAAUAACGCCGAAGCAAGAGAGCACACUAAUCAGCACAAAGAGAUUUGACAUACAAGUGGUUUGCAUUAACUAGCAUAUCAAGACCAGAUGUAGUUCCACUGGAGACAGGGAUGGCUCCAUCGAGCAUAUUAUUAGAUAGAUCCAGCAGAAAGAGUUUCGAAAGGUUUCCAAUUGAAUGUGGAAUUGGUCCAGUGAAUCUAUUAGAAUUCAGGUCUCUGCGGGAAAUAGCAGUUUCAGAGUGGAAAUAUGUAGGCUCGCACAGGAAAGGUUUAGUCCACAAGAAAACAGUAAAACACUCACAGAGACUCCAGCAGCUGAAGAGACCCUAUCAACUCAGGGAUAGGACCAGAGAAACGACAACCAACCAACUUUCUAGAAUGGAAGAAAAGAAAAUUCUGUCAGUUAAUUAGAGGACUGGUCUCAGUUAAUACUAACAUUAUAUUAUUCCCUUACAAGAUUUUUAGCUUCUUCAAAUUCACAAUUGAUGCCGGAAGUGUACCGCUCAAACCCGUGUUGUACGAUAGAUCCCUAUAACCAGACACUGAUAAUCAGCAAGGAAUCCUUAGAAUGGAAAACAAUCACUAUGUUCAUAUAUCAAGAAAAAGGAUGAAAGGAGCUCUGCCCCAACUCUCUCCAGAAAUGCUAACCUAUAAGCAACUGCCCCAACUCUCUCCAGAAUCUCAUACGGUCCAAUGAAUCGAGGACUCAACUUGCCUUUCUUCCCAAACCUGAAUACUCCUUUGGUCGGUGAUACUUUUAAGAACACACAAUCACCCACUGAAAACUCUAAGUCACGCCUUCUUUUAUCUGCGUAACUCUUUUGUCUGCUCUGAGCUGUUUGAAGCUUAUUUCUAAUUACCUCUAUCUUCUCUGAGGUAAUCUGAAUCAACUCUGGUCCCAUUAGCCUCUUCUCACCAACCUCAAACCAACAAACCGGUGAUCUACACUUCCGACCACACAAAGCCUCAUAAGGUGCCAUUUCUAUGCUAGCCUGAUAACUGUUGUUGUAAGCAAAUUCCACUAAUGGUAGGAACUUACUCCAACCAACUCCAAAAUCCAUAACACAAGCCCUUAGCAUAUCCUCCAAGAUCUGAAUAGUCCUCUCAGAUUGACCAUCUGUCUGAGGGUGAAAUGUUGUACUCAACUGCACUUUAGUACCCAUAGCUUCUUGGAAUUUCACCCAAAACCGCGAUGUAAACUGUGGACCUCUAUCAGACACUAUCGAGAUUGGCACUCCAUGCAACCGUACAAUCUCACUAAUAAAUAAUUCUGCCAACUUUGCAUAUCCAUAAGUAAUCCUAACUGGCAGAAAAUGGGCUGAUUUUGUCAACCUGUCAACAAUCACCCAUAUUGAAUCAUAACCCUCCUGACUCCUAGGCAAUCCUGUCACAAAGUCCAUUGUGAUCCUUUCCCACUUCCAUUCUGGAAUCAACAAUGGUUGCAACAAUCCAGGAGGUUUCUGGUGUUCACCCUUUACCCUCUGACAGGUCAAACACCUAGAAACAAAAUCUGCUACAUCAGCCUUCAUCCUAUUCCACCAAUAACACACCUUAAGGUCUUUAUACAUCUUGGUGGAACCUGGAUGCAUUGUGUAAACUGUCUGAUGUGCCUCUACCAUCAAUUCUCUCCUCAGAUCAUCUACAUCAGGUACACAAAGCCUAUCCCUAUAGCUCAGCACAUCAUCAUCACCUAUCACAAAACCUGCAGCCUUACCCUGCUCAACCUCAUUUCUAAUCCUGAGUAGUGAAUCAUCUUUCUUCUGAGCUGCUUUUAUCUUAUCAAACAAAUCUGACUUAACCUGAAAAUGAGCAAUCAUUGCUCCAGCUUCACUAAGAUCAAAUCUGACUCCUUCAUCCACCAUCUCAUGCAGCUCCCUAAUCAGAGGUCUUCGUACCUCCUGAAUAUGAGCUAAGCUCCCUGAUGAUUUUCUACUCAAAGCAUCGGCAACUACAUUUGCCUUACCCGGGUGGUAAUGUAUGGUACAAUCAUAAUCCUUCAGCAAUUCCAUCCAUCUCCUCUGCCUCAGGUUUAGAUCCCUCUGCUGAAAGAUGUAUUUCAAACUCUUGUGAUCUGUGAAGAUCUCACAAGUUUCACCAUACAAGUAGUGCCUCCAAAUCUUCAAGGCAAAAAUUACAGCCGCCAUCUCUAAAUCAUGUGUAGGAUAGUUCUGUUCAUGCUUCUUCAGCUGCCGUGAAGCAUAGGCAAUAACCUUGCCAUGCUGCAUUAGAACACAUCCUAACCUCACUCUCGAAGCAUCACAAUACACUGUGUAACCACCAGAACCUGAUGGUACUGCUAGAACAGGCGCUGUAGUCAAUCUCUCUUUCAACUCUAAGAAACUUUUCUCACAAGCUUCAGACCACUGAAACUUAACAUUUUUCUGCGUCAACUUAGUCAAUGGUGCAGAAAUCCGAGAAAAGUUCUCCACAAACCUCCGAUAAUAGCCGGCCAAACCUAAGAAACUUCUAAUCUCUGUCGCCGAAGUAGGUCUAAGCCACUGCUUAACUGCCUCAAUCUUUUAAGGAUCAACCUCAAUCCCAUUCCUUGACACUACAUGCCCAAGAAAUGCUACACUCUCCAACCAAAACUCACUCUUUGAGAACUUGCCAUACAGCUGAUGGUCUCGCAGAGUUUGAAGCACCAUUCUCAAGUGCUGCUCAUGCUCCUCUCUAGAUCUCGAAUACACCAAAAUAUCAUCAAUAAAAACUAUCACAAAUUGAUCAAUAAACUGGCCAAACACUCUAUUCAUCAAAUCCAUAAAAGCUGCUGGUGCAUUCGUCAACCCAAAAGACAUCACUAAGAACUCAUAAUGACCAUACCGAGUUCUAAAAGCUGUCUUCAAAAUGUCUGACUCCCUAAUCCUCAACUGAUGAUACCCAGAUCGAAGAUCGAUCUUAGAAAAGAAUUGAGCUCCCUGCAACUGGUCAAACAAAUCAUCAAUGCGAGGGAGUGGGUAUCUAUUUCGAACAGUCACUCGAUUCAGUUGCCUAUAAUCUAUACACAACCUCAAUGACCCAUCUUUCUUCUUCACAAACAACACUGGGGCUCCCCAAGGGGACACACUUGGUCGGAUGAACUUUUUAUCCAACAAAUCCUGCAGUUGCUCCUUUAGCUCCCUCAAUUCUGCUGGCGCCAUUCUAUAUGGUGCCAUUGAUAUUGGUUCGGUACCCGGAACCAAAUCAAUACAAAACUCAAUCUCCCUAUAUGGAGGCAAUCCAGGCAAGUCAUCGGGAAAGACAUCAAUAAACUCCCUAACUAUAGGGACUUGGUCUAAUUGAGGAACUUCUUUCUCUAUAUCCACUAUAUAUGCUAGGUAGCACUGUACCCCUUUUCUGGCCAUUUUCCUCGAGAUAGCCGACAACAUAAUUGAUGGAGACCCAAUCUUAUCUCCUUGAAAUACCAACCCAACUUCUUCAUCUAGAUCAAAUAUUAUUUUCUUACCCCAACAAUUUACCGAAGCCCUAUGUUUUGCCAACCAAUCCAUUCCCAAAAUCACAUCAAAAUCAACCAUAUCUAAGACAUUUAAGUCUCCCAUAAAAAUCUUAUCUCCAAUCUCUAUUUCACAAUCCAGGUACACAUACUUCACUAAUAUUAAUUCAUCUAAGGGAGUGGAGACUGAAAUUGGGGAUUUUAACAAGGUUGGCUGUUUAUCUAACCUCAUGGCAAAAUAUGGGGACAUAAAUGAAUGGGUUGCACCCGUAUCAAACAACACUUUUGCUUCAAAAGAGCAAACAGGAAGAAUACCUGAAACAACUAUGUUGGAUGCCUGAGCAUCCUGCUGAGUCAAGGCAAAAACUCUAGCAUGCCCCUGACCCUGCUGUAUCUGACCUCUAUCACCUGCACCCCGGCCUCUCUGACCACGGCCACCAAAACCUCUACCCCCAUGAGCCACAGACUGGCUCGUCGAUGGUGCCUGAAUAGGAUGUUGGACUGAAGCAGAUAACCCCGAAGCUGACAACUGUCUCCUCGGGCACUCUCUGAUCUUAUGACCUAUCUGGCCACAACUAAAACAAGCCCCGGUCCUUCUGUAGCACUCUGCACUAGUAUGACUUCCUCCACAGUGCUGACAUGAAGAACUAUCACUAGGUGUAAUAAAUGAACUACGAGGUGCAGUCUGAACUAAACUCUGAGUACCACUACUGCCACUCUGACCGCCUGAGCCACUAACUGACGGUCUCUGUCUAAACCUCCUCUGAACCCAUGAGCCCUGACGGCCACUUCGUCCCCUAGACGGACCUGCACUUAAUCCCUGUUGCCUAAAAGACUGACCCUCUUCUCUAGGCCUCUUAGACUGGCCUGCAGUCAUGUCCUCUAAUUCUCGCGCCUCUAUCAACCUGGCGCUAUCAACAGCUGAGGAGUAUGAUGGAAACACCUGUGACACCAUCACCAUAUACAUAGAGGAUUUGAGUCCUCUAAUAAACCUCUUCACCCUCCACUCCUCAGUGGGUAGAAGAUGCUCUGCAUACCUAGACAGCUGAGUAAACUUCAGAUCAUACUCAUCCACUGUCAUGCUCCCCUGAGAUAGCCUCUCAAACUCAUAAAGUCGAGCAUCCCUGACGCUCUGAGGGAGAAACCUGUCUAAGAACAUGGAGCUAAACUCCUUCCAUGUCCACUGAGCCUCUACUGGUCUUGCUCUUUUCAUAGACUCAAACCAAGAGAUUGCCACAUCUCCUUCCAACCUGAACGAUGCCAAACUCACAGCUCGGUGGUCUGUACAUCCCAAAGCUUCACACCGUCGCCAAAUAUCAUCUAGGAACCUCUGAGGAUCCUCUGAACUAUCCAUCCCAGUAAAAAUAGGAGGUGCCAACUUCAUGAAGUCAUUCAACGGCACAUUAACUCCCUGAACAGUGUGGGAUGUCGAGGGUACAUCUUUAUCCCUCCUUCUAUCUCUCUCCAUAGAAAACUCUAUCCAGGUCCGCACAACCUGGCUAAGUUGCUGAAACUCUGUAACAGGUUCAGGGUCAGCUACCCCCACACCUGUUUCAUCAACAAUAUCUUCCUCUUCUAUCUCCUGAGGCUCUUCCUCCACUGGUGGAGGUACCUCCUCAACAUGUUGAGGCACGGGUGCACCGCGCCUCCUUCUCUGCCUUGCAGUUCUCAACCGCCCAAUAGGGACAUUAUCCUGAUCAUCCUCUACUCUAACAGUAUCAGCUAUUCGUCUAUUCCUCGGCAUUUCCUAAAAUAAAAAUGAGAGCACUCAAGUCAUGCUAGAACAAUAGCAUGAUAAUUACCACAGAAUUAUAGGAAAGCAUAUCUAUCACAAGGAAGAAGACAUGCUUAAUGAGAAUUCAGAAUUUCAAAGACAACAAAUAAGACAACACGGAUCCUAAUGCUCCACUUAUUAUGAAUUUAAUUAUAUUAUUGUUUCUUUAACCUAAAGCUCUGAUACCAAGUUUUUCACGACCCGAAUCCCGGAUCCAUGACCGGCACAUAGGCAAGGUUCCCCUCCAAGGUUCCAUACCUAUGCGAACCCAAACUUACACACAAACUUAUUCUUCAAAUAAGUCAAUCAGAGUUCAACGCAACAAUAACAACAAAAUUAACUUCAUAAUAUAAUUAAAUUGUCUUAAUACAAGAGUUAAUAUAAAUUCAGAGUUUUGGAGCACUAACUAGACAUAAAGGAAAAUGUACAAAUUACAACCAAAAAGCAGGUUCUGAAGGUCCAACAAAAUGACUUGCUAUCAAGCUAUAAGCCUGAAAAGGAUAAAUAAUGAGAGGGUGAGUUCAACAACUCAGUGAGUAGAUAACGUUCAAUAUACACACACGAGGUAAUAAAACAAUGAGAAAUAUAUAUACAAGUAUGGCUUUAGGUUCUUAUGGAAGUGUUCUCAAAUUGGCCAUAACAAGAAUGUCAUAUGGUAAAACUCGUCAGAAAAUCAAAAUGCAAUGAGCAUGAGGCUCCGUACUGUGGGAUGAUCAGUCCACACAGGUUGGUGACUCCCCCGACCAACUAGGGUUCAGAUACGAUGUGCACAAAGACUAACACUACCCUGUUAGCAUGGGUAUUCUGACUGACAUACCAUAGGUUCAUAAUCAUAUUCAAACAGACAUAUUCAUAUCUCAAGGCUCAACUCAUGACAUCAAUCAAAUGAGGAGCUAUCAAUUCAGAAGUCAAUCCCAAAUAUAUACUGGUUCAUAUCAAGAAUUCAGAUUCAACAAUUGAUCAUGCUUUAUCAAAAUAAGGAUAAUAAUCAACAUAUAUAUUAUCAAGAAGCAUGAUUCAAUUCAUAUUAACAAAUCAAAUAUUUAUACUAUUUCUCAUGCAUAUGGAAAAUUAUCCACUCACCUGACUCGAAAGCAAACAGAAGUCAAAAGCAAAUACUGAAGAAAAUCCUACUGACGUCCCGCCGGUAGAAUAUCAGGAUUAUCUGAAUACAAAGAAGGCAUAUUCAAGAAUAACUCAAAGGAAUAUAUAACCCAUUUAAUACACUUAUCUAAGGGUGCAUUCCAUAACCCUAUAUGUUUUUGAACUAACUAGUUAUUUUUCCUAAAACCCAAAAUUUAACGGUUUUCCCGAAAUCUAAUCCAUAAUAAAGCAAAUAAUAAAACUUGAUAAUAAUUCACUAAAUAACCCUCAAUUAUUCAUCAAACCAAUCUGAAAAGGCUAAUAUUACAGCUAGGGACUAAUCUGUAAUUUAUCAUAUUUUUAGGGCCAAAUUGUAAUUUUUGUCUAAUUGGAGGACCAAACUGAAAUUUAUCAUAAAUCCAUGAAUAUACUGAAAUUCUGACCAUAAUUAGUCCUCAUUUCUGUCCAGAUCAUCUCAUUAUACUCCAAGGACCAUUCUGGAAUUUUACCAAAUUUUUAGGGUCAAAUUGUAAUUUUUGUCAAAUUGAAGGACUAAAUUGAAAGUGUUAAAUUCUCUUAUCUAUACAGUAAUUCUGUCCAUAAUUCAUAUGUUAUUCUGUUCAGAAUCUCGGAAUAUGCUCCAGGGACCAAUCUGCAAAUUUUCCAAAGUUUGGGGACUAAACUGUAAUUUUCCAAAAUUGAGGGACCAAAUUGAAUUUUCGUCAUCUUCAACCUCAAACCCAGAAUUCUCACAGAUUACCUACUGUUCUUGCCAAAUUUAUAACUCAACAUUCACCAUUUACACAAUUCAUAACUCAAAAUCAUCACAAUCUUCCAUAAUCAACUCAUUAAUCAAUUACCCAUAACAAUCAACCUUAUAACAUUCAAUUUAAUUCAUCAAUUAAACCCAAAACACAAAUUUUCAAAACCCUAACAUUUAUCAAAACCAAAAUUAAAAGCUCAAUAAUACAAAUUUAUACAUUUAACAACCUAAAUCUUACCUUUUUACUUAUUUCCUCCAACUCCUUUCUAUUUCCUUUCUAAUUUCCCUCUUUUCUCUUCUUCUUCUUCUUUCUCCCUUCUCCCUUCUCUCUCACGGUUUUUCACUCAAAAAAUUCAGAUCUCUUCUUUUGUUUUUUUUUUUUUUUUUCCUUCUAUUUAUAUAUAUCAUCUCUUAUACAAUUACUACAAUACCCCUCAUUUAAUUUAUUCCUACAUCUAAGCAUUCAAGGACUUUAUUGUAUUUUCCUACUCAUUUAUUCAAAACAUCACAUUAACCCAAUAGCUUAAACUAUUAGGUGAGGUCUCAGGAUAUGAUUUAUAUUAUUCUCUAACAAAAAGAAGGGAGGAAGGGAGACAUACAGUGUUGUCAAAGCCCGUAAGUUUGAGAAUGACAACGGAAAAUCUGAAGCGUCAAAACUAUUAUUGCUCAGGUCCCUGGAGAAAAGAUUUUGGUCAAAGUAAGCAUUUGGAGAAAAGUCGAAUUGUAUUUCAUACUUAGAUACCUAACAGACUGGAAAUCUUACAAGUAGCUGAGAUAAGCCAUGCCAGUGAGAUUAGGAACAGGCCCAGUAAAUUUAUUGUUGGACAAAAUCCUGAAAUUUAUCAGCAAAAACACUCUUAACAGAGUGAGAAUUCGCACAAAAGACUUAACAAACUAGCCAAACCAUUGUGAUAUCUUUACUGGCAAUGUCGUUUUCUGUAUACUUACAACGUCUUCAGAGUGGUAAGAUUGUUGAGGUUUGGAGGGACAGGUCCAGUUAAUGAAUUCCCUUCAAAACGUCUGCAACAAAGAUAAGGCAUUCAAUACAAACUAGAUCAGUGUAGAUUAAUCACUUCAGUUUGCCAUGUAGAUGCUUACACAGCCUCCAAAGUGUGCACAAGUCCAAGGGUAGAAGGAAUGCUUCCCGUGAGAUUAUUGUCAUGCAAAAGCCUGCACAAAAGUAAUGUAUAUAGAAUUGUAAACCUUUUAAAGAAGCAUAUUAAAUUAAAAGGAAUAUUGUUUUCUUUUAAAUUAAAUUAAAAUCCCACUUCCUAUUUUCUCCCCUAUUCCAUUGGUGAAGUAGUUUGACUUCAACAUCCAAAGCAUAUACAAACUUACACAUGAAUGAGAGUCAUGUUUGAUCUGAAAAGCUCUUUCGGGAUUGUGCCUGAGAGCUGAUUCCCUCCUAGAUGACUGAAUAAUUUUCAGACCAGCAUAAACAGAUGUCAAUAACGCCGAAGCAAGAGAGCACACUAAUCAGCACAAAGAGAUUUGACAUACAAGUGGUUUGCAUUAACUAGCAUAUCAAGACCAGAUGUAGUUCCACUGGAGACAGGGAUGGCUCCAUCGAGCAUAUUAUUAGAUAGAUCCAGCAGAAAGAGUUUCGAAAGGUUUCCAAUUGAAUGUGGAAUUGGUCCAGUGAAUCUAUUAGAAUUCAGGUCUCUGCGGGAAAUAGCAGUUUCAGAGUGGAAAUAUGUAGGCUCGCACAGGAAAGGUUUAGUCCACAAGAAAACAGUAAAACACUCACAGAGACUCCAGCAGCUGAAGAGACCCUAUCAACUCAGGGAUAGGACCAGAGAAACGACAACCAACCAACUUUCUAGAAUGGAAGAAAAGAAAAUUCUGUCAGUUAAUUAGAGGACUGGUCUCAGUUAAUACUAACAUUAUAUUAUUCCCUUACAAGAUUUUUAGCUUCUUCAAAUUCACAAUUGAUGCCGGAAGUGUACCGCUCAAACCCGUGUUGUACGAUAGAUCCCUAUAACCAGACACUGAUAAUCAGCAAGGAAUCCUUAGAAUGGAAAACAAUCACUAUGUUCAUAUAUCAAGAAAAAGGAUGAAAGGAGCUCUGGGAAUGAGGCCUUUUCUCAAUAUGUGCCUCAUGCCUUGAGAUCCGGAUGCUAGAGCAGCCCAGCCUAGACAUCUGGAAAGCCAAAGAGUAUCGUAGCACUACAUCUUUGAGGCUGUGACUACUUGUAAGUUGGGAUCAUUUAUUACGUGAAGUGAAAACUCAAGACUUACAGAGACUCCAAUUCUGAUAAGGAGGAGAUGUCUCCAGACAGCUCACCCGUCAAUCCCACAGCUGCCAACGUUCUGCAGUUGAAAAUAGUCAGCUAAUCUCGAAACUUGGAGAGGGAAGAAGGUGCGAGGCUUAUUUAACAUUUGAAGCUGAACAACUGCCUAUAACUUACAUCGAAGUCACACGUGAAUUGUGACAUGAAAUGCCUUCCCAUUUGCCUCCACAGGGAUCUGCACCCACCCAAUUACGUGGUGUGUUUUCCCAGGCAUCCUUGAGAAUACUCAUUACUGUAACUGCAUCAGGAAUGGGACAGAACAAUAAAAAAUUUCCAUGAUUCAAUCACCAUCAGAGUUGUCUAGUUACAUGGAGUAUGGAGGAUCCAUUAAAGCUAGCAAAGAUCUCUACUAAAUCUAAUCUAGCCUCGAACUUUAAUGAGUGAUUUUUGGCCCAAGUGCAGGCAAUUCAGAAUAUUCAUUCUGCAGUUCAUCUAUAAAGUUAAGAAGACCCUUAAGCACUUGAUUCUGAUUAGCAUAAAAAGCUACAUCCUACAUGAGACAUGGCUCAAAAACUCUUUGCAGUAAAUAUUAAUUUAUUGAACUUACAAUCAUCACCAUAGGUCUCUGUAUAAAUCUGAAAGGAAGCAACCAGCAAAAACGUGAGAACUUUGGGACACAUUUCUCAACCAAAUUGCAAAGCUCUUUGUUAGCAGAAAUGAUAUCUAGAAGUACAGCUCUUAAUAUGAUAAAACAUGGAAGGAAGAUCUUUACAUAUCCCCAUCGUUUACUUAUCUCAAAACUUAUAUCGUGAAAAGGACAUGAAUGGGACACUUUUGUUCGUAUGAAUCACAUACUACAUACAAAGACAAUUGACCUCCCAUCUCUAGUCAUUUUCAAGUUUACAGUCAUGAAACUCUAAGACUCCUAAAAAUACAAGUAGAGAAACAAUUUACGAGAUACUGUACGUGAUAAGAAUGAGUUGUGAGAGUGAUAGAAAGAACCCACCAAGUGGUUUCUUGCAUGUAGUAAAUGUUGAUUCUAAUAAUAAGCAUCCACUCUGAUUGCAUCCACAUACACUUCAGAAUACAGAGAGCAUUUCCACAUUUCCUACAGUACAUACAGCAAGUGGUCAUGAUUGUCUGCUAAAGUCAUUUUUUAAGCAAUCAAUACAAGGAGUUAUCAAUUGUUAAUGAGAUGUGUGGAUGAUUUUACUAAGUCUACUAAUUAGACUAGUAGAAAGAAAUGCAUUUGGCAAACCUUGAGGGGUGUAGCUCAACUGGUCAGGCUUUGAGUUUGCUCCCCAGAGAUCACCAGUUCGAGUCCCACAAACCUUAGGGUCACUUAAGGCUUACAUGAUCGUUAACUUCAGGGCCCGUGAGAUUUAUCGAGGUGCAUGCAAACUAACGUGGACACCUACGUUAAUCUAAAAAAAAAAAGGAAAAGAAAUGCAUUUGGCACAUUUAAUGUUUCAAAUGCUCAUAUGAAUGGAAUAAAAAAAAAAAUGUAGGAUAAAGCUAAGCCUAAAAAGAGAUAUAAUUACAUAGAAUAACUAGUCGAACAAAAAAGCUUGUAAUUUUUUAUCUAAAUGUAGAAUUGGACUCAAAUUUGACUAGAAGGAUUUAUAUGCCUAAUUCUAUAAUAAGGCCUUCAAAUUACACUCAAAAGAUGUUUUUUGAUUCAGUUAAAUCGGAGCCGUACAUACACAUUGAACUUCUUGAAAUAAUUAGAUUUUAGUGUAUAUAUAUACAAUUGAUUUUUAUUAAAAAGUUUCCCAAUUUUAUCACACAACAUCUCAAAAAUCCGAAAGUCACAUUCCAUCUUCCUCCCACUAUGUUUCUUUUGAAAAGAUGCUUUUGAGCCUGUUGGAAUUGGAUGGGAUGUGCUUUUUUGAAGGAUUUUUUUUUUUAGAAAAAGGAAUUAUAUAGUUUAAAGGUUUGGAGAACAUUUUUUUUUCUUUUGAAAGAAUCAAAUUUGUAAAUUCACAAGUAUUCACAAAGCAAAGAAUUACAGUUCUGAUGCAUCAUAUGCUACAAAGUGCAAACAACACAAGAUAAAUGGCAACUCGUACUCUCAACUAAGAAGUAUCAUUGAAACAUUUUCCAAGCUAAGCUCAUACCAAGUAUUCUGAGCUAACUCAUAGUGGCUGUACCUUUGAAACUCGGAAGCCCCCACUGUAAUCAAAUGCAUCCUUGAUAUAAAUGCUCGAUGUUUAGCAGUUCCCUUGCUUACAUCAUCGUAGUUAUUUCACUACUAGAAAAUUAACAAAUACAAAUAAAAAUACUUACAAAAAAAUUCUAUAGAUAAAUUGUGAUGAUUUUUACCGGCAGAAUUUUCCAUCCCUAUAUCCAUUGGUAGACGCUGACAGAAAGAUUUUCUUGGCAUAUUUCAAGAAAAUAAUUGAGGGUAUUGCAGUGGGAUUCAAAAAAACAAAUCAUAUGAUGACAUGGCAUUUUUACCAACAAAAUUACUGACGAAAUAAUUCUAUCUGUAAUGACAUUGAUAAUAUUUAAUUUAUAACCUGACAAUCGACCAUCCUCUCCCCCUCUCCAAUUUUUCCUUCUUCCUUAUGAAUUUUUUUAGCUAACGUAGUUAAUUAAUACAUGUUGUCAUCAUUAUUUUAAAUAAUUACUUUGCAUGUUGUCAUCAUUAUUCACCCUAAGGGUUGCAGAUGAUGGAUUAUUGUAAUGAGAUUCAGGGUUUUAUUAAUUAUACACUAUCUAAUCUGAGAAAUAUUAGUGAAAUGGGUAUUAAAUGUUCAUGCAAAAGGUAUAAAAAUAAAAAUUUUCUCGAUUCAUAUGUUGUAACAAUACAUCUUUUACAAAAAGGAUUCAUGGAGAAAUACUUGUAUUGGUAUGCAAACGGAGAACCAUAUGUUCCUCACGAUACCAUGGUAGAAAGGAUGAUUGGGUCAACUUCUACUUCUAGCAACGUGCAUGGAGUUGUAGAUAACAAUAGUAAUCUGUAUAGGAAUAUGGUUAUGGAUGCAAUGGGAAUGAAUCACGAUCAUGCUAGUCAAUGUCUAAUCGUAAAUGAAGAACUUAAUGCAGAUACGAGUAGGUUUUUUAUGUUUUAAAAGAUUUUAACGAACCAUUAUGGGAUGGCUACAUAAAUCACUGUAAAUUAUUGGUCGUUGCACAGGUGUUCAACAUCAAAUGAGAUCAUAGGUUGAGUGAUGCCGGUUAUGAUAGAAUUUUUGAAUAGCCGAGAAGCAUUUUACUUGAAGGGAACAGGCUGAAAGAGAAUUUCUAUGCUGUUAUGUCCAUGAUGAAACUCCUUGGUCUAGGAUACCAGAAAAUUGACAUGUGUUCAAACUUUUGCAAGUUGUACUACCUUGAAAAUGUAGAGGUGGCCGAGUGUAGAACAUGUGGGCAUUCUCAUUGUAAACUCAUGACUGGCAGGGGAAGGACUCUUGUCACACAUAAAAGAAUUAGAUAUUUUCCAAUCACACCUAGAUUACAGAGGUUAUUCAUGUCACCAAAGACUGCUGAGCACAUGACAUGGCACCAAUCACAUGAUGCAGUGGAUGGAGUGAUGAUGCACCCUUUCGAUGGUGAAGCCUGGAAACACUUUAACAAUAUGCAUCCUUAUUUUUUAGUGGAGAUAAGGAACGUGCAUCUUGGGUUAUGUAUAGACAAAUUCAAUCCAUUCGGGUCAUUUCCUGCUCCUUAUUCUUGUUGACCGGUGAUACUCAUAGUUUACAACUUGCCAUUAGGGAUGUGUAUAAGGCCGGAGUUCAUGUUUUUAUCUACGAUCAUACCCGGUCCUAAUAGUCCAGGUCGGAAUAUAGAUGUUUGUCUUCAACCGUUGAUUGAUGAGUUGAAGUAGUUGUGGUCAUCCGGGGCUUUGACUUAUAAUGUAUGAAGGAAACAAAAUUUUAUGUUGAAGGCAGUUUUGAUGUGGACUAUCAAUGAUUUUCUAGCUUAUAGAAUAGUUUCCAGUUAGAACACGCAUGAAAAACUAGCAUGCCCAUACUAUAUGGAAAAUAACAAGGCAUUCACACUAAUAAACGGCCUUAAAGUGCUUUUUUUACUGUCACCGUCGGUUCUUGCCAACAGAUUGCAAGUUCAAAAAGAACAUAAAGGACUUCUUAGUUGGUAUGGUUGAAAGGGAUGUUGCACAACCACUUCUUUCAAGUGAAAAAUUGUAUAAUGUGGUAUCAGAGUACGGUGACAUUGUGUUUGGUUUUCAAUCCGGUAAGCAGAAGUUUCUUGGUUUUUGUUUAACCCACAAUUGGGUAAAGCGAAGUAUUUUCUGGGAGCUUCCUUAUUGAAAGACCAAUCUCCUCUGCCAUAACCUUAAUGUCAUGCACAUGGAAAAGAACGUGUUUGAGAACAUUUUCAACACGAUUAUGGACGUGAAGAGAAAGACAAAGGACAACAUCAAGGCUAGAAUGGAUAUAGCUUUGUUUUGUCACCGUAAAAAUAUGAAGUUAGUUUAUGUUGGGUCACGGGUCGCAAAGCCCAAAGUCAGCUUCACCUUAGACAAGAAUGCAUAGUUUCUUGUUUUAUCAAUGGCUUAAAAGUCUGCGUUUUCCUGAUGGACAUGCCUCAAACAUAUCAAGGUUGGUGAAUUUGAAGGAUUGCAGAUUGUAUGGAAUGAAGAGCCAUAUUGUCAUGUAUUUAUGCAAACACCCAUUUCAUUAACUUACCGGGAUUUAUUGUUGAAAGGGAUAUGGGAUGCACUCGUGGAGAUCAGUCACUUCUUUAGAGAUAUAUGCUCCAACAAGUUGCAGACACAAAACAUAAAGAGAUUUAAAAUGAAUAUCGUCCAAAUAAUAUGCAAACUUAAGAUGAUAUUCCCUCUAACAUUUUUCGACUUAAUAAAGCAUCUACCCAUACAUUUACUGUUUGAGGCAAAAGUUGGACGCCCAGUACAAUAUAGAUGGAUGUAUCCAUUUGAGAGGUUAAGGUUAACACAUGCAUCGUAAUUAAAAAUUUAUUAUCUUCCUUUGCUUAUUUCAAAACAUUCAUUUAAUUUCAUGCAGGUCUUGUUCAACCUUAAGAGAAAAGCAAAAAACAAGGCAUAUGUUGAGGCUUUGAUAUGUGAGGCCUAUAUUGUUGAAGAGAUCUCAACAUUUAUCUCGUACUAUUUCGAGCCUUAAUUGAGAACAAAAAUCAACUGUAUUCUAAAGUAUGACAAUGGUAGGGAUGUGCCUUCGAGUAGGAACUUGUUAAUUGAUGAAGUAGAAGAGAAUUCUGAUGAAUUUGCGCAGCACAAAUGUGUAAUGUCAUAAGCUAUAAUGUAAUAUUUAUGGACGAGAUUCACUUCAAUGUAAUAACAAUGAUGUUAAUUUAUUAUUGAAAGACAAGAAAAUAUUUAUUUUCUUAUUGUGAUGUGAACUAGUGUUAUUGUGUUGUAUGUGCAGCUAUGAAUUUAAGUAUUUGUAGGACGGAUAAAUAAGGAAUACAUAUGCAAUUUAGCAUCAGACACCGUUUUACACUGAUAAAAAUACUGACAGACUAUACAUUACAUAUAGGUAUAUCGACAAAAUGUAUCUGUUGAUAUAUUCUAGAAACCAUAGGAAUUGUUCCCCUUCACCCUAGCACUAUUCAUGGUGUUUAUUACAUACAGGUUUAGCGACAGAAUGUGUUUGUCGGUAUAUUCCAGAGACCAUGGGAAUUGUUCCCCUUCACCCUAACAUUGUUAAUGAUGUUCAUUACAUGCAGGUAUACUGACAAAAUGUGUUCAACGAUAUAUUUCAGAGACUAUGGGAAUUGUGCCCCUACAACCUGACACUAUUCACGGUAUUCAUUACAUAUGGGUAUAUUGACAGAAUGUGUCUGUCGGUAUAUUCCAAGGACCAUGGAAACUAAUUCACUUCUCAAUGCGAAAAUAAUUAAUGAUGUUUUUACUGUUCACUUUUUUUCCUAAUAGAAUCACCGACGGAAUGAAAAGUCAUCGAUAACAUAUGGAGGGGCUUUCUAAAACUUUUCGCACAAGUUGAGAAUUUCCAUUUGACUUUAUAUUAUCGAUUAGGGCUUUCUAAAAAUAUUAAUAUUUAAUUUCAUAUCGGUAAAAACUAAAAUAAAAGACCUGAAUCAUGAUAGAUUAGGGCUUCAUCUUCUUCUCUCUUUCUCUUCUCUCUCUCCUUCUCACCUUAGAUCAAGCAUUCUCUUUUCUUCACAUCCUAAGUAUGUUGUAUUUCUUCAUUUUUCUUCUUUUGUUUCUUUUUUUUUUGGUUUAUUAACAAUGUAUUUUUUUAUUGUUUUUCUUUUUUUUAAUUAGGAUCUUAAAUAAAGCACGUCAUUAAGGUAAUAAUUUUUCAUUCCUUUUUCUUUCUUUUUGGUGCUUUUUUUCAUUAUGUUUUUUCAAAUUUGUUGUUCUUAAUUAAGAGCUGAAAUGAGCAUUAUUUUUGUUCAAUUUUGUUUUCUUAAUAAUUUUAUUAAUUAAUAAAUGACAUGACUAUUAGUUGUUAUUGAAAUAAUUUUUGCAUUAUUUUAUUGAAAUUUAGUUAUUUUUUUUAAAUUUGUUGUUCAAUUUCAAUUAAAUGUGUAGAAAUUAUUUUAAAUACUAUUUUGUAUUUAUUCCAUUUAGAAUAAAUUUUUAUAAAUUUAGGAUUAAAAAUAUUAUCACUUAGAAAUAAUUGUGUUUAAUUUUAGGUGUUAUUGUAAUAUAUUUUGCAUUAUUAUUUUGAAUUUUUUAAAAUUUAAAAUAUUUUUUUGUAAAUUUAUGAUUUAAAAUAUUAUCACGUAGAAAAUGAAAAUUUUCUAUGAAAUUGAAUUAUGCUAAAUUGUUAGAAGAAAUUGAAUAAAAUCAACUGGUUUGUGGCAUAUAUAUUAUGUAUUUCCAGGUUUAAAAAAUUUAGGUAGUCUCCCAUAUAGGGUAGAUGUUUCCAAAAAAUUUUAAAAAAUAGGAAUCUCUUAAAAAACUUUAUCCAUUAAUUUGUGUAGAUGUCUAGGGGAAAGUCUAUUACACGUUGAGAGGACAUAAUCGCUGCUAGUUCUUCUAGAAGUGAUGUUGACGACCAUGAGUCAUUAGGAGCCGACCAAGAACAGGCACUUGAGGCACACACAUCGACUCAUGAUGAGGGCUUGUCGAGUGUGAUGCCACAACAUCAAGGGGCUCUCUUCAUACAGGAUCCAUUUACCCGCAAGUACGAGGCUAGAGAAAGGACGACCUUUCAAUAUAAAUUUGUUUUGCUUUCAUAACGACAUGUUUAAUAAUUUUUUAAAAAAAUAAUAUCAUUUAACGAAUGCAAUUUCAAGUUUACAAAUAUUGAGGUUGCUAGAACAAUAAUAUUGGCCUUUAAAUCGUCGAUGGAAAUUCAAUUAUUUCAAUGAAGACAGGUUUCCAAACAUCCUGAAUAGAAACCGCAGGUUGAUGUAUGGUUUUCAAGGUUCAAGAUUAGUAUUAGUUUAAAUAUUUUUUAAUGUUAAUUUGAACCAUAUAUUGAAAUUUUCCUUUUAUAAAUUUUUACUUCAGAGGAAAUUUUGAAUGGGAGAGAGUUGAUGAUAAUUUUGCGAGGAGGGUUUCAAAGAAUCACUCUACAAUUAGAUAAAAUUGAACUCAGGAUAAAAAAUUUUUCUCAAAUAUUAAAAUUUUAUUUUUCAUUUGCUAACAGAUAAGUAAUUUGUACCAUAUAGAUUGCGUGAUUUUUUGUACGAGGCGCAAAAGAAAUCCAAAAAAUAUGCAAAAGAAAGAGAGCUUCUAAGUUGGAAUAAUAUGGCGGUUUGGAAGGAUUUCAAAUCGCCAUAUGUCUCAGAGGCUGUAUGGGUGGUAUACAUUCAGCACAUGAUGUCUGCGCGUUUCACUCGACGGUCAUAGUCCGAUAUGGAUAACCAGAACCGAGAUGUUCAUGGUUCUGUUGUCACGCACACCGGUGGCUCAAUUCCAUUCGUUUCACAUGCGAAGUGGAUGGUAGGAUUUUUUUUUUAACAUCCAUUUUUUAUUGGUUGUUUUUUUAUAAAUAUGCUUAACUGAAAACAUUUUUUAUUGCAGGCUAUGAUUCUUAGACUCGAGUCAAGCCCAAUGGAGUUUUUUGUUGAAACCCAUGUGUAAGUUAUUAUUUCCUUGAAUUUGAUGAAUUUAUUUUUUCUUUCCAUGAUACAUAUAACAGCAGUUGAAGGAGAGAUACAGGGACGAUCCUUUGACCUAUCUAGAUAUCGAUCUGGAUUUGUGGUUGAAGGCAAGAUCAUCGUGGACCCGAUAGAAAUUGGGUGUACGGACUCUCUAACACUAUAGCCAAACUUGCAGACAACCCAUAGUGCUUUGACAGUUGGAUGCAAUCGAUUCUGAGCAUUCAGACUCUUGAUUUCACAGUGAUAUUAGACCAACGGGUACAGGAUCGAACAACCCAUCUUAAUGAUAAAUAUGAACGACUCGCUACUGAUUAUAAAGAACUCCGUUUAUUGGUAAUGGAGAUGAGAUCAUAGAUGAGUGGUUCAUAUGCAACCCCUAAUUGGCCCUACGGUUCCGGCGACCAUCAGUCUUCUCCUCCAGCGUCGCCUCUAUUUUAGAUUUAUUGUAUUUGAAUGUACAAAUGUUUAAAUUUGUAAUAAAUAUUUUAUUUUUAUACUAAUUGAUUUUAUUUUAAUUAUUUUUCUACUUUUUUUCAAAAAAAAAUUAAGAAAAUAUUUUUAAAAUAUUACUGACGGGGUUACCAACAGCACAACUCUGUCAGUAUAUUCUAGAGGGUUGAAAAAAGAAUUACUACAAAUGUCACUAUUACUGAUGGGGUUACCGACAGAACUAGACUGUCGAUAUAUUCCAGAAAGGUGAAAAAGAAUUACUGCAUAUGUCACUGCUACUAUUAACGCACCGAUGGAAUUACAGAAGGUAUUCUGUCGGUGAUAUGUUAUAUUUAUCGAUGGAUAUACUGACAGAAUAAAGCGGAUAAAUUUGUUUUUGACGUGCUGUAUCAAUUUGUAAAUCCAUUGAUAUAUUUAUUGUUGACGGACUUAACAACAGUCCAUAAAUUACCAACAUGAGUUUUUCCAACUGACUGUUUAUGUCUAAGACCUCUGUUAGUAACAUAUGUAAACACCAUAAGAAAUUUCUAUCAAUAAAACUAUUAAGUCUGAAAGUCGUUUGCUAGUCAUUUAAAUUCACAUAAAUAAAUUCUGGUCAGUCAAGAGAUAAGAGGCAAAGAAAACUCCAAAAAAUAUUUGAACUCACUCGUGGAAAGAAUGCUUCCGUCAGUCACCAGCUUGACCCAUAAAGAUAUCAGAAUUUCUUCCAAACGAAUCUGUCCCUCUAAUUGCAAACACACGGGUCCCCUCCGACCACUCCCCUCCAUCAACCCUUGCAAGAAUCCAUUCUCUCUUGGACUUGACAGCACCUGACCUGAGAAACAACUAGCACAGCAUGCGAGAAAUGUAUUGAUCCUUGACGGCAGUACUGCGGUUUCUCAUGUGAUGCAAACAAUCAGUGAAGUGCUAGCUGGAAAUUUAUUUAAUUAACAUGAAUGAAAAAUUCAUCUAAAAAAUUUCUUGGUUUUUUACUUAAAUAAUUUUUGAUUUUUUUAUAUUUAAUUCCUGAUUUAUAAUGAUUAAUCAGAGGUUGAUAAUGGUAGGAAUUAAUUCUUCAUCCUUUUACCUUCCAAAACUCACUAUUAAAAACGAAGCGAAGAAAGAGUUUCCAACUUGAAUUUUUCAAAUUCUUACAGUACUCUUACUUGCCUCAUAUUUUAGUGUUUUAUUCUCAUUUUAAUCUUUGAUUUUUCUCUCAAAUUUAGAGAUUAGGUUCAUCUUAAUUAUUAAAACACAUUUGAGUUUCAUAUUUUUUUUGUUCAAAAAAAUUGUUAAAAAGUACAUCUAAACUAAAGUGGUAUUGUUAGAGUCUUGAAAGAUAUAUUAUAAAUAUCCUAAUUGCACAGGUGAGAAGCAGUAAAAUCUUAAAGACAAAUGAUUCAUCUUUAAUAAUAACAAAAAUUUCAUUACCUUAAACUACUUCAACAAAUAAGUACCUUUUAGUAUGCAUGCUAGAAUUUUAAAUUAAUAUCAAUUGCAGGUUAGAUUAUAUGCUAAGUAUGCAUACUAGAAUUCGUUUUAUUAUAUUUAUGUUGAACACACGCUUGUCAUGAGUUAUGUUUUUGCUUGCUUGUAGCUAGUUUUAAACAUGUAUAAACUUCUAGGUUUUUGUUGGAUGUUUUUUUUUAGGAUGCAUUUGUGAUGAUAAACUAAAUAUAUUUGCUCACUAGUCUAAUAUAUUUACAAAUUUUUAGUAAAAUUUAUUUGCUUUCUUAAUUAUUUUUAUUUCUUAUUUAGUUUAAAAAAUAAAAUCUUAUGUUUAAUAAUUGGAUCUUUAUUGUUUUUUUUUCUUCAGGUUUUCAAGAUUGUUUAUGUUAGUUUUUGAGUUUAUUUAAAAAAUUAUAAACUUACAACAUACUACUUAUAAAAAAUAUUCAAUUAUAAAAUUAUGAAUUAGAAUUCUCUUUUCUUUUAAAAGUUUUGUAUUCCUAUAUAUAUAUAUAGAAGAGCUCUCCAUCAUUGUCAAUAAAAAAUUAAAAAAAAAAGUGGAAAUUAACCGUCAACAAGAACAUUAUUGACCACUACAGUAGUUCAUUUUGUCCUCUAAUAUUUGAUAGCCCAUGUGAUUAUCAAUGUUAUGAGACAGAGAGAGUCUUCGUAAUUCUUCUACCAUCUUUACUAUUGAUAACAAUUGAGAUUGAGGGGUUUAAGCUACCAAGUCUUCCCAUUAUCUAUCAAAUCAUUAGAUUAACCUGGAUAAAAUUAUUUUUAUUAAAAAAAUUGUAUUAAUUAAACUGAGUUUAGCUAGGUUAAUCAAAUUACUAAAAUUUUAAUUAGAGCCAUUGGGUUUUAAUUAAAUGUCAAUAUUUUUUCUAUUUCAAUUUAAAACUUAAUCCAAAACAAGUUUUAUAUUGCAAUAACUAUAAUAUAUAUCACUCUCAAAUGGUUGUUUAUUAUAAAAAAAUAAAGAGGUGAGGAGUUCACCGUGAAUUCGAGUAGUGAAUUGUUUUUUUAUUUUAAUCCUUAAUUAAAUUUCUUUAAUUUUCGAUUAGAUGUUAAUUUCUAUGCCUAAAUUGAAAGUUAAUUAUUCUAAUUUAUUGAGCAAUAAUAAAAUUAAAAAACAAGUGAUCAAACUUAAAAACAUGGGCUCAACCAGGUUAGAUAUGCAUAUCAUUUUGAAUUCAUUAUUUAAAUUUCUUUUUCCUUCUAAAAAAUACAUGACAUUAAAAAAAAAAAAUCUGAAUAGCGGCUAGCACAAGCCACAUUGGGUUUCUUGAAAUAAUUAAAUUCUAGUGUAUAUACAAAUAUUGAUUUUUAUUAAAGUUUCCCAAUUGUAUCACACCACGUCUCAAAAAACCCCAUAGUCACAUUCCCUCAUUCUUCCUCCCACUCUCUGUUUCUUGCUCUUGAGCCUGUUGAAUUUGGACGGGAUGAGCCCUUUUUUGUUAUUUUUUUUUUAAUUAUAUAUAUAUAUGUAUAUAUAUUAAAAGAACAAAGUUUGAAAUUUGUAAAUUCACAAGUGAAGAAUUGCAGUUCUGGGAAUUAAUGUGCUAAAUUAAAUAUUCACAAAGCAAAUAACUACAAUUCUGAUGCCUUAUAUGCUACAAAGUGCAAACAACACAAGAAAAAUGGCAACUCGUACUCUCGAGCAAGAAGUAUCACUGAAACAUUUUCCAAGCCAAGUUCAUACGCUCACUCAUAGUGGCUCUACCUUCGAAGCUGGGAAGCCCCCACUGUAAUCAAAGGCAUCCUUGCUAAAAAUGUAUGGAUGUUUGGCAUUUCCCUUGCUUGCAUCGUCGUAACUUGCCGAAGUGGAUGCAGAAUCCGCAUUAGGGUUCAGACCAGCAAGAUGCAAGAUAUUCUCAAUCUCUUUCACCACUUCACCCAUUGUUGGCCUGUCACUUCCGUUCUCUUCUACACAUUUCAAUGCAACGUCCACAAACUUAUCUAGACCUUUCAAUGUUGUGUCUAAACCAAUGCUUGAGUCAAGAAGUUCGCCGAGGUUGUACAAAUAUUUUGCUCUAUCCAAUGCCGUCUUUACCUCUCUCACCACGUACUUCCCCUUUUCUAUCGGCCUUCUUCCGGUUAAUAGUUCCAGCAUGACAACUCCAAAGCUGUAAACAUCACUCUUCUCUGUCAGCUGCUGGGUCAUGUAAUAUUCUGGAUCCAUAUAACCCUGGGGAAAAAAUGCAAUAAUUAAUACAAUCAGUUCUAUCAUCCAGUCCGGUCGUGCCAAAACUGCAUUUCAUUUUGUAAAAUCAAUCGUAGUUUAUGUAUUCUCGUAAUAUAACAUAUAACGAAUCGGCCUGUUUGCAUGCAGACACAGAGCCAAGAUGAUGAUUUUUUUCAUUUUAAUUCCAUAUACCAUAAGAACAGUAAGAAAUAAUGGUAUGACGCAUAUGGAGUGGAGGUAUGGAGGCACUGACCAUCGUCCCCUUCACUUGAGUUGUAACAUGAGUCAGAUGACCCGUUUCGCUGUCUCCCAUAGGCUUGGAGAGACCAAAAUCGGCAACUUUUGCAUUUAAACGCUCAUCUAGUAGUAUGUUGCUUGAUUUUAUGUCCCUGUGGAUAAUGGGAGGGUUGGCAAGUUCAUGCAGAUAGGCCAAACCUCUUGCUGCACCAAGGGCCACUUUUAGUCUCCUCACCCAAUCAAGCCUGAUUCCUGUCUUCCCUGCUUGGAUUGGAAAGAACAAAUAGGAGAGUGUGAGGGGUUAGUGUAGUUUUAUCUACAUUUAUAUUUUAGCUUCAUUACGCACAAGAAUUAAAGCAAUAGAGUUUUGUUAGAUGGCAUACACUAAAUUUUCAUGAAAAAAAGAUUGUAUGGUAGCAAAUUCCAAGUAUCAAAUCGAAGCAUUGAUAGCUCAUAGGUGCCGAUGAAAGUACCUGAUAGGCUUUCCAUGAGACUGCCAUUUGGAACAAACUCAUAUACGAGCAUUUGUUCACCUCUGUCGAAGCAAAAGCCUAUAAGGCUUACAACAUUUUUGUGGUGGACUCUGGAUAAAAGUUCAAUCUCAGUCUUGAAUUCUAGCCCACCCUGCAUCGAUCCUUGUUGAGCUCGUUUGAUGGCAAUUAGUUCUCCAGUAGGAAGAACUCCUCUAUAAACCUGUAAGGAUGUUAUCAUAUAUUAAAUUCCAUGUUUUUCAGAAACCAAAAAAGAACAAAAAAACAUCAAUGCGAGGGAUUCUUCUUCUGGCAAUGAACUAGAGAAAGCGUUUGGAUCCCUUCAACAAGACAGCAUCAGGGGAAAUUUUUUUUGAAAGAAUCAGUAAAUAAUUGAAGUGCAGAACAAAAAAGCAUUUCACUGGAAAGGUAAGAACAUCAGCAAGUGUAUUUUGAAAAUAUACUAUGAUUAAGCAAACAUUUUCCAUGCUAGUGUGAGAAAUGAGCCCAGUAAAAUUGAAUACUAACAGGCCUCUUUUUCACAGGUUUUUGUCGGGUGGAUUUAGGACAAAAUUGGCAUAGUUUACCAUGUAAAGAUUUUAGGAAACCAGACCAGAUGUAGUGAAGUUGUAAUAUAAGAAUCAUGAUUGACAAGAAUCAAGUGUUGUGCACCAGUUCCGAAGAGCUUGAGAUUAAGGGUUUUCUUGAUUUAAAUCUUUACGUGCAUCAGGAACAUGAAUAGUUCAAAUGCAAAUAUCCAUGCGCAGAUACAUAAGAUGUGGCUAGGCUUUCAGAGAGAAUCAGACUUACGUUUCCAUAACCCCCAGAACCAAUGUCAUUGGUCUCUGAGAAGUUAUUGCUGUAUUUCCUGAGCUCUUCAAAAGAGAAGUUUCUGGCUCCUUUUAAUUGAGGAACACCUCCGAUACUCUUGUUUGAUUCCCACUGUGCUGAAAAAGAAACAAAACAAAUCCAUGAUAUUCCAUAACUGUAAAUACCAAGUAAAUAAUCAAAGCCUUUUCAUACCAAAAGGAUUGUUUUGUUCAGUUGCCUUUUCUGCUCUCUUCUUUUGGCGAUGAGCAUAGAGCCCAGCGCCCAGCAAUAGCAGCAGGAGGACAGAGCCACCCGCCACAGCUCCAACGAUAACACCAGUUUGCGAUGAUUUUUUUGAUCCUGUAACUUCGUCUGGAUGAGUAGAAAGAGGGAGGAGAGAGAUGUUACAAUAAGAAAGGAGAAACAGUAGGAUAAGUUUUUCUUGUAGCUCUGUAUCAGUUAUGAGACUACCUGCGAAAUUUAGAUACGCAUCACCAAUAAAAAAGAAAGGUCCGAAUUGCGGUGGAGGCUUGAAAGUCUGGUUGCUCAGCGCAAAACCAAUACUUGAAACUCCUGUUCGAUUGAAACGAUCAUGGCCAAAUGGAAACACUUGCAGAUUCAAAACAAGGUAAGUAGAUGAAUCUUUUCUUGGAUGACUUAGAUUAACUGAAUCCACAGGAAGUUGAUGUAACUUGAAUGAGUCCAUCAGAGACUUUUCAAGAACAGUGUAAUAAGUGUUGUUUCCCAGGUUCGAGAAUGAAGGAGCUCUGAACUUUAGAAGUCCUGUGUAUGGAAGUGCACAUUUACAGUUCGGACUGGAAAUCUGAUUAGCAAAGCACAAAGAAGCUACACAGUUAUUUAGAGGCGUUGAAUAGGAAGAUU